CUCCGACUACCUGUUCUUCCUCGAACUUUCCCAUAAUGACCUGCUUCCACAAGGGCUCAUUUUUUGCUGCAAACCUCCAACACUAUUUGCCAGGAAGAGCCUCGUUAAAGACAAAUAAGUCUCUAAUGCCAAACUCUUCUCUUUUCUCAUCCAUGCAAGGAAUCAACUAUCUCACCAAAUGAGACUUAUUCUCAAAGGCUUCACUCCCUGAAGAACGCCCCUUCAAUCUUCUCCUUCCUUGUUGGGAUCAUGGAUGAAAAUGUUGUCGAUAUUCAGCGAUAUUUCCAUGAAAUAUCGUGCUGCGGUGGAGCCCAACAUGAUAUCAAGAAGGAUAUAUUGAUUGGUGGAUAUUUCAGUUUUUUUCCAGAAUUGUUGGCGAUGUUUCCAAAUUUAUCGAUUUUAUCCUGAUUUAUUGGGAUUUUUUGGUGAAAUUAUCGCUGCUUUGACCGGUCAACAUGGGCCAACACCAUUCAAAUCCAGUCAAAUGCCCAAAAAUGAAUUGAGAGGAAUUGAAUCCCGGUUUGCAUGCCAAGUUCCCAAGUAGUUAACCAACUGGGCAGUUUAGUCCUUUUGUAACAAUUUAAAUAUAAAUCAUAUUAUUCUUUAUAGGAUUUAGCUUUGAUAUAUAUAUAUAUAUAUAUGGAAAAACAAGAUAAUAAAAUGUUAAUUUUAAUUAUUUUAUUUUUAAAUUUCUUUUAAUUGGUUGUUAAGAAUAAAAAACUAUAAAUCAUGACAUGAUACAUAUAUCAUCAUUUUAUUUUACACCAUUGAAUAUAUUUGAAUUAAAUAGAUCGUUAUUUUAAUGUUAAAUAUAUUUUCAAGUUGGAUAUAUAAUUAUCAAAUAUCAUAAUAUUAUUAUUGAAUAAUAUUUAAAAUAUAGUUUAAUAAUAAAUCUAUAUUUACAAAAUUCAUAUUUCUUAUCAAUGCAUAAGAUAUUAUUUUCGAAUAUGACAAAUUAUAUCAGAUAUAUCAAUUUUUUCAAAAAAAUAAUUUCAAAAUGUCUAUUAUUAUUUGUUUUAUCAUUGAGUUUUUCCAACAUUUCCACGAGUUUUGAUCAAUUUUUACUCACCGAUAUUUUAUGUUAAAAUAUCCACCAAUAGUUACCAAUAUAUCUGUCAAAACUGAUAUUUUCAUCCUUGGUUGGGAUAAAAGGCAUGCUGAGUUGAAUUGACUGUGUAUAUAUAAGAUUCCUUGUUUUUUUUGCAUUUAUGAUUAGAUGAUUUGCUGCAUCUACUAUCUACUAUCUACUAUUUAAUGUAUGUUAAAUUCUGUGAGACAUUGUAAAAUCUCAUAGUAAAAAAGUGGAAAAAGUAAAGUAAAUGAGAAUCACAUUUCUGUUAUCAUUUUCCUUUUGUCACCAGAGGAUUUGGGAUUAGUUGUUAUGCUAUGUAAUCCACAAUAAACCAUGCGUCCCACUAUUGAUUAUUGAGGGGGCUAUAAAUCAGCUCAAUGCUGAUGGUAAUAUUACAUACUUCUAGUAGUAAAUAUUAUGCAAAAUGAAUGAACUAUUGAGGUCAUUGGAUCUUGGGUGCAUGGAUUUUCUAGUGUGGAUUCUCAAACCUCUCCAUAUAAGACUUCCAAUUUUUUUCAUACCUCUUUCUUUGGCUAUUUUCCCAAGCAACAUGUGGAAUAAGGUCUGUUAUUUUAUAAUUUGUUAAUAUGUAGUCCUCAUUUUUUGUCUUUAUUUUGUUCACAGGUAUAAUUUCCUUGAUAAAUCUGUUGGCAUAUCAUCCUUGUUAGAGAUUACUAGUGAUUCCUUGGUGGAUAACAUUUCUCAGAUUAUUGAAACACGGGUGCCACUGCAUGUUCCUGGGGUUGAAGGAUUAAUUAUUCCUAGUCAAACACGUGGUCAUGUUUUGAAAGUGAUUGAUGGCAAUACUGCUCUAGUACGGUGGGAGGUAAAUAGGCAGAAGUUUUCACCUUUAUGACUUAUUAUUUGUUUAUUUCUGUAUGUUGAUUCCUUUGUUCUUCUUGGCAAGGAGAUUUGUUCAUACUAUGCAUUUAAAUAUUCUUGAGUGCAUUUAUAGAAAUUAAAAGGUACUCUUUGAUGUGAGUACUCUAGUGCAUUGCAUUUCUUCUUUGGUCUUCAAUAUUUUGUUAUUCUUCUACCUUCCUUGUGUAGUUGUGGGUUGGGGGGUGGUUGGGGUUGUUUGUGGAAGGCAUGCAAUGAUUCUGUAGAGAUGCUCAUGCAAAUAGUUAUAGGAUCCAUCCUGCUGAAUGGUCUAGGAUUUUGUUCAUAUUUUUAUGGUAUUAUGUUGUAUGAUGUUGAAAUCUGAGCCCCUCUUAAAGUUUAUUGAUUGUUUCCCUGUGAAUCGGGUCAAGGGAAAUUUGUAUAAGAUACUUUCUGAUUUACAUGAAGUCGUUGAUUUCAUUGUGUCAAUUGUGCAUCAUGGUGCAAUCUAUCCUUUUAAACUAAGUUUUAUGUCAUCUAUUGAUAUAAGCAAUUCUGUUUUUUGCUAGUUUUUUGUGUUGACCAGAAAUGUUCUGUGAUUUCACAAAGAAUGAUAUUGGUUUCAUCUCUUUUCCUUCUGGCAGCUUUGUUCAUGUAUUAAUGAAUAAGAUGGAUUUUACACCAUCUUGCAUGUGAUUUUUUUUUUUUUUUUUUUAAAUUAUUUUUUCAGCACUUCAUUUUUGUCCUGCCAUGUUGAAUUCUGUGUUUAAAAGUUAUGGACUUUUCCUUGGUAAAUCAUACCUGGAAGUUUUAACUGGAAUAGGGGAGGUUCUUUCCCUUCCAGAUUAUUUAUUCAGUUAUUCCACAUCUCAAAAUGUGUUUCUAUUAUUGGUUCAACAUGUGUAUUUUUAUUGGUGAAGGUGACCUCAGUAGGACAAUGCUUGGUUGUGAUGAUUUGAGUCACUAACUCAGCUCAUACACUUUUAAUAUAUUAUGAAAGUCAUUACUCUAGCAACACAAAGUGUGAUAUGCUUAUUAUUGAGUGUUCCAUUUGAAUUUUUUUAAACAAUCCUCUUUAUUUCAUAAUGUGAAUCGUUUUUUUGUAGUACACACAAUCUGGGGUGUUGGUGUUGCUUCUGCGUUUAGCCCAGAGGUUGUAUUUAGAUUGCAAUGAAGAAGUCCUUGUUACCCUGGAUCUGCUCUGUCGACUGGUAUCCUUUAACACGGUAAUAUGUUAUUGAAGUUCCUUUUGGCAUUAUUUUCUCACUUGUCAAUUUCUUGGAUCAAUGCUUUAAUCUCAUCACUUGCCCCCAACUCCACACAAGCACAGAUACACAAGUGUGAUACGGAGCUUGCAGUUGAACAAUUUAUUCUGCUUAAUGUUGCUUCUGUAUUGAUUUAUGCGAUUAAUACUCCAUAAAUUAUUGAGCUAUAACUUCCCUUAACAUUUGCAUGAUAACUUUAUAUUUAUCAACUUUAUGCUGCUUAUGGGGCCAUGGGGCCUAAUAUAUCUUACUCUACCAGUGGAUUUGAUUUGGAUUAAGAUUAGUUAUUUUUUGGAUGUAUCAUCCUCUUAUAAAUGUUGAGAACUAUCCUAGAGCUACAUGAUUGCACUCUGAGUGUUUUAUAUGGAAGUGUGCAAUGGACUGCAUUUGAUGGUUGCUCAAAUGACCAAAACAGCUUAAAAUCUCAAAUAACAUUCCUUAAAUGUUUAAUUCCAGUCUUCUUAUUAACUUGUCAUAUGCACCUAUCACAAAAAAAAAAAAAAAAUGUAAAACUGUCAUACAUUACUUAGCUUGAUUAUAAUAGACUUGCAGCCUAAUUUUUAUGUUAUAAUUAUUCCUUUCCUAUUGGAUAACAUGGUGUUGCCAUGGGGUGAACAACCUCCUUCCUCUAAUUCUAGUUUUCCAUAUUGAGCUAACACACAUUAAUUCAAUCUGUUAUGCCCCUUGUUUUCAUCUAUUUUCUCAUCUGUAACCAAGUUGACUUGGAAAGACUCAAUUGAAGGAAGUCAUCUUCUUAAAUUGCCAUUUCCCUUGCAUUCUAAAUGAGACUUGUAGCUUGUCUAUUCAAAUGGAAUCAAGUUUUUGAAACUUUUAUUUCUGUUACCAUUGAUCCUUGUGCCAAUUGUGCUGCCACUGUGCCUCAGUUUCUGGUGUGUUAAAUUGGCUACUGUCCUCAACUUCUCUUUCCCAAAGUUUUUUUUCUUUAAUUCCUGGAUGAGUUUCUUCUCAUUGUAAUUAAUCAGCUUUAAAUGCAUUUAUGUCACCUUCAUUAACUGCUGUGUGCUAGAACUAGAUCCUGCAUUACUUGGAUCCAAGUUUAAAGUAUAACAGGCUGCAUACUUCAACUAAUCUCAAGCUGUUUGAUCUUGACACUUGAGACCCUUUUUGCUUAGGUUUCUCCUGGAUGCUAUGAAUGCUCCAGUAAGCUCAACUUCUUGCAGUUGUCUUCAUUUUUGUAGGUGUUUCUAUUAACCAUUUCCCACCACUUACACAAAAAAAAAAAAAAAAACAAAAAAACAAUUAUAUCUGCCAACUUGUGAAAGAUAAUCUGCUCUAGCUAACCAGGCCCCUGGUGGGAAGCUGCAUAAAGUGUUGACUGUCAAGCCAUUCAUUUGGUAAAGUAUUCAACCUUUUAACUGUUCCUAGGGGAGCAGAUUGUCACAAGAUGUUUCAAAUGAGCCUCCCCAUGGGUUUAUAUAGAGCCCGGGAAGCUUUUGGAGACUCCUACACUUAGCCAUUAGUAGGGAGAGUGUGGAAGGUUCUAGAGAUGCCUAAAGAAGUCCACACAUCUUUACACUAUGGUGGAAGGCAUGAGAGGAGUCCAAGGCUUUCUAGAGAAUUCUAGAGAUCUCUUGUAUAUUCUUGUACAUAGGCUUGUACAUAGAAUUGUGUAGGGUGUUCUAGAAUAUUCUUGAUUUGUAAGGAACCUUCCAAGGUUCCAGAGAGUUCCAUUGGUGCCUAUAAAUAGGUGAGACCUCAUUUGGCCAAGGUACCAAGCAAGUGAGUUCCCAAAGCACUUGUAAAGCUUUCUUUUUUUUUUUUUUUUUUGAUAGAUAAACAACCAAAUAUAUUAGAAAAGGCUAAAAAGCCGCACGUAUACAGGGGGUAUACUGAACAGCCCUACACAAGGCUGAAGAAAACAAAAAAAAAAAAGAGGGAAAAAACCUCACCCACCCUCAUGUGGUCCCAAGCCACUCCAAAAAACCUAAAAGAGAGUAGGUUUCCUCACCAUUGUACACCCUAGCCCAACUCCACAAGUUACAUACAAAAGAAUUUUUGAAUUUCUGAAUAUCUAAAGACCCUCCCCUAAAAGCUAACCUAUUCCUUUCCUUCCAAACCGUCCAAAAUAUGCACACCGGAAUGGAAUUCCAUAUCUUUUUUCUUUUUUUCCCCACAAAGGAACCCCUCCAACUAAGUAACACCUCUAUAACUGUCUCUGGGAACACCCAUUGAACUCCAAAAAUGGCAAGGGUAAUCUCCCAAAUAGUUUUAACCAUUGUACAAUGUAAGAGAAUAUGAUUCGCACUUUCCUCUUCAUAGCCGUAUAAGAAGCACCGAUUAGGGAGCUGCCACCCCCUUCUCUGAAGCUUAUCCAAAGUAAGGAUCUUCCCCCACGAGGCUUCCCAAGCAAAAAAAGACACUUUUGUUGGAACCUUAUCCAUCCAAAUGCGCCUAUUCGGGAAAACCCCGGCUGAAGAGCCACUCAAAAUUUUGUAGGCCCCCUUGGCUCCAAAAACUCCAUUGCCUUCCCUCUUCCAUCUCACUGAGUCCUCUUCAAGAGAAAUCCUGAAGUCCUUCAGAAGAUUCAGCAUAUCUCCUAUCUGAUCCAUCUCCCAAUCAUUGAAAUCUCUAGCCAACCUGAGAUUCCAACCUCCUUGACCCAUACUAGAAUCCCACACUUCACAAACUUUGGCAUUCUUGUGACCCGCCAAAGUAAACAACUGCGGAUAAGAUUGAGCAAGCGCCUCAUUGCCACACCACUUAUCCGUCCAAAACAUAACUCUAUUCCCCUUCCCAACCUUAAAAAUAAUGCUCUCCCAGCACCAAUCCGCCUCCUUCAUAAUCUCUUUCCACAAACCCACCCCAAAAGGCCCACACACUUCCUUAGUCUUCCACCCGCAUCCCUCUUGACCAUAUUUCACCCCUAUCACUGUUUUCCAAAGGUUAUCCUUCUCAUAGGCAUAUCUCCAAACCCAUUUGCCCAGCAAGGCUUUGUUCAACAAGUCUAUCUUUCGGAUGCCUUAACCCUCCUCCUCCUCCUUAGGGCUGCAGACCACCUUCCAAUUAAUCAAGUGAACUUUCCCCUCCAAGCUUCCCCCCCCCCACAAGAAGUCUCUUUGAAUUUUUUCAAUCCUUUUUGCCACAGCCUUAGGAAUGCGAAUAAGGGAGAGAAGAUAGAUGGGUAUGCUGGCCAAAGUGCUCUUGAUAAGAGGUAUUCUUCCCCCCUUCGAAAUAUAUUGCCUUUUCCACUGGGCUAAUCUUCUUCUCAUUCUCUCUUUCACCCCAUCCCAAGAAGAAGAGGUUUUAUGGUGGGCUCCAAGGGGCAGCCCCAAGUAAACAGUGGGUAAAGCCCCCAAUCUGCAUCCUAGCUCAGCCGCCAACUCCUCCAGCUCAUCCACUUCCCCCACAGGAAUUAGAACACUCUUAGCCAGAUUAAUUCUGAGGCCGGAGGCCGCCUCAAACCACGCCAAAAUCCAGCUUAGAUUGGUAAGUUGCUCACUUCUAGCUUUGCAAAAGAUGAGUGUGUCGUCAGCGAAGAGAAGGUGAGAGACAGCCAGCUCUUCCCCCCCUCUCCCCCUCAGUCUACAGCCUGAAAUGAAGCCCUCCUCACCAACCCGUCUAAUAAGAGUGCUAAGCACUUCCAUACCCAAGACAAAAAGGUAUGGAGAGAGGGGGUCUCCUUGCCUCAACCCCUUUGAAUUCGAAAAGAAGCCAGCUGGAACCCCAUUGAUUAAUAUGGAGAAUUUGGCAGUAGAAAUACACCACCACAUCCAAUCCAUCCAGCGGGACCCAAAGCCCAUCUUCCGAAGAACCUUCAUAAGAAACUUCCAGUUGAUGCUAUCAUAGGCUUUUUCAAUGUCCAACUUGCAUUUUAACCCUUUCUCUUUUCUUUUAUACCAAUAAUCAAUCACCUCAUUAGCUACUAAAGAAGCAUCCAAAAUCUGUCUCCCUCUCACAAAGGCAUUCUGGUCAACUGAGACCACCCUAUCCAGCACUUUCUUUAGCCUAUUUGCUAGGACUUUGGCUAAAAGUUUAUACAAACCCCCAAGCAAGCUGAUUGGCCUGAAGUCCCUCAAGUCUUCGGCUCCUCCUUUCUUAGGAAUAAGGACCAAAAAAGUGGUAUUGAGAGACUUGGCAAAGGACCCAUGCGCAAAGAAUUCCUUAAACAGAUCCACCACCUCCUCCUUCACAAAAUCCCAACAACCUUGCCAAAAGGCUACUGAAAAACCAUCCGAGCCAGGAGCUUUGUCACCCCUCAUCUCCAUCAAAGCGAAAUGGAUUUCCUCCACAGAGAAAGGCACCUCCAGAUCAUCAGCAUCCCUGGGACUAAGUUGGUUGAGCUGCAGCCCCUCAAUAUCCGCUCUCCACCCCUGCUCUUCUGAGAGUAAUUUCUGGAAUUCAUUCACUAUCCCACCUCUUGAUCCUCGGUCAACAACUCCCCAUUAAUCAUAAUCCUGUCCAGGGAGUUAUUCCUACGGUGGGCAUUUGCCAUACGGUGAAAAUAACCCGUAUUCCUAUCCCCUUCCUUGAGCCACAGCUCCCUAGAUUUCUGCCUCCAAUGAACUUCUUCCAUUUGCACCCAUUUAUGGAAGGCAUCCUUGGCUUCUUUUUUCUGCUCAGCUUCAGCUAAAGUCAAGCUCCUUACACUCUCCACUCCAUCCCAAUACUCCAGAUACUGAAGGGCAGAAUUUUUGUUGACUUUCAGCCUUCCAAACACCUCCCUAUUCCAAACUUUAAUAUUAUGUUUCAAAACCUUCAUCUUAUAGGCCAAUCUGAAAUUGGCCCUUCCUCUCACCUCAAUCCCUUGCCACCACCCUCGGAGAAGGUCAAUGAACCCAUCCACUUUCAGCCACAUAUUCUCGAAUCUAAACGGAGUGGGGCCCCUCCUUAUCCCCCCACCCAUCAGCAAGAUAGGAAAAUGAUCAGAAGUGGGUCUAUGCAUUCUGCAUUGGGCUACCCCACUGAACAUAUCUAGCCACUGCUGAGUCACCAGAAACCUAUCUAGUCUAGCCCAGGAUUGGUUAUUCCUGCCCCCAUUCCAAGUGGCAAUACCCCCUUGCAUAGGGAGAUCAAUGAGUUCUAAAUCAUCAAUAGUUUGGGCAAAACUUCUCAUGGCACCAGACAACCUUCCCUGUCUACUCCUUUCUCGCUGGGACAAUAUGACAUUGAAGUCCCCCCCUAAGCACCAGGGAUCUUCCCACAAGCCUCUGAUCGCCCCUAGCUCUUCCCACAGACAAUCUCUAUCUUCUUUGGAGAAAGGCCCAUACACACCAGUAAAAAUCCAGGACAUCCCAUCUUCCACAUUCCUAAACCUACAGGAGACUGAAAACUUUCCUACCUCCGUCUCCAUCACCUCCAAAGACCUUUUGUCCCAACACACCAGAAUCCUUCUCGCAGAGCCCAAGGCGUCUAAAGCCACCCAAUUAGACCACCUUCCAGAACCCAAACUUCUCACCAACCCCUCCGACAAAGUCUGAAUUUUGGUCUCCUGAAUACAAAAAAGGUCCACCCUCUGACUUCUGAUAACUGCCUUAAUAACCCUUCUUUUGGAGUUGUCAUUGGCUCCACGAACAUUCCAACUUAUGAUUCUUAGCUUCAUUUAAAUUCCGUAAUUUGGCACCCCCUUACUUGCACACUACCAUUUUGCUUUUUCCCCCUUUCAUAGUUGAUGGAACACUCUAAUCUUUUCAACUCUCUCUCAAAUUUGGAUUUCUCCAGAAAGGUUUUGCUAUGGACACUUUCCCUUCUCUUACGAAUUUUAACCAGGAAUUCCAUCAUGUCCUUUUCCAGACCUUCUGUUGAAAACCCCAAGAAUUUACUAAGCUUGGCCAGAUCACUCUUCUCCCAGCUUAGCUCCCCUCCUGCCUUAUUACCAUGUGGCACGAUUUGAUCAGAUCCCAAUUCCUUUCCAUUAUCAUCAAUUCUGCUCUUGCUGGCCUCCACCAAAUCCCAGCAUUCGACAUUCUCACUCAAGGGUGGCUCCAUGCCCAUGAGCAUUUGAAGCGGAUUUUCAACCUCGUCACGCUUCUCUUCAAGCCCAGAAAGGUCGCAAUACUCCCCCACUGGAGUCCGACCGAAAAAAGAAAGAGGGGAAGAAGGAGGCACAGGGAUCAAGCAAUCGGACUGAAAAGGGACCAUAUCAUACCUCGUCACUUCCUCCACAAGGGCGAGAUCAGUCUUCGAUCGCUCUAUGUGGAGGAGCUCUGCCUCACUCAGCCAACGCAUCCCAUCCUUCUCCCAAAACAGGGACAUAUCAGAGAGUGGGCUUCCCGCGUGGCUUGGGCCGCAACUCUGGGCCUCAGCAAGUUGGUCACUGGGCACCUUCAUUGGAUUUUGACCAUCAGCUAUCAGUCCCGCCUCCACCGUGGGCUUCCAAGCCUCGAUCCGUCUAAGGUCCUCCUUUUCCUUUGGCCCAAAAGAGCCCAUAGAGGAGGAGGAAGGAUUAGAGCCCUUAGACCCACGAGGCUUCACCAAAAAGCCCAACUCUACAGGUCCACUCUGCACGAUCUCUGCUCCCUGGGGCUUUAACUGCGGCCCAUUAAGCCCACGAUAGCACUCCAUGGGGCGCCCCGACCCAUAGGUCAGUCUUCGCGUCACAUCCGCAGAUUGCGUCUGCACCUCAAGCCUCGAGCCCCCUUCGGCCUCCCUCACGCGCUUGCCCUCGCGUGGCUGGGGCUCACCCUUUACCUCUCCCUCUGUUACAAGGGAUUUUCCUUUCCCACCCGUCGGCAACACACGCAGCGUCGGCCUGGUCUCCCACCACAAGGUUAGGGAAUAGCACAUAUUCUCAACCCAUAUUUCCACCAUAUUAGGAGUUUUCUCCUCGACUCUCCUUACCCGAAUUCUAGCCCACUGUAGCUCCUCCAUCCUCUCCGUUUUAACAUCUAUGCCCAAAAAACCCCCGCCCACCUCUCCUAUCUUGCUCAAAAUGUCCCGAUUCCAUAAAGAAAUGGGAAGACCCACUAUCCUUACCCAGGCCUCUCUUUCUUUCUCUUCCUCCAUCAAACAUCCCGACAUUGGGCUCCAUUUCUCCAGUUGUAUGACGAAGCCACCGACUGAUAUUUCCGCCAUAUCUAGGGCUUUCACAGCUUCUGUUAUCAACUCAAAUUCCAAUAAUGCCUUGCCAUCUUCCAAUUUGGCCAAGCCUAAAUUGCCCUUUAGCCCCCAUAAUUUUGCCAUUUGGGUCCCCCAACUUCUUAAGUCUUCCCCCCCUCCUCUCAUUGGGUUCUAGCAACCGACAAGGCAGUGGGCUAGCUUCUCCAAGUUCACCCAUAAGGCACUGUUAUCCACUUUCACCCUAGCCACCUCUUCUCCGGUGCUGUGGUUCUGCUUUACCACCUCCGCAAAGGACUUUCCCCUCAUGGGUGACCAACAUUUAUCCUUGUCCUUCUGUCUCGCUUGCCGGCCUGAAAAUGACUCCAUCUCUCGCAGCGCCUCCACCAAGAGAGUCCAGCCCCCUUUUGCUCCUCUGCCCCUGGGAACAAAGAUAUUAAACCUCUUUUUUUCCCGAUCUAUAACCCCCAGUCGAAGGAAACAUCCCCCUUUGUUUUCGCCGCGCACUAAAGAGAAAUAUCUCCCAUUCUCUUGCCAGCGUUUCUCCCAAUGGCCAGUCCUCAUGUCCUUUGAGCAAAAGACCAGGCCUUCAAUGAGUGGCCCCAAACUUGCCGGCCCCAGCUUAAUCCAAGAAGAGACACCUCCUUUUCUCUCCAUUAUGAAGAUAUGCGUCCUGCCCUUCUUCUUCUCUGUCUCGACCUCAAAGGUUUUUGACUCAACCCCAAAACUCCUUUUCCGACCCCCUACAUGGAGGUAACCCUCUGAGACCCCAUUCGCGCCUUGGAACCAGCUCUCUUCACCGUCUCUCUCACGCACUCUCUCUCUAGGUCUUUCUCUCUCCUCCAUCUAACUAGAGUUGACUUAUAGCUUUCUUUGAGAAAUAAAAGCUUCCUUUGAGUAAGGCUAACUUAGCAAGAUCAAGGGUUUGGCUUGUCUAAGUGCCGCACGAGCUUAGGAAAAGACUAAGUUCGUGACAAGAUGCUGUCAAACAUAUGUGGAAAUGGUGAAGGAUAAAUAUUCUUGUUCUUACCUGCUACCAUAUGGAUGCCUUCUGCCAUAAUUAUCUUCUUUAUGGUUGACCUGGCAAAUGGGUUGGAGAUUCUUUUUUACCCCUAAUAUAUAGAUAACUUGAUUUUCUUGUGACAAUUUUGUCUAACCAAAGUGGAAUUUAUGAUGUCUAGGCUGUUUCUUUUGCUUUGAUGGACAUUGGAAACUCCCUGCAUGUUCAAGCAACUCGCAUGAAUGCACACAUGGAAAUGCAGUAAUAUACUGAUUCAAACUCUUUAUCUCUUCCUUCCAGACAAGUUCAUUUUUUAUUGAUUUUUUUAUUUUUACUUCAGUGGCUUUUAGUUAUCUUUAGUUUUUCAUAUCCAUUCCUUGUUAUGACUGCAGGGUUAAUAUGGUGGAGAUCAUUUGCACUUUGAUAAGAAAUUUAUCCCCUAAUUGGAGCAGUUCUUCAAUGAUGGCCAUGGGUGUCAGCAUUUUAGAAAAAAUGUUAAAAUGGUAAAAUUUCAUUGGGUGGAUUAUGUGCAUUAGUAGGCGUUUGUUUACUAAUUGUGGGUUUGACAUUUUUAUGAUGAUGGAAUCUAGUCAUGGCUUUUGAAAGAAUUGUUUUGUAUCUAGAUAUGUGGUGGUUCUUUGCUAUAUUAAAUUUUACAUUUUGCAGUUAGUCUUUUGUGGUGGUUACAAUAACACAAUGGGUGUAACAUGCUUGGAUUUUCCUGUUAGUUUGGUGAAGUUAUAUAUUAUUGAUUAUUGUAUUUUUACUAACCUAUGGCUUGUGAAGAGUUUUUGGUAGGACUUGUUGGUUCUUUGUUCUUGAUUCACAAUACUACCGAGAGAGAGAGAGAGAGAGAGAGAGAGAGAGAGAGAAAGAGGGGGGGGGGGUGCGCAGCAAUAGGGAGUUGAACUUUUGCCUACUUUUAUGGCCCUAAAUUUAAUUUUCUAAGAUCUUAAUUUCUCAAUUAAUUGAUUUAACUUAGUAUUUAGAAAUAUAAAAAAGUACAGAAAAUUAACAAUUACAUACAACAAGACACCAGAUAUACAUGGAAAACCACUUAUAGAGCCUCAACCAAAACCUUUGCAGGUAUAAAAACUAUGAGUUUAUUGAUCAUAGAACAAGUUCUACUAAAUGUGAAAGAAAAGUACAUAGUUUUACUUGGUGUGGAGGCUACCAAUCCUCAAUAGAUUUACAUUGACCAACACCUACGUUUCUUCUUCAUGUCCUUGAUGCAACAUUCCCUUGUGCUCCUUAGUAGAUCAACUCAACUCAGUGCUGAGGCUAAAGAGAAUUGAAGCGCCUACCAUUAAAGAUCGUUCUUUUUCUAGGACUCUCUUGACAACUUCUAGAGAAUCAGCUUUAGGUAUUUGGUAGGAAAUCACUAAGUUUUGUGGUCAAGUUGUAUUAGGAUACCACUUGAUAUGAAAAAUAGAAGUUUUCUUUUUGGAAUUUUAAAAAUAAUUUUUCUGAACAAAAAGUCUGGGGAGCUUAAAUGUCCUCUAGUGGAGUGCUUAAGUGCCCUUCAGGACACUCGAGCAUCACUAGUUGGAUAUUCAAAUGUCCUAUCCUAAUUUCCUUAAUUUUGCCCCAUAAGUUGGCUUUGACACUCUAAUCAGUGUUCAUUCAUUCUUAGUGUACUUUUUAGUCCUUUCUCAACUUAAAUUGAACUUCAAUUUGCCAUUACUUUGACCUAAAUUUAAAGUCAAAACUUACUUACCUGUGCCUCCAUCUUGAAAGUCUUUAAUUUGUUUUUGAGGAGGAUACGUCUUAUUGGAAAUUAGACAGUUCUGAAUCAAUGCAUUUUUGAAACCAAAUUGUCAAUCUAACUAUUACAUAUGGUGCUUUUAGUUAACCCAAAACUUUCUCUUCCCUUGUUUAAAGGUUUAUUUUCUUAUUCCUUUUGUGUGUGAUGUUUUUAGUAUGUUUUGUUUUAUGACUUCUUUUUGUUUUGUUGCUCCAGUUCUCCAUCUCAUGUUACAGCCGUGGCUCUGAAGGCAAACAUAUUUGAUUUGGCUUCUAAGACAAGUACAUUUGAAACUCUCUUUACUGGUUCAACAAGGUGAAAUUCUACAGUUGUAUAUUAAACUAUCCAACUACAUUUCUGAGAAAUUAGGAAAACUACAUACUUGUUUAGGUUAAAAAGCUUUUAUUUAAAUUAUCAGAUGUGUAGACCUUUUACUUAUUCAUUUGUAUGUUUUGUGAAGCUGAUUUUCUAUGGUCAUCUUUUCUUAUUCAGGCAUCAUAUUAGAAGAUUCUGAUUAUAGUAAUUACAUGGAAAUUAAACUUACCACGCAUUGUUUUCUUUUUCUUUUACUGCUUCUCUCUCUCUCUCUCUCUCACACACACACAGACACACACACACACACACACACACACACACACAUACAGAGAGAGGGAGAGAGAGUUAAUAGCAGCAAAAGGCUGUACCAACCUUAAGAGCCAAAAAGCCUUUCAAUGGAGAAAGAGAAGGUGUGUGGGUGUGCACAAAUGCACUCCUCAGGUCCCUAUAAGUACUAUUUGUUAAUGGGUAUGCAUACUGUUUCUAGCUAUUCUGCUUUAGAGGCUUUUUUUUCAUUUUUGCUGUUUCCAUAACAAAUCAACUCAUCUCUGCAUUAAUCUGCUGCUUAAUUCUUGUGUCUUUGUACUGGAUACUGUGUUGACUAGAUGUUUUGUGCCACAUAUGCAGGUGGAGCUGUAUUAUAGUUUGAUUUCCAUUGAUGAACUGUUCAUCUAAUUAUUCUUUGUCCCUGUUUAUCUCUUACAGUGGAUCAUGGUUGCUAUCUGGGAAACUUGCAAAAAUGCUCUUAAUUGACUGUGAGCAAAAUGACAACUGCUGCCAGUUGACAAUUUCAGGUAUAUUAAAUAAUAUCUUCCUGAAUUUUGUUGUUACCCUGUUAUCUUUUCUUUUGCAUUUUUAUUUGUUUGCUAACCAUUAUUAAGGCCUUUUUGUAUACCAGUGGCUUCCUUUUUAUUUUUAUUUUCUUAUUAUUAAUGGUUUUUUUCAUUGCAAUACACCUUUUAUCUGUAAUAAUUCUGCAUGGUUGUCAGCAUUUUUCGUAUUUGCUAUGUUCUCAGAAUUUUCACCAGUUUUUCUAGUGGGAAGUUUCUUCGCCAAAUACCUGUUCAGACUAUAUCCACCUUCCAAAGAACUUGUGACCAGUAGGGCACAUGAUCCUAGAUCUUGUUGUUGAUUGGUUAUUGCUAACCAGAACCGGCAGAUUCUAGGCAUGUUUUAAACAAUGAAGGUGCUAAAGCAAUAAAUCAGGCAACACUAGUAAAAACUCAAAGAAGAUUGAAAUGGUUUGACAGUGUGCCUGCAUAUAUUUGGGAAAGGACUAAGCCCACUUACUGUGAGGAUUGGGAUUAUAAAGUCUCUUUCUAAUAAAGCCUCUGAUGGCUUGCUGUUUUGCAUUGAGAACUGCUCCCAGAUGGGGGGAGACUUGGGGUAUGAGGAACCCCCAGGAAUUUGGUUCUAACUUUCUCUGUUUAGACAUGCUUUAAUAUUUAUAUUUAUGUACUGUUAUCCUAAUUUGCGUAGUUUUGAAUCUUGCAGUGCUGGAUUUUACCAAACAGCUUGUGGAAACUGGAGAAGAAAAUGAUUUUGCCCUGGCUCUUGUUGUUUUCUCCCUCCAGUAUGUUUUAGUCAAUCAUGAGUACUGGAAAUACAAGGUGAAGCAUGUUCGCUGGAAAGUAACAUUGAAGGUGCAUAUUGCUUUCCCACUGCUUCUACAAAUUUGUUCCUAUCCUGCUUUAUUUUAACUUUAGAAAUGUUUAUAACAUUGUGAAAUGUUGGAAAUUAUUGAUUUGCUUUGAUUUGCGUUUUUAUUGUUAGUGACAAGCUUAAGCAUUGAAAUGAAGAAGAUAAAAGCAAAGGCAAGGGAAGUGAAUUGACUAAGACUGCUACAGCAUAAAAAAAUCACAAACAGUGUUAAAGUUUUCAAUACCAGAGGAUUUCUUUUUUAUUAUUUCUGGAAUAUGGAUAUUAAAGAUGAAUUUUUUCUUAGAAAUUAGUUUUGUUUAUAAAUGGAAUAAUGCUUUAUGGGCUGUUUUUUGUGCGCUCUGGCUAAUUAAAGUUUAUAGUUUUGAUUUAUUGUAGUGAACAUUGAGCCUCGUUUAUUGUUAUCCUAUCAUGUGUACUUUUUCCCACUAAUAAGAAUCAUCUUUCUAUAAUCAAAUGAUAAAUGAAGCCUAUCAAAUAAAAUCAGAUGAUAAAUGAAGCAGAUUUCACAUGCAUGCAUGUGAGUGAAGGUGAGAACUGUAUUAUUCUGAUUAUUCUCUUAUUUCUCAAACCAAAUGCUACUCCUGUGGAUGGGAUCAUAUGGCAUUGUAAUCUUUAGCUCCAUUUUAUCUUUUUUACUUUUGUUAGUUAUUGGCUUGGCUGCCAAAUGCUAUAAAAGAAUCUAGUGAGAAAGUCGGCAACUUUUAUGAAUGAGAAAGUAACCUUAGUUGUCAUGUAUUACGUGCAUGGUAAACAUUCCUGAUGUUUGCACAUUUCCAACCCAAUGUAGCUUCAUAGACUACUUAUUUGGAUCUGAUGGGGUUUAUGAUGUCUGAAAUCUGGUUCUAGACUGGGUAAGUAGGUUUUAUGCACUCUUUUUGUUGAUUCACCUCAAAAUUUUCACAUCUCUAUUUUCUGAUCUUUCCAUACAACUACUGAAAUUGACGAGUUUUUCUUUUGGCCUUGUGGUGAUUUGAAAGUGAUGGUUAUGGAUGCAGUAAUGCUAGAUCUACCAAUUCCUUUGAUGUUAUUUGUUUUUCAGGUGCUUGAAGUAAUGAAAAAAUGCAUCAUGACAAUCCCAUACUCUCAGAAAGUGGGUGAGAUUGUCCAGGAUAUUUUACUCCGUGAUUCUUCUAUCCACAAUGCACUCUUUCGAAUUAUUUGUACAACUAAACAGGCCUUGGAGGUCAGCUAUCUUUGGAUUCUUCCUUUCCUGUUGAUUGUAUAACUAUCAGAAACCAUUGUUUUCCCUCUUAAAGUGCAGAUUAUUUUUUUAACAGAAACUCUACAUGAGCCGUCUUUGUGAAGCAAUGGAGAUUGAAGGAUUAGAACUUGCAAUAUGUUCUGUUUUUGACAUUCUUUUCACUAUGCUAUCCAAGCUUUCAAAGGUAUCUUCUGGAAGUGCUGAGGUUUAAAUUUGUGUUCUUAUGGUAGGCUAAAUUUGAAGGAAUAUUCAAGUUGGAAUAUGUUAUAUUUUUUGGUUUAAUGUUAAGUGGAUGCGGCAUGCCAGAUGUACAUCUUGUCAUGACCGUUAGUUUCACACAAUGAACCUUUAUAUUUGAUUGAACAUAUGGAUUGCUCUAACGAGUAGUGCAAAAAGUCGGUUUUCAUGCUCUCUCUUCCAGCCCCCCUCCCCCCUCUUUUCCUUUCUCUUUAUCUCUCCACCUUCUCUCUCUCUCUCUCCCUCCACCAUUGUUGUUUGAGAGUCUCAAUUUCACUCCAUGCUUUCAGACACCCAUGUUAUUUUUGGAUAUUUAUCUGCUGAUAGUAUGCAUCCAUGGCAUAAUGUACUGUGGUAGAUUUUGUUAUAUAUUUUGUGAGGAACUAAAAAUGUUACUAUUCUGCUGUGUUAAUUUUUCAGGAUAUUACAUCAAGCCUGCCUGUUUUUGACCAAGCAGUGCUGUCAACUACAACCAAACCCAUUUCUGUUAUUGCAGCUGUGAUAUCCUUGAUAUCAUACUUCCACAAUCCUGUAUGGGCUUUUUCCACAUUCAAAUUGCAAAUUAUCGUGCUUGAAUUAUGACUUUCUUUUAAUUUCCUUUUCAGUUAGCACCUACUUGCCUUUGUUGAUAUAAUUAGUUUGGUUUUCUGCAUGUUUUUAUGUUUCUGCAGAGCCUAAAUUGUUCAUUGUUUGUUGUUUUUUUUUCUCUUUUCAUGCUUCUGCAUCCAUUUAAAAAUGUUUGGACAAGGUAAAAUAAUAUUUUUACUUAAUGUCAUUUUAUUAAUAAGAAAUCAAUUUGUGGGCUGCAUUAACAAAUGCAGACUUAGUAUUUUAGGAAUUACUAAAAGUUUUUUGAUGAUUUGGAAGCACUGGCAGAGCCAGUAGGGGCUUAGGGGGGGAAGUGCAACACCCCCACCCACCCCUCUAAAACUGAAAAAGAAUAUAUCAAUAAGAUGUAACCUCAAGACAAACUGUUAGUAAAGAAAAUCUAUAGAGUCCAUAAAAAUUAAGGACCUAAAAAAAUGUUUCUCAAACCAUAUAUAACUCUUAAACAAAUAUGCUUACCUUUUCAAUUUCUUUUUUAUCUUUUUAAUUUGUUUUAUCAUUCAGUUAUUGUGAGUAAAAAAUCUUGAGAUUUCAAUUAAAUAUUAAAUUUUUCUAGGACCUUUAUGGUAAAAGGAUUGAUGAAAUUACCAACUUUUUUUUUAAUAAAAAUUGUAAUUGCUAUUUUUAAAACUCUUUUAAAACUUUUAUUUAUCUUUUUAAAAUAGAGACAUUAAUAAAGACCUACAUUUAUAAAUUUUAUUGUUGAAAUUGUCAAAUUCUUUAAUUAAAAGUUCUAACUACUUUUCGAAAAGCUCUAUUAAAUUUUUUUGCUGAUUUCCUUUUUAAAAUUACUAAAAUUCAUAAGAUUUAUAUUUAUAAUAUUUUUCUAAAAUUGUUUUUGAUCAAAUUUAAUUUUUUUUUUAUACUAAAAUUGCUUAUUAUUUUGAUUACUUGCAAUUGGUAUACGACAAAUGUAUUUACUAUUUACUUUUCUUUAAAUUAUUCUCUAUUAAUAUCUUACUGUAAUUACUUGUUUCAUGUAUAACAUAUGUGCUUAAUAUGUUUUACUAUGUUUAAACAUGUAAUUAUUGAUUGAUAAGGAGGUUAUCAUUUGAGAGUUCCAAAACAUGAAAAUAUGAAAAUAGGUAAAAAAAAAUGUUGUAUUAAUUAUUAGUUUAAAGUUUUUGUUAGAUUUAUCAUGGAUUAGGUUGCCCUUCCUGAAUUUAAUUCUUGGUUCCGCCGCCAUUUGUAAGUGAUUCUUAAUGCAUUGCUUCUGUUCCAAUGUGUGGGUGUUAUUGUACGUGAUCAUGUCAUUGUUUAUAGAAAUUACAGAGGCUGUUUCUGUGGGUGGUUUGGUGGGUGCUUGUAUAGGAGAAUGCCGAAUGAUAUCUAUCCUUAAAUAUUUAUAUUUCUUCAUGCAUCACUGGACUUAAGUUGCAACCAUCAACUUUAAAUAGAGUGAACAACAUGAUGUGCAAUGGUAACUAGGUUUGUCGGUUGCUGAUUGUGGAGUUAUGAGAAAUAUAAAUUGUACACAUGUUAUAUGUUUGUGAUGCUGAUAGACUAUACAAAUGGUAAAUUCAUGUAAAUUUUCAUGUACAUUAUGUAGUUGUCUCCGAUAUUGGGGUUCUUGUACAUGCCUCUGUUGAGCCCGACGAAGAUGGUCUAAUAUAUCUUUGUAGUUCUUUCUUUUCUGGUUUCCAUACACAGUAGUUCGGAUGGAACUUCAUUGACUUGAGUUUCUUUCUAAAAGCCUAUUGUGUUUCUGUGCAGAGAAUACAAGUGGGUGCUAGUAGAGUACUAUCUAUGUUAUUCAUUAUAGCAGAUUCUUCACAACCAUAUUUAUUUGGGAAUAGAUGCUUUGGUUUGGAUGAUAAACAGGUAUGGUAUUUUGGUCUUUGAGCUUAUUCUUUAAGUUUUCUUGUUCUUUGAUUGACUACUUUGUUUUCAGAUUACAGAUUUAAGGCAUUCUAUUGAUAAGAUUCUAAGUGACCAGUCUUCUUGGAAUGAAGAUCUCUUUGUUGCUACAGUCAAAUUGCUUACUUCUGCUGCACUUCAUCAGGUUUGUUUUUUCAUAUGCCAUCUCUUAAGACUGCUGCUUAAAUUUUCCAAAUAAAUUGAGAUUGCAAGUAUUCUUUCUGAUUUUUCAGUGACCGGCUCUUGAAUAUGAUGUCAAAUAAUAUUCUGGUGAUAUUAGCUCAGAGAAAACAUUAAUUUUUGGGCCACAAAUAUGUAUUAGUUUGUGUUUAUGAUAUUCUUAAUGAGGUUUCAACCUUUGCGGAUUCACAAAAGCAAUGAUAGCUUCAGGUUUCUGAAGUAAACAUUAUUCUGUUAGUACUAUGUAUGGUUCUCUAGUUUUGGGCUUCUAUUUUUGUAGGCUUUAUACAGUUUGUUUGCUUGUGUGAGUUUUUUUUGUGAGAAUACUAAAUGAUCCAAGGGCAACUUGGUUCAAUCCUUUAACUUGAAAGCACAAUGCAGCCAAGCUCAGCCUUCUUAUGGCAUGCAUCUGUUCCUGUUUGAGGACCACUUAGAUUGUCUUUUCCUCUCAACCUUAUGUUUGUUAAGUGAAUAAUGUUAUUAAUUUCUACUUCCAGUCAUUGUUUCCAUACUAAUGGUUUCUUAGCGCAGCCUGCUUUUCUUGUUGCCAUAAUUGCUGCCAAAGACAAUCUAGGUUUGAAGCAGCCAGUAAAUGAAGCUUCCUUUGGAACACUGGGGUCUGUCAAACCAAGUUUGGUGGAUGCACUCUUGCAAGUUAUUGAAAGAUCUGAUGAUCUUAUCAAUAGGUAUAUUGUCUAAUGAGUAUGGCCUAUUUGUUAGUAUUUCAUUGUAAUUGUGCUUCAUCUGAUUUUGUGAAUGUUUGUUUGGUGUGCUUAAUCUAGUUUCUCUAUCUGAAAGGUUACAUAUUUUAAUUUGGUGAAUUUCCUUUAUUUCCAGCAAUCCCCGUUUACUACUGAAUGUGCUUAACUUACUGAAAGCAUUGUGGCAAGGGGCUGCUCAAUAUGCAGAUAUUUUGGAAUGGCUGAAAAACUCUGAAAAGUUCUGGAAACUAUUUUGCAACUCCAUUUCUCUAAUUGCUAGAAUGAAAGCUCCCCUGCCUGAAAAUCUUACUGAAAUGGAGGCUCUAAGCUUGGCAUACAAAUACCAGUGUCAAACAGCUGUAUUGGAAAUAAUGGCAGAAGACUUGUUCCUGCAGAAGAAGUUACUGCAUGCUGAAUUUCUUGUAAAACUUGCUGCUGAAUCAUCAAAGGAAAAGACAGGAACCACAGUUGGUUUGGAAAAAUCAAGAUCUGAAAAUUUACACCAUCUUAAGGAUGUUUUGUCAUCCUGGUGUGAGAAUUCAGUGUUGGUUGACCUGAUCAAGUCAUAUGCAUCUUGUCAAUAUGACACUGAAAUAUAUCUCCGUGCAAAGGUGAAUUUUAUCUCGUCUUUUCUUUAUAGCUAUAAAUGCUACUAGUAACAAUAACUAAACACUAUUGCUGUUCGGAUGAGUCUCUGCUAUUCCCUUUCUUGGGUUAAUCACUUUUGAUCAUAUAAAAACUGCAUUACAUAGAAUCGAAUAAUUUGAUCUUUAACUUAACAUCAGAAUGCUGAAACCAACUUCAUGGUUAUUCGAUAUAGUGUACAUUAAUGCCAGAAUACUCCUUUAUUUAAAUGCAUUAACUGGUAGUCUGUAAGGCUUGAUGAUUAUAAUUGAAUGGAAAAAAUGGACUCUCAUUGCUGACCCAGGUUGUUGAGAUUAAGGGUUGUGAUGAGGAUGAGCAGAUGGCUCUUGUAUUUUGUUUUGAAGCUGAUAGGCUGAAAGUACCCAUGCACUUUCAUGAUACCAAACCAUCCAUGUCAGGUUCCAGAUUCCAAUCAUUUCCUUUGAAUUCCUCCCUAGCUGAUAUGUAUUGGCCCCCUUAUUGUUUUUCCUUUUGCUUGCUGGAUUAGACUUCUGUUUUCUAGUAAAUUGGUGCUUGUAUCACUGUAUGUGCACAAAACAGCCACUUAUGGGUGCUGCUUUUUUUAGCUACAACCACAAAGGAAGAACUUUCUUUUUACUUUCAUCCCUAGCACCAGUUCUUCUUCCCUAUGGGUCAAAUAGUUUCCAUCCAUCUGCCCCAUUAUUUGUGCAAGGUCUUGACAUUUGGUUGCCAUUUCUGAUGUUUUAUAUAUUUCACUACUAAUUUUGUUAUAUAAGAUGGUCCAUUUUUAGUUGGCCAUUGUGAACUAUUUCUCAUGGAAUAUUGUUGAAGUGUUUCAAGUUACUGGGAAAUAUAUAUUAAACUGUUUUUCUAAUGUCUAGAAUUAACGCUAUUUAUUAGAUUCAUUCAAACAAAUGUUGUCAAGUUCUAGCCUAGGAAGUCACUAGGCUUGUCUGGGAUCUUUUCCAUGACUGGGUGAGUGGGUGCCUACUAGGUGCUCUCUUAGGGUUCUCUGUGCCUCUCUUUACUUAGCAAGCACACUGCAUUCUUUAUUGAUGAGCAUUGUUGUGGAUUAUUGCUAGUUGUUUCCUCUUGACUAUUGUCUUUUCCAUAUUCUAAAAGUAAUAAUCAUAUCUAGUGAUGAACAACUUUGUAGAUUGCUGCCAGUUUAUUCAUUGUGCAUGUGAUGGGAAAAUUAGCAACAGGUGAUGCGGGGAGUUUGUCUGUCUCAUUACUUGAAAAGCUACAUAGUAUGAAUAAAAAGGUGUAAUCCUAUCUCUAAUCUGUUACUUUGUUAUUUCCUGUAACUUCUCUCUGUUGAUUUUGACAAUACUCUUUUGAAGUCACAUCUUAUCUUACUCCAGCAUUUGGUUGUAUUUCUGCUUGCAGCUGGGCAAUCAGCCUGCUUUCUCUGAAUUGUUAUCUCAAUAUUCCCAGCGGGGUUACAGGUACAAUGUACAUAAUAUUUUCAUGUUCUAGUGCAGUAUUUUAUUUUGGUGUGUCACUUCUAAAUAAGACACCCAUGAGUUCACCCAAAUCAACAACUAGGCCUUUGAAAAAGUACUAUCUCAAAUCCCCAUGUGGUCUUCAUCCCCCUCCAUGCGAAGUAUAUUCUACCCCUGAUUGAAAUUUCCUUUUCCUUUUCCUUUUAAAGCUGUCAUAAAACAGUAUUUCCUUUUGCUUAUAGUGAUCUAAGUCAAUGAUUUUGCAUUAAAUCCUGAGGCUAGGUGAGUGAUAUAUGAUCCAUUGCUUUGUAAAGCAGCACAUGGAAAAUAGUCAGCUUAAUGGUUAUAAAGUAUGAUUAUAUCCAUGAUCCACUGACUAGUGGAAUUACCUUUUGUUAUCUAGAGUUGUUUCUGUUAUUCUCUCAUGUCAUAUUGUUUCUUGUGCACCUAGCAGUCACGUGUGUAUUUAAUUUUAUUUUUGUAUAUUAUUUGCCUUUUGUUGCUGAUGAUAGACAUUGUUGCAGCUUAUAUUCCUCAUGCUUAAUUUCUAUUUGUCAUGUGCUACCCUGCAAAGUUGUUUGGCACUCUGCCAUAUGCUUGGACUGACAAAUUGUCAAAGCUUUUUUUGUUGAUAAGUGACAAAUUAUCUAGGCAUUCAUCUGGCAUAAUGCUUAUACAGUGGAUUCUGUUUGUUUAUUCAGCCUCAUUAGUCUGUGUAUUCAUUUUGUUGCAUCUGCUGGUGCCUUAGUAAAUUAUUUUAGUUCUCAGGAAGGAAAUGCUUUUCCUGGUAGUAAUUUUUAAAACAACUUUUCAUUUUGUGCUGUUGGCAAAUCAUCGUUUCUUUUUAAUUUCAGUGAAGGGAAGGAGCUGAAUAUUUUAAUACUCAGUGAUCUUUAUUAUCAUCUUCAAGGAGAGCUUAAAGGCCGUAAAAUUGAUCCUGGGCCAUUCAAAGAACUUGCCCAGUAUCUACUGGAUUCACAAUUUUUGCAAAAUUAUCGACAUGAGUAUGAUGGUGACCUUUUUGCACCUGCUAAAGAUGUUCACUUGUUUGACACCAGUCAUUUACAAGCAGAUUUAGGAUUAGCUAUGUGGGAUCAUUCACAGUGGAAAGCAACUAAAGAAAUUGCAGAAACAAUGUUGCUUUGCAUGAAGGAAGCUAACUCAAUGGUGUUGCUCACUGGAUCAAAGCUUUGUUCAUUGAAAGCAUUGAUAACCAUCUUGACCAUGUAUGAAGAAGAUGUAAGUUCUCAGAUUGGAUUUAGCUCUUUGUAUGCUGGUCAUAUUUUGAACUUAUCAGUCUGAAGGACCAUAAGCAUUUUUGUUUUUUCUGAAUGUCUUAUUAUUAUAUAAUAUUGAUUUAAGGUCCUUGUGCAGUUAAGUGAGAGAAAGACUACAAUAGGUGGGGCGAUCCCUGAGCAACUCAUUCUAUCGUGCAUAGAUCAUGUGUGCCAAUGUUUCCAUGGCACACUAGAAUCAUUAGCUCCAGUUCUCGAUGCUCCUGAAGAUAUGCUUGAUUUCCUUGCAGCCCAAGCUGAACUACUUCUCCGUCUCAUUAGAUUUGUAAACAAAAGUCUGCCUUUACCUGUUUGUGUACUUGUUUUAAAAACCUCAGGUCAUGGCCUUAAAGUGUUGGGUAACUUUAAGCCAUCUGUUCCUGAGGUUAGAACAACAAUGAAGCUCUUACUCAUGUUGCUUCUCUCAUCACUUGAGUUCAGCUCUCUCAGUUCACUUUUAGGUGGGUUGUCAGAUAAGAAAUCUGUUGAAGACUUAGCUGAAGCAUCUAGUGUGAGUUUGGGGCUAUUACCUAUUCUCUGCAACUGCAUCGGAACUGCUGAGAAUUGUGUCCUCUCCCUGACAACUAUUGACUUAAUACUGAAAGGCUUCUUGACACCUAACACUUGGUUCCCCAUCAUACAAGAACAUCUCCAGUUGCAGCAUAUUGUUCUGAAACUUCAAGAUAAAAGCUCUCUUGCUUCCAUUCCCAUAAUUUUGAGAUUUCUUUUGACCCUUGCACGUGUGAGAGGAGGUGCUGAGAUGCUUCUUACUGCUGGCUUUUUCUCAUCUCUGAGAGUGUUGUUUGCUGACUUAUCAGCUGGUAGGCCAUUUUCAGUUAUUCAAAAUGGUACAAGUCACUCCAACUCAUCUGAGAAUUUUGAAAAGCCUCAGCAUGUUUGGGGUCUAGGCUUGGCUGUAGUCACAGCAAUUAUUCAUUCUUUGGGAGGCAGUUCCUUGUGUGUCAAUACUGUUGAGAAUGUAAUUCCUUACUUCUUCUCUGAGAAAGCUUAUUUGAUAUCAUAUUAUCUUAAUGCACCAGACUUCCCAUCUGAUGAUCAUGACAAGAAAAGAGCUCGGGCUCAAAGGACAAGGACAUCUCUUGCUGCUCUUAAGGAAACAGAGCAUACUCUAAUGUUAAUGUGCGUGCUAGCAAAGCACUGGAACUCAUGGGUUAAGGCUGUGAAAGAAAUGGAUACAGAGCUAAGGGAGAGAAGUAUUCAUCUUUUGGCCUUCAUUAGCCGGGGAACUCAACGCCAUGGAGAAUCACCCAGCAGGAUUCCACCUCUCUUGUGUCCUCCUAUGCUCAAAGAGGAUUUUGAUUUUUACAAGAAACCAGCAUUUGUUAACAGCCAAAAUGGAUGGUUUGCUCUUUCUCCUCGUGGUUGUUUAUCAAAAUCUAAGUUCUCAUCUGUCUCAAUCAAGUCAACUGCUCUUGUAGUCAAGGAUCAAUCAUCUGAAAAUUUAGAUGUUUCUCAGACACACUUCUCAGAUAUAGUAGCCUUGCAGAUCUAUAGAAUUACAUUUCUUCUAUUGAAAUUUCUCUGUUUACAAGCUGAGGGUGCUGCUAGGAGGGCCGAGGAAGUGGGAUUUGUAGAUCUUGCUCAUUUUCCUGAACUUCCAAUGCCUGAGAUUUUGCACGGCUUACAGGUACAAUGAUAGCAUUUAUUCUUGUACUAGGAUUAUGUCCACCCUACUAAAUUAUGGGAUGUUUAUAGAUUUGUUAGUGUUUUACAUUUGAAGCCUGGCUUACCAGCACCUCCUCAGGGCAAAAACAUCUGGUCUUCCAAAUUUUAAUCCAAGAAAUGAUUGAAAGUCAGUAAAUGGAUUAAGGAUUAAACCUUUAUUGUUAGUCUUAUGUUGAGUUCUUAUUCCUCUGAUGCAGGAUCAAGCCAUUGCCAUUGUCACUGAACUCUGUGAGGCCAACAAAUUAAAGAAGAUCGAGCCUGAAGUCCAGAGCACAUGCCUCUUAUUACUGCAAAUAAUGGAAAUGGCCUUGUACUUGGAACAAUGCGUUUCACAGAUUUGUGGAAUCAGACCUGUUUUAGGACGCGUUGAGGAUUUUUCCAAGGAAGUCGUCCUGUUAAUUAGAGGUAACACCAUAAUUUUCAUUCUGCUAACUUCUAACAAUCAUAAUAAUGUAAUUUUCAAACUCCCAUGCCUCAACAUGAUCUUAAAAUCUUGAUUGUUUUUGGAUGUUUUGCAGCAACGGAAGGACAUUCCUUUUUGAAAGCAGCAGUAAAGUCCUUGAAGCAGAUUAUAUCACUUGUGUAUCCUGGACUAUUACAAACUGAGGGCCUCUUGUGAGCUGUCAGGUGCCCCUGUAGAUCUAGGUGAACUCUGUAGCUUUAAAAACUCAUGUAAAAUGUGUAAAGAUUCCUUUUCCCUUUAUGAAUUUUGGACCCUUUCCCAGCCUUUCUUUUUGUGAUUCCAAUUCAUAAAGAGCUCUUUUCCACAACGAGCAUAUGCCCUCCAGUGGGGUCUGUAAGCUCUCUAGCCACCCAUGAAUCCAUUUCCAGUUGGAGACAUCUUUCUUCAGUCAAACCACUUGCACAGCUUUGUUUUUUUGUAAUAAUUAUUUCCCCUCCAUUAAGGCCCAUGUUUCAUCUUUAAACAAAUCCAAAAUUUCAAAUUGCCCCUUUCUUUGUUUGUUUGCAGGAGCUAGGAUUUCGAUCUCAAUCACUGCCCUGUGUGUAUACUUUUUGUUCUGGUUGAAUAGAAUUCUCAUGAAAAACCUUGGCAUGAAGGAUGAUUUUAAAAAUAAAGAAAUAAAAAAAGACAGCUCCAAUAUUCAAACAGAGCUUCCUCAUAAGUCAAUUGAAUUUUAUUGUUUGAUAAUAUAAGUAGGAGCCCAAUUUCUAAAUUGCUUCGAUAAGAAUGUAUAUAAGUGGAAUAUUGGGUUCAUGAGAUGGGUCCCGAGUAUGGCACCCAUGUCUCCAAUCUGAACUAAAUUGGGCCUAGAUAGCACGUGAUCGACAAACAACAGUCAGUACCUUUAAUUGUAACCGUACAACGACGUCGUUUUCAUUAUCUGGAUCUAAUCCACGUAGGCACCGAAUAAUCCAAAAGCAUAUACCACGUGCCCAUAUAUAUAUAUGCUACCGCCUCAUCCGCAACUAACCAGAGUUAAAAAAAAAAAGGUUGACCAUAGUUGCUGUAAUAAUCCACCUUUCUUAAUCUUAAUAUAUGGACACGUGUCCAAACCCAACGGCCACGAUUCGCCCCCUGCAGAUAUUGCCAAUGGAAGGCCACUAUAUAAUGAAUCUCACCUUCUCCAACAGACCAGGUUGCUCUAGACGCAGUUUUAGAGAGGGAGAGAGAGAGAGAAUCGUAGCUCAGCAAAAAUGACGAACCCUAGGGUCUUCUUCGAUGUCUCCAUCGGCGGUGCUCCCGCCGGUAGGAUUGUGAUGGAGUUGUACGCUGACACAACUCCACGAACCGCCGAGAACUUCCGCGCCCUCUGCACCGGCGAGAAAGGCGUCGGCCGGAGCGGCAAGCCUCUGCACUUCAAAGGCUCAAUCUUCCACAGAGUGAUCCCAAGUUUCAUGUGCCAGGGCGGCGACUUCACCAGGGGCGACGGCACCGGCGGCGAGUCCAUCUACGGUGCCAAGUUCGAGGACGAGAACUUCAUCAAGAAGCACACCGGUCCCGGCAUACUGUCGAUGGCGAACGCCGGUCCUGGAACAAACGGAUCGCAGUUCUUCAUAUGUACGGAUAAGACGGAGUGGCUGGAUGGGAAGCACGUGGUGUUCGGCCAGGUGGUAGAGGGGAUGGAUGUGGUGAAGGCCGUUGAGAAGGUAGGCUCAGGCUCCGGAAGGACCGCCAAGACCGUGAAGAUCGAGGACUGUGGUCAGCUCUCUUGAAAUGCUGUUCCUCAUCCCCUACUCUCUUUACUAUUUCUGCGGUAUUAGCCUGUCUCGUCUAGCCUCUGAGUCCUGGUUGUCACCUUACGUUUCAUGUGUCUGUCCCUGUCGUUUGGUAGGUUGCACAAACCUCCAUAUCUCUAUGUAUUGCAGUGAACUCCUCAAUAAGCUAGUGCAUUUGGUCUACUUGUAACAAAACUCUCGUCUUGUCUUGUCUUCUCUCGCAUGAUCCAAAAUAAAAAUUUUAGAAAAAUGAAGCAAAUGAAAAUAAAACAAAAAUGGAGGCGAAAAUCCUUUUGGAGGAUCAGGCCAUCAAAUCAAGGCGGAAAGGAUAAAUGUGGCGCACCACCUGCGAUGGUGGACCCACACGGAUAAAUCUUUACACAAAGUCUGAGACAUGGUUAAAGACUUAAAAUCAACCACAAGGCCUGUAUUUCAUGGGAAGCUUCCUCUAAUCCCUUGACAAAGAACAAAGGAUAAGUAAAAAGAAUGGAGAAGGAAGCUUCAUUUGGUUUUGGUUUUGGUAUUUGGAUUUUCCAUCAGAUUAGAUGUUUUAGAUUGGAUUUUAGGUCAUAGUUGUAUACCUACAAAACUAUUCUUCGGGUCAAAGCCAGAAACUUUCAAGCAGAUUUUCUAGUCGAAUAAAACAAACACUUUCUUAAUUCUUAAUCAUUAAGUUCUCGUUUGAAAGUUGAAAAGAACAAAAUGGGGUAGUAGAAGAAAAUGUAGAGAAAAAAAAAAAAAAAACCCUUUUUCUUUUUCUUUUCAAUUACAUGGGAGAUUUUUUUUUUUUUAAUAUAUUUAUUUUAAGUUUUGGGUUAAAAGAACCGAAGGACGCACUCACGGGGAUAAAAAGAGUAACGUCUGGAACAAGCGACAUCAUUUGACAACAAAUCAAGCCAUCGUAUAAAUUUAACAUAAUUAUUACUUUUUUUUUUUCAAAAACAUAAAAUAUAAAAAUAAAUACAUAAAAUAUAAAAUUAAUAAAUUAUUUAAAAUAAAAAAAUUUAGACUCGAUAAUAAUUUUAGAAAAUAUUUAUAAUAUUUAAAAAAUUAUUAUUUAAAUAUUAAAAACGUUUUUUAAAAUACUCUUAUUUUUUUCAAUAAUAAUAAAAUUAAAUAAAUAAAUAAAUUAAAAUGAAAACCUUUAAAUUUUUUUCUUUUAAAAAAAAAAUUAAAGACAGACAUUACUCACCCAUUUUUUUUUUCUUUUUUUUUUUUUUUUGUUUUUGCAUUCGUUGGCAUCCUGGUUGUCCCAUUAUGGCUCUAGAAUCCUAAUCUUCUAUGAAAUUACAUAUUUGACCCUAUAUUUGGUCUAUUGUUACAAUCUGUUAAGGGUGUUUUUGACAUUCCACCGGGAGCAGACUCCACAUUGCCACGUGGGCGUUAAACAGUGAACGACAAGGGAUCCGGUAGCAACAUAGUUAAGCGACGCCGCGAAGGAGGCGAUCCCGCCCUAGCCCAACCUGCAUCACUGUACGGACGCGAGAAACUUCCGAACAAGACGACGAUGACGACGACUGCCACUGCGUGUGUUUGGUGAAGAGAGAGAGGGCGCUUCCGCCAUUUGAGAUCCCCAUCCACACACGCACACUCUCUCUUUCUCUGUCUGUCUGUCUGUCUGUCUCUCUCUCUCUCUCUGUAUCUGCUAAUUCUGAACCCGCCGGCCGACGUUACUGCGGUUUUGGCGGGAAUUCUUAUCGGAUUUUCAGCUUCUUAUUUUUGGAGAACUGUGGUUGUCGGUGAUCUCAACUAUUUGAAUUGGUGGGGUUUUGGGGAGUGGGAGAAAGAAAUGGGGGUGUCGGACAAUACGAGAGGAUUGAUACUGGCAAUGGCGUCGAGCGCUUUCAUUGGCUCCAGCUUCAUCUUGAAGAAGAAGGGUCUCAAGCGCGCUGCUGAUUCCGGUACACGCGCAGGUGAGCUUGAUUGUGAUUAUGUAAUUCAAUUGUGAUAUCAGUUGUUCUAUGUGUCUAUGAUGUUGGAUUUUAUCAUACGAAUUUCUAAUCUACCUUCCCGGAGCUCAUUCACUGGGGAAUUGGAGGAAAAUGAAAAUGUUGUUGCUCCCUUCAUUAUUAUCAGUAAGAUGGGGAAAGACGAGGAAGGAAAUGAAAAUUGGAAUCUACAUAAUUCUAAACUCACUGAUUUGAAGGCAAAUAUUGUGUUCAUAUUUACUGUUUUCUUGUUCAGGGGCACAAUCUGGUUUAUUAAUCGGGUCCAUUAUGUCAAUUAGAAAUACUAGUGUGUAUCUGGGUAAUUCUUCCGCUUCAAAAAAUAAAGGAAAAGUGGAAAAAAAAAAGUGUUCCUUCUGAGCAAGCUGAAGCUAGGAUUGGUUUCUAUCGAUAUAGAAGUACCCUAAGACAAUUGAAACCUUAUUUUCAUUUUAGAGAAAUGCUGGAUAAUUAAAACUACCCAAAACUUGAAUCUUAAAUUUUUGUGAUGGUUCAAGAUUUCAUGAUGGUGGGAGGGUUCCAUUUUGGCCACUCUCAGUACCAUAUACAAUAAGGUCAUAUCUGCCUUUCUAAAUCAAUUGACACAUGAAUAAGUUUUGCACUUAGUAUGUUGGUUUAAAAUUAAUUACUUUGUUUAUGAACCGAAUGGAUCAUUUUAUUUGAAUGCUGCAUGCUUCUUUUUGUUCAUAUAAUGAACUUUCAUUUUUUAAUAAUGUAGGAGUUGGAGGUUACACUUACUUGCUUGAGCCUCUUUGGUGGGCAGGAAUGGUUUUGAGUAAGUAUAUUGAACAUCACUGCUAGUUAAUUCUUUUUUCCCUUCCAAUUAUCAUAUCACUUAAAUGAUAAUGAUACUUCCGGUGCACUGUGUUUGCCACUAUAUCUCUGUAGCUGGUUUUUUGUUUCUUACUUGUAUACUUCCGGUAUACUAUGUUCACCACUUUAGUUUGACACUCUUUAUAUAUAUAUAUAUAUAUACACACACAUACUCUCUUAUUUGCCUAUCAAGAAAAAAAAUUCUCUGAAAUGAUAGUCGGUCAAUGUAUAUUAAUCUUGGAUUGUGAAAUUUCUUGUCAAAUAGUGAUUGUUGGAGAGGUUGCAAACUUUGUUGCCUACGUUUAUGCUCCAGCAGUUCUGGUGACCCCCCUUGGUGCGUUGAGUAUAAUUAUUAGGUAAUAAUGCAGGUGCUUCAAAGGUCUUGUUUGUGCUAAAUUAUUAAAAUAAAAGUGGAAUUUUCUUUUUCUCUUUUAUUUUAGAACUAACAUGUUUGAUAUAUGUGAAUAGUGCCAUUUUGGCGCAUUUCAUGUUGAAGGAACGGCUACAGAAAAUGGGUGUUCUGGGAUGUGUUUCAUGCAUUGUGGGAUCAGUAGUGAUUGUAAUCCAUGCACCUCAAGAACACACUCCAAAUUCGGUACAAGAAAUCUGGGCUCUGGCAACUCAACCAGGUUCCGGGUUUAGACAUUUCUUUUUAUCUUAAGUUCUACUCUUUUUUUUCACCUUAUUAGUUGAAGAAAUAACUAAUGCUUUUGUUGCUUUUCUUUUUCUGUUGACAGCAUUUCUAAUAUAUGUAGCAGCUACAUUAUCCGCAGUAUUGGCUUUGAUCUUGUAUUUUGAACCUCGAUAUGGACAGACAAAUAUACUGGUUUACUUGGGCAUUUGUUCAUUAAUGGGUUCACUUACGGUAAUUAUGUUGCCUUUUUAAGUCUCCAAGUAGCUAGGGGCACUCUGUUUUUUGGAGGUUUAUGGCUUUUCAUUUCAUUGUAACAUUUGCUACUCUGUUCGGUGCUCAGUCUUUGGAACAUUUCUCUUGCUGUUCUGCAGGUUGUAAGCAUAAAGGCUAUUGGAAUUGCUAUAAAGCUUACUCUGGAGGGGAUAAGUCAAGUUGCUUAUCCUCAAACUUGGUUUUUCCUUACUGUUGCAGCAGUCUGUGUCAUCACGCAGUUAAACUAUCUGAAUAAGGCAAGUCUAGCAUUAUCAAUGCUGGAAGUGUUAUGAUUUUAAUAAUGUUUAUUUCUAUUCUUUAGUAAGUCAUUGCUUUCUUGUUUUUGAGUAUUUGACCUAUGGUUCAAAGUUACAGUAUUUUCACUGACUUAGUAGGUCCCAAGGCAGAUUAUAUUGAGCUAUAUGUGCAAUAUGUUAGUUAAAAGCUCAAAAACUUAUAAAAAGAGUAGUGAAAAUUCUUAGAAAAAUAAUUACAAUUUGAUUGACUCGACAACUAAUAGCAAAGAAACCAUCUAUCAUAUUUGAUUGAUUCAAUAGUUAUAAAAGCAUCUGUUAUCCCAGUUUUACACCCAAUACUGAUUUUUGAUUACUGUUAUAUCAACACAUUGAAAUUUUAACUUGCUGAAAAAAAAAUUAGUUUGUGCUGUCAAAAAAAGAAGAUAAAAAAUAGAAAGAAAUGUGUUUAAUAACAACUUGAUAAUUGUCUGAAAAUAAGUAAUUAUGAAUUUCUUGUUCAUAAUAAUUUGUUGAAGUGUUUUUUCUUGUUCCUAGUCAAGGAUUGAGACAUUUUCCUUGAUUAAUGUGGAGAUUCUAUGAGAAAUGCAAAGAUUCUCGGGAUUUUUACCCCCUCUCAUUUGCAUUGGAUCCAAAUUGAGUUGUUACAUCAAGUUUUAUCAUGAGUGAGCCAAGAUGAGUGAUUCGUAUUCGAGUUAGGACUAAAUUGCUAUUGAACUACACAAUACUCAAUUUGCGUCUUAGACUAGCUGCAGUCUUAUCAGAGAAUCAUGACUUGACUGUCUCUCUAUAAGACAUUAAUUCUCAACUUAGCAUAUUAUUUUUCAUUAAACCUUGACAAUCAUGCCUUAAAAUGCCUAUCUGCUAUGUUGCAUGCUUACCCGCACUAUUUAACACAUGAAAAAUCAUAUAUCAUGUUUUGAGAUUUUGGGUUAGUUACAUUGAUUAUAUAAGGUAUAGAUGAUUUCAAUGUGUCCAAAGUCAAAAAAAUACUUGGGAUGCAUCUCAUGCUUGCUAGUUAGCGUAUUGCUGUAUUUAAAAUAUUUUCCUUGGAUUUUGGACAUGUUUUGGAAACUUACAACAAGUGAACAAUUAGGUCAAAGAACCCUAUGCAUUGUUGCAGGCAAUAGUCAUUCCCAGGAGACUACUAUAUGCCAUAUAUGAUGUAUUGUUGUAUAGAGGAUUGCAAUCUCUAGCACUGCCAAAUCUCCUGAAACUUAACAAAGCAAAAAACUUCCAAUCCAUUUGCUUCUUGCUUGCCCAUCCAAUUUAAUUCAAUUUUUGUACCCUGUUGAUUAUAUUGCAAGCCUGUAGGGCUUUACAGAAGAUUGAUGCAUUUUGGUUUUCAACUUCCAGUUUUCAAUACCACCAUGUUAAUUAAAUAUAUUUCUCAAGCUUACAAUAUUUUGAACCUAGAAGUGCUUGAUGACCAUCAUGAUACUUCAUUUGCAAUAGUCAUAAUUAAAAUUUUAUCUAGGAAUCUGCAAAACUUUUCAGUCAUUGUGAUUGAACUUUCCCUAGCUCCCUUAAUGUUGACAAAAAUCUGAAAGCUGUGAUUCCACUUUAUUGAGCUGAGAUGUGUAACUUACACAAGCUUGAAUGAUUAUGUUGUGUGCCAUUUCUCCUAAUUGGUUUGUUAGCUAUUUGGUGAAUGUAGUUUAAGUGAACAGGCUCUUGCAAUUCUCGUGUUGGCUGAUGUUUAUAGCUUCUUUGUUCCAGGCGCUGGAUACAUUUAAUGCAGCAAUUGUUUCUCCAAUUUAUUAUGUCAUGUUCACAACUCUGACUAUAAGUGCAAGUGCAAUAAUGUUCAAGGUAGAUUGCUGAAUCUAUUUACUUGGUGUUGUUUCUGAAGCUGCAUUAUCGGGUUCUUAUGAUUACAAGAAAUAAUGAGCAUAAAUCUUAUUCUUUGCAUGUGCUCUGCAGGAUUGGUCAGGUCAGAAUGCAAGCAGCAUAGCUUCAGAGAUAUGUGGAUUCAUCACUGUCCUUUCAGGAACAAUCAUACUGCAUGCAACAAGGGAACAGGAACCAGCUACUGCAUCAGGUACAAAUUGACCAAUUUAUUUUUAUUAUUAUUAUUAUUUUUAUCUUACAGACCCAAGAUUUUAGUCCCAAGGAUUGUCCUUUGUUAGUCCAAAUAUUUAUCCUCCAAAUACAGAUCAGCCUAAUUCUUACGCAUCUAUCUGUUAGAUCUGUAAGCCAUUCUCAUAAAGCAGUUAUGAACAUAAGUUACAAAUGAGGUAGCAGAGUGCAGCACAAUUUCAAGCUGAGUUCAUUGUCAAAUUAGCCUGUUGACUAAAAUAUCGAUGCUGAGUUCAUUCUUUCAACCUGCUUGGUCCAAUUCAGGUUGCAAAACUACUUUCCUUUUGAUGGGAACCGUAGUACUGAUAAAAGAAAUUGAAAAAUUACAAAAUUCCAUACAAGGACAGUUCCUUAUUUUCUUUUGAGAAGGAAAUUAAUGAAGGAUUUUUAACCACAUAAGCAUGCCUUUGGGAUGACUAUACCAUGCAUAUCUCACUAGAAAUGCUAUCUAAUGGAGAAGAAACUGCAAGUUUGUGCCGUAUUUUUUUUGGUCUUUUUACCUGAGGUCUUAGUUGGUGUGGCUGUUCUGAUUUUAGUUGGGCAUUUUCUUCUCCUCCUUAUUCUUUUCUUUUUUCGUCUUUCCCCCCCCUUUUUGUGGAACUGUCCAUAAAUGUUUUCCUUGAAAGAAUGAUACGUGGUUUGUUUAGAUAUGAGUUCUCUUCGCUUUGUUCUUUUAUUUCUUAAAUGAUUUUUUGGGCUGAGGCAAGGGCCUUUUCAGGUAUUGAAUAAUUUCUCAGAUUGGCCUGGGGAAUUAUGCCCAGAGAAUAUUCAUACAAGUAUUUCCUCCAAAAGAUGGGGGUAAAGACACUUGUCUCAUUUCUUUCUCCAUCUUUGCUUACCAGGCAGUUCUGGUUCAAGCCUGAGUAUUAAACCAGGGCUAGAUUCUGGCUAGUUGUGGAUUCACCUCCAUGUUGUCCAGCUAGUGAACAUUAUCGUCAAUCCAAGUCAUAUGAAAAGAUGGACACAGCCAUCUAAGCCCACUUUAUUCUGGAAGUUUGGAAAUAGAAUGAUCAUUAUACUGAAUGGUCUUCAGAUUGGAUGAUAGGCAGACUCUUUGACACAGAUGGUCUAGCUGAAAUAACAGAAUCAUUAGUGAGUUUUGUACUAGUUUUUUUUUUGUUGAUCAAACUACUUGUAGAACUGGCGUCUAUGAAAUCAUAAGGUACACUUGUGCAUUUAACUCCAGAGAGAGAGAGAGAGCCUUUCCUCCUUUUAACAUAGUUGAGCUUUACUCGAAUGUGCUAAUCCUUUGAAUCUGAUUAUUCUUCCGGUGAAUAAUGCAAUUUAUUAGGUUGUACACACCUUGCAAUUUAUUAGGUUGGAAGGUGGAGAAGAAGAGUUUCUGUCUGUUGCUUGUAAGGUUUUUGUACUUUGGUUUGUUUUGCAAGGGGCCUUGGUGAAGCAAGGUUAUGUGGAUAUUGGACAAGGUUAUGGUUUGGGAGCCUGCUUCUUUGUCUCACAGGGCUUUGUCUUUGUCUAGGGCCCCUUGUUGUGGGAUGGUUGGUUGUCUCUUUGUCUAGUGCUCCUUUUUUUGUGCUUUUAAUAUAUUUGCUUUUACCUAUAAAAAAAACUAUUCAAUUAUACUUACAUUGCUAACACCUUUCCUAUUCAAUGCAGGAACCAUAACAUGGUAUCUAAGUGGGGAUGCAAUGAAGGGUGUUGAAGAUGAACAUUUUAUCACUUUACACCAUUCUGAUUAUUUUGAGCAAUGAAUUUUUGCUUUGAAAUGGAUGGACAAAGAAAAUGAUCCCCGGCAAUGAAGCAACACAAUGCUGUGAUGUAGCAUUACACUAGUGCAUUUGCAGGGUGAAAGAGUUCCUCUCUUUCUCUUCACAAACUUGGAGAUUCAGGAUUUUUCCAGACGAUUUCUUUUCUAUGCAACCCUGUUGACAAGCUGCAGGGCAAGAUGGUUGGAAGAUGGGAAUUGCCAAACCAUUUGAAAUUAGGAAAGGAGGCUGCAGUUCCCUAUCAUUCAUGGCUGGUCCGAUAAUUGCCUUCAAAUUUGUACAUAUUUAUCCACAUGCUUCCAUUCAAUGAUAAUUUGAGUAUAGGGUUUAUUCUUUAGUUGAAUUGUAGUAGUACAUAGAUUAUUACUGACUCGUUUUGUCAAUCACUAAAUCAUCGGUGUGGAUACAUACUCUUGUAGAGUUGAAAAAGAUCAAUUGUAUGAACACUGAUCUGCAGAAACAUGGAAUCAUCUUUGCUUGUGUGUGCUUUCAUGGUGUGAUUUCAAGUUCAGUCUUCAUGUUUAGUCAUCAGUAGUUGCCUUGAAAACAGUUUUCUAAUUAAUGAAACAUAUUUGAUAAUUUUUUACCAAAAGCAUUUUUUGGAAACAUAUUAUUUUCUAUACCAAAUGGGGUUGCCUUGGUUUGUGAUUGUGCCUGAUGGACUAUAGAGAAAGCAUCGAGUUCCUGACUGCCCAUGAAUUCUAUUGCCUUAACGUUUAAGUUAAGUCUGUUUGAACUUUGAAGAGACUUUUGGCCUUGCAUGGUUGCCCAUGAUUGAUCAGCCAAAUUUGUGUUCUUUGAUAUAAAUUUGCAAGUCUAAUGACUAGUUUGGAAGUGAAUAUUGUAAAAUGCUGAAAUGGUGUUUAGGUUAAUAUAUUUUUAUCAUGAAGAGAUAAUAUUUAGAAAUCAACUAAAAUAUGUUUUUUAAAGUAUUUUUUUAUUAUAAAAUACAUGAAAAAUUUUAUUUUUAGAAUUUAAAGAUAAUAAUCUAGUUAUUUUUUUCUCCCUAAAUCACCUUUUUAAGAUGUCCAUCCCUUUAUUACCAAGCAAGAAUAUUCUUACAAUAAUAUUCAUUUUUUAACAUACCUUACAAAUUUUUUAUUCGCAAAAUUAUAUUCUUUUUUUUAAAAAGAUAAAAACGAUUUCUUCUUUAUAUAGAUAGAUAUAAGAUUUAUGAGACAAUUACUUAAAAGUACAUUUUGUGCAAUGACCUUUCCUAUAUGAUAGAAAAGGAUCCCAUGAUCUUGAAUCGAUAUUACUUGGGGAUGGCAAAUCCCAAGCUUGUCUAUGAAGAUCGGAUCAAUAAAAAAAUUAGAUGCAUAAUCUUUUAAUAAAUUUUAUCAUAUUUUCUCUUCUCAAAAAGGAAAAUAACUUUUCAGAUUUGUGAUAAGAAGCUCUUUUAGAUUACUUCUCCGUAUCAUGACAAUCACUUUUCCUUAGUCCAGGUGCUUCCUAAUACGGUACGGCCUUCCACUUCCUAUAAAAGCUCCGCUCUCCAUACACCAUCCAUCAAACAUACUUCAACAAGAGUUAACUUUCUCGCUUAUUGUAAUUAAAAUACCAGCGUCCAUCACAACCGUUGAUCGUGCUUACAACGUAAAGUAAACUCUGAUUAGGAAACCACCAAGCCUCAUCACCACCGUCGGGUUGAGCUUGAUCCAUCGAAAUCCAACCGUCGGAUCACGUCCCCGUUUCUCUAUAUAAGGCCCCACCUCCGCUGCCAACAGACGCAAACCUCAACCUAGCGAUUUUGCGAUAGAGAGAGAAAGGGAGAGAGUUUUAGAGAGAAACAAUGGCGGCAACAGUGUCUCCGUGGGGGAAGGCCGGCGCGUGGGCCCUAGAUUCAGAGGAGCAUGAAGACGAGCUUCUACAACAGCAACGAGAUGAUAAAGUUAAUGGAGAAUUUUCCGGCGGUGAGGGACGGCAGGCGCCGGAGGCUUCGGCAGAUUUUCCGACUUUGGCAACGGCGGCCGCUACGAAAUCCAAGAAGAAGAAAGGUCAGACCUUGUCGCUGUCGGAGUUUUCGGCCUUCGGCGCUGGGAAAUCGGCUCAGCCAAGCCAAACCAAGGGGCUGACUCAUGAGGAUUUGAUGAUGCUGCCUACUGGGCCGCGGCAGCGGAGCGCGGAGGAGCUGGACCGUGGCCGACUCGGCGGAGGGUUCAGGUCGUACGGUUCGAAUGGUUCGUAUGAAGGCGGGCGGAGUCGGUAUGGGGGCGGCGAGGAUUCGGCGAACCCUAGAUGGGGUCCUAGGGGUUCGGAGGAGAGGAGACAGGGAGGCUUUGGGAGGGAUUCGAGCAGGGAAUUGGCGCCUUCUAGGGCUGAUGAGAUCGACGAUUGGGGUGCGGCGAAGAAAUCGACGGUGGGCAAUGGGUUUGAGAGGAGGGAUAGAGGAGGGUUCUUUGAUUCGCAGUCUCGAGCAGAUGAAUCGGCCAGUUGGGUGUCGAAUAAAAGCUUCACUCCGUCGGAGGGACGAAGAUUUGGCGGCGGCGGCGGCUUUGAGAGUCUCAGAGAGAGAAGAGGGGGUUUUGAUUCUGCCUCGGAUGGUGGUGGUGGUGCUGAUUCCGAGUCCUGGGGACGGAAAAAGGAAGAGGGAAGUGGGAAUGCUAAUGGCAGUGCGGGAUCGAGGCCAAAGCUUAUUUUGCAGCCUCGGACAGUGCCGGUGAACGAUGGACAACAACCAGGGUCUGGGUCGGUUGCGAAGCCCAAGGGUCCAAAUCCUUUUGGAGAGGCCCGGCCGAGGGAGGAGGUAUUGGCUGAGAAAGGGCAGGAUUGGAAGGAAAUUGAGGAGAAGCUGGAGUCUGUGAAGCUUAAGGACGUGGGUUCGCCAGGCGUGGGGCAAACAGAUGGGCCAUCGUUUGGGAAGAGGAGUUUUGGAAGUGGUAAUGCGAGGGCGAGUUUGCCUGAAAGUAGGAGUGAGAAGAGUUGGAGGAAGCCAGAAUCUGAAGAUGUGAGGUUUGUGAAAUCAGCUGUUUGAUUGAUCUAAUUAUCCGAAUGGCAAACGCUUAGUUGUUUUAUAUUUCAAUUAUUGAACUGCUUAGUUUGAUUAGCAUUGAACUGCUUAGUUUGAUUAGCAUAUCUUUGCUUGUGUAUCUUUAUUGACUAAACACUUCCAAGUUUCUUUGAUUAAACCACAGAAGGAAACUCAUACUUGAUUAGCACUUUUGAAUCUUCUAUUAAAGCAUCAAUCUUUUAAUAAACACCACCUAUGUUAAUGCGGCUGCCUCAUGGGAAUACUCGCUUUGUUUAAAAAAUGUGGUUUUUGAUCAGUGCUUAAUAUUCCAUUCUCUUCCUUGGUGAAGAAAAGGUGGGAUCUUGGCCAAAAAAUUGACAUGCCUGUACCAUAUUUGAAUCUUCAUUAUACUAUUAGUAAAUGGAUAUUAGGUUUAACUGGCCAGUGGAUCUUUGGGUGUUAGAAGGUUGCAUUUAUAUAAGCAUCUUCAUAAGUGGGAAGGGUCAAAAGAAAAAUUUUCUUAUUCCACUACCCCUGGUUGUUAUUUGGGAUAUGAUUGAGAUGGGUUUGGUUGAAGUUUAUGUAAAUUGGAUCCCUCAUAAGCAUUGAACUUAGAAGUAGUGGUUUUAUUUGAUUGCAAGAUUCUUUCACCUAAAAUGUCAUAAGUUUUGUCUGGUGGUGAAUUUUUAUAGGGCAAGGCAUGAUGUAACUAGUGAAUAGAUUUCUGUUCAAUAGGUUCUAUUUAUUUCUGUCUGUGAAUUGUUGUUUCUAUUUGCAUUCCCUCUUGAAAACAAAAUUAUAUGAGCUUAUUUGUUGUAAGCAUGAUAAUUUUCUAUGAAUAAGUUUUAUGUCUUUAUUUGUAAGUUUGUAAAAUGACUAAGCUUUGGAUUGUUCAUUGGUGCAGCUCACUUGUUAAUCGUUGUUAGAUUACAAAUUGUAGCAAAAAAUAUCCUGUUAGCUUUCAGGGGGAAAGUUGUGGCUAUGCUCAAUUGGAUGGCCCUGCUGAUUUCUUUUUGUGAAACUAAUUUGUUUUUCUUCUUUUGGGUGUAGAGCUGCAAAAACUGAGGAUGAACAUGAAGAGAAAACUCAAGAUUGAGAUGCAUGCUGAUGGUUGACAGGAACAUUUCAAAAAAAAAAAAAAGAAAAAAAAGAAAAGAAAGAAAAGUAUCAACCUAUUAAAGACUAAGAUGUUGAAUUGAUGAGAUUAUAUUGGUUUCUCUGUUUUCUUUUCAGUGUUUUGCCCUAACUGUUAUUUCUAUGAUGCAGUAUGGAGACAAUUUUGGUAGGCAUUCUCAGUAGUUGCAGUUUUUAGGCCUAAAUGGCUUUUGUUUGUAAUGGAUAUCGCCACACAGGAUUCUGUGCUAUUUCUAUUAUUAUUUUUGACAUCGAAUUCUUUCUCUUAUGUUGAUCCGAGUGCAGAUUUUGGAAUCUAUAAAUUUGUGACAAAUAAAUAAGAGACUUUACCUUGUGUAUUGUUUUAAUGCUUUUCAUUAUGGGUAGGGCUUGCUACCAUUUCAAUAUUCAUUUGUUUCCAUACAUCGUUGCCUUGUGCUGGUGUUGGUGGUCGGGUUCACGGGAUAGUGGAUGACUAUUUGUUGUAGGAAGACUCAAUUUAAUCCCUUUUUUCUAGUCACCCCUUGAGAUUGUUUUCAUUGAUUUUGUUUUCACUAAGUUUAGAGAAAGGAAAAUCACAGGCAGGCUCCCGAAUGAGCCUAAAAUGAGGGGGCUAGGGUGGAAGCAGAUCUCCAUAUGGGGGCUGUAAACAUUGGUGGCAGGCGAUUGCUGCAUCCCUAAAUUUAUAGAGUUAUGGUCACAGAAAUUGUGUAACCAACCACGUAUUUGAAUUAUAAUGUUGUUGAGGGAGAGUAUGGCUCAUGGUUAUAUAUCCCCUUUUCCAGUAAUUUCUUCUCAUUCACCUCUUUUUACCAGUCAAAAAGAGAGCGGAGAAUUGCACAUGCAGCAUCUUGGUUGAUAGAGGAUCAUCUGUUAGAUGCUAUCAAUCAUUUUUCUACUCUAACCCAAAUUGUUGCUUCUUCACAUGGCUUCAUCAAUGCUUGUGGAGCCAUCUUUCCAGAAGUUCGAAUAUAACGGCCAUAUGGUCUGAAACAUUUGACAAAAAUUGGAUUGCUUCUGCUUCUGCCUUGCUGUAGGUGAGAGAUUGGUACUGAGACUGUCAGAAGCUUCAAAUAUAACGGCUAUGAAGCUGUACGAAAGCCAUGUGGAACAUUUGCUUUAAAGAUGUUAGGUGAGAUACGCUUCACAUCUCUCUCCAAAACGAAGCAUAAAACCAGCUAAAAACUAGUUUAUGUCUCAUUGUCUUGGUGAUGUGAAGUAAUAUCAGUCAAUGGGGAUGGCCCAUGGCUCAGUUAAUAUGAAUGAUGCUUUUUCUGCCGAAGUUGAAUGGGUUCUGAUUUCUGAUAUGGUCCGUGAACAAACAGUAAACAAAAUAUGUAGAUUUUUAGCGGAGAGGAAUAUUUCAAAAAAUAUAUGCUGGUCUCAAAGUUGGAUGGCAUAUCCGCAUAAUCGAAGUUGUAGAUUGUUAAUGUUGUGGAGCUAGUUGCUUCUACCACCAGACUUCCAUUUAUUGACGCUUUCAAAAAAAUUAUUCACUUAUGAAUAAUACAAAAUUUUAAAUUGAAAAUCAAUCUAUUGUCAGAAUGCUUCUUUCAUACCCAUCUCUUAAUUCCAGUGAAAUUCUUGAUCAAAAGCUUAGACGAACUUCCAUUGAAUCAGUGGCAUGAGAGAGUCCUCCGUCAUGCCUGCUGAACUCCAUGGUUUAUUUGCCAGUCAAGGGCAUCCAUGGCACCACCCUCUUGAUCUUUUUUUUUUUUUUUUUAAUCCUAUGUAAUAUCCUAACUCCUUAAAUAUUACCUGUAUAAUAGUUCUGUAACAAAUGCGGAGAAAUGGCAAUGGAGGACAGAGCCUUCUAGACAGCCUUAAAUGAAUGUACCGUACUGGGUCAUGGAGAACAGAGUCUUCAAGCCUUUUCUUUCCACACCUCAUAAAUGGAGGCAGUUGAGAGUUAAAAGACAACACUCCUUAUUUACUUCUUAUGAAUCUUGUUUGUGCUCAUUCACAUUCUGAUCCACACCAGCUUUUCUCUCUUUUAGUGUUCUACUUUCUUGCUUGGUUUUCCCACUGCUCCCAGGCCUCUCAUGGAUUUGCCCCUCAACCUCCUAUUCACAGCUUUUCUCAUUCUUGCUGCAGCCAUUGAUGGGGCUCAUGCAGAUGCCAUGGUCACGGGCACCGUCUUCUGCGACCAAUGCAAGGAUGGACAGAGAUCCCUCUUCGAUUAUCCCCUCUAUGGUAUGAUCCUUGAUCAACUACAUUUUCUUUUUUCAAAGUUUUGUUCCUUGGAUGUUGUCUCUCAUAAUGUAGAUAGUACUUUCACGGUGAUUACCCCAACAUCCUCACUGUAUACAGUUGUUCAUGUUUACCUAUCAUAUGCCAAAAUCCAUUAGAAGAAUUUGUUUCUGUUUCCUUCAAUUUCUUAGCAAUCAAACAGGGAGAUGAAAGAAUGGAUUAGGGUUCAAAAGAAUUUAACAGCUACCUUUUCUGCAGGAAUAAAGGUUACCAUGGCAUGUGCCAACAGUAAUGGACAAAUCACAAUGUGGAGGGAAGAGACUACAAAUUGGUUUGGAACCUAUGCAAUGAGGUUUGAUGGUGCCCCAGAUUUGACUGGUUGUUAUGCACAAAUUUCAGGCAGUGGACAGGGGUCAACAGGUUGUAGAGCAGCUGCUGGUCCUGCCCAGUCUGUUAGACUUAUGUUCAGGAUGUUUGAUAUGGAGAUGUAUGCAGUGGAUUCCUUGCUUUCUCAGCCUGCUCAGCCCAUGUCCUUUUGCUCAAGAUCCUCUACCCCAGUUCCUACUCCAGGAACUCCAUCUAGGCCUCCAUCAUUUCAGCUUCCGCCAGUUCCACGAAUGCCACCAAUGCCUCCAUUGCCUCCAUUGCCUCCAGCACCACCAGUGCCCUUCCUGGAAGCCUCAGCCUGUUCACACGAGUAAGUCAAGGAAAUUACGAAGAACUUCCCAUAGAAGAACACUGAAACUUUCAAAUAUAGUCCAUAUCCUCUGUUUCCUAUUACUAAAUGGUUGUCUUUUUCCAGGAUAUGGACAGCUCCAGAGUACAAAUGCUACUGGAAGGUGGUGAACCCAGAUAUGAAAGUAGCAUCUGUGUUUGGACUGCUAGCAGCACAGAAGUAUGGGACAGACAUGACCCUGCGGGAAGGCCUGCAAGGGAGAGGAGACCCUUACAGGACCCUCCUCAGAGAGGCCAUAACUUCACUGCUCAACUCCUACAAUAGUCUUCUCUUCCCAUACCAUACCCUUGGUGUCAUCCAGCAUAUGAGUUUGGCCUUGAUGGGGUCCCAACAGAAUGUCCUCCUCACAGCUCUACGCUUCAAGAGGGCAAAUUCUGGCUCCGGCAACCUCACCUGCAAGUUCACUGCCUGCAAGUGAUUCAUCCAUUGCUAGACCUAUUUCAAUCCUCUCUCUAUAUUAUAUAUAUAUAUAUAUAUAUAUAUAUGUAUGCUAUUUCCUUAUUUCUACUUCUUGGGUAUACUAGUAUUUGUAUUGAAUUGACUGACGUCUCCAUAUUAUGAUCAAUUAUUAUAGUAUUUGUAGGAUUUUAGCAGUCCAUAUGUAGAACAUUUGAUAUUGUUUUUGGCUUUGGGUGACAGAAAGUAUGCUAAUUUGAUGACUAGUGGUAGGGUUUUCAGUAGUUGGGGCCCCAUCCUUAUUUAAAAUAUAAGCGUUUCGAAUUAAAAAGGAUGGAGGGCCAACUACUAAUGUCUAUACUAUCAAGCCAAUCUUGAAUUUAGCCGCAUCUUUUUUUCUCUAGGCACAAUAAUGAUCCUCUUCGGUUUCUCUUGGAGAAACCGGUACACCACCUUGCUAAGCCUACUUUAAUAGUGAAAAGAAAGAUCAUUCAUUUUUCAACCAAAAAUUUGAAAGUCAAAAUGUGUGGGAAUAUGGACAGAUGUUUUUGUGGAGACUUCAAUGAGUGUUUUUGAUGGAUAAAAAGAUGUGCUUUUAGGGUUGAAAUAAAUGUAGAUAGAUCGAAAGAAGCAUCAAGGGGAAAAAGAAGAUCUAAAUGACCUAAAAGGGCUUUCAAAUGAUUAUUGAUUUAAGUGGGUAGCUGAGAAAAUGAGAAAUUUAGGAUUGGGUUGGUGAAAAAAAUUAAGGUUAGUGGGCAAAUAAAAAAAAAUGAAUUGGUAAAUGAUUUCCUAAAAAUGAAAAAGUUAUGGUGCAGGUGGAGAACUCUCUAAUAUCUGUCCAUACUCUAAAGCCAGUCAUGAACCUAGCUAUGGUUUCUUCUCUAUUUCUCCACCCACAAUAAAUAAUGAACCUUUUCUUCUCUUUUUCCAACUUCCUAAGGCCAAUGGAUGUAAAAACAUUCGAAUGGGCCUAACUCUUACAGUAGGAUGUCUCUUUCAGUACAUCCAUGAUUGGAUUUCAUUUGAGGGAAGUGUUUGACCUUGAGUUCAAAAUUCAAGAUGUAAAUUUUGAACAAUCUCUUUAAUAACUAAACAAAAUUUAUUUGCAGAUCUAUGUUUCAUCACUUACAAUGGCAAUGGCAAUGGCGCUUAGAAUGCAAUCUUUAUUCAUGCUCUGCGGAUUCUUCUUUGCCAACUCCUUUGUCAUCCAAGAAGCCACCAUCAAGGACAUCCAACACGCAUUCUCUCAAAACCAACUGACCUCCAGACAGCUCGUCGACUUCUACCUGCACCAGAUCCAGGCCUUGAAUCCCAAGCUUCAUGGCGUGAUAGAGGUGAACCCAGAUGCAGGAGAUGAAGCUUGAAAAUGUGAAUCUCAAUAAUGAACUACACCUAGAGGGGGGUGAAUAGGUGUUGUAGAACAAUUUAAAAAUUCGAAUGUCCUUCAAAGAAAAAAGGAAAGAAAGCCAUGCAAGUCACUUGGAGUGACUCAGAAUCAUGUCAAUCUAGUGAAAAAAAAUCCAAUGCUGUUGAAUUUGGUUGGUCUCCACCUAAGGUGUUGGAUAGAGAAGGAAGACCAACUAAUGUUAUCAAGCCUAAGUUGGAAUGGGAUAGAGGUGACAAUGAAGCUAGUGAGAACAAUGCUAGAGCCAUGUAUUCUAUCUUUAAUGCCAUUAGCACGGAUGAAUUUCGUAGGAUAGCCACAUGUACUUCGGCUAAGGAGGCUUGGGAUAUUCUCCAAGUGACUCAUGAAGGAACUAAUGCCGUGAAAGUGUCCAAGCUUCAAAUGUUGACAUCUAGGUUUGAGACCAUUAGGAUGGAUGAUCAUGAGAACUUUGGAGAGUUCUAUGCAAAACUGAUGGACAUAGUGAAUUCUAGUUUUAAUCUAGGUGAGCCCAUCCCUAAUUCCAAAGUGGUUAGAAAAAUUCUAAGAUCUCUUCCGGAGAGAUUUAGAGCAAAAGUCACUGCCAUUGAAGAGUCCAAGGAUGUGGAUUCCUUGAAAGUGGAUGAACUUGUGGGUUCACUCCAAACCUUUGAAAUGACUCUUGGAUCACCUAGGAAAUCAAAGGGCAUUGCCUUGAAUGCCAUUAAAGAGGAGUCCUUAGGUUUCAAAGGUGAGGGUAAUGAGAAAAUGUUGGAUGGAGAGGUUGCUAAAUUUCCUAGAAAAUUCAAAAAAUACAUGAAGUUCAGGAAAUAUAAGAAGAAGUCCAAUGAAGAUGCUAGAAAAUGGAAUAAUUCAAUGGGAAAAUCAAAUGUAAAAGACAAAAAGAAAGACAAGAAUAUCAAAAUAUAAAGUGAGAGAAAGAGACAAUGAACACCAGAUUUUUAACGUGGAAAACCUCCGAAGAGAUCAAAAACCACGGGCCUAUCACCGAUUGAAAACUCCACUAUGAAGAAUAAAAACUGAGUACAAGGUUUUACCUAGCUCAAGCCAACCAAUCCUUCCUGGAAUACUUGACUAGUACCUUCAUUUUCAGCUUCUCCUUUUGAAGCACACUUGGAGUCCGCACCAAGCUCAAUCUCGGCCUCUUCUUGAAUCCACACAAGAAGAAAAUGGGUUUUUGCACAAACCCAAAUAGAAUGAGAGAUUGAGAUAUGAAGGAAGAAAGGAAUCAACCCAUUUGUUGCUCAAGAAAAUCCAUUAAAAACCAGUUUGGAAAACAUUAAGAGAAAUGGAUUUUCUUUGCAAUAAAAAACCCCAACUUAGGAAAGCAAAAACGAGAAAUGAAGAACACUUGGAGUGUGGCUGCUCUCCCCCAUUUUCUGCAGUCACUCUACUUAGAAAAUGAGAGAAGAUUGGUUUUUAAAGUGUAAAAAGAAACCCUUAAUCUAAUGGCUGAGAUUUGAUCAAAAAAACAUUAGUUGGAUAGAUCCACCCCUACACUUAGAUCGAUCCAGAAACAGAGGAAUGAAAUCCUUGCACCAAAAACCAUUCUUCCCAACUUUCUAACACAUUUAAAGAUUAAAAACCGGGUUGAUUAACACCCAAACUCGACUACAUACCUCGACCUCUUAGCAAAGUCUUAGUCUUCAAAGUCAAGUAGUCCGAAUAGGAAUAGGAAAGCCGAGUUAGGGGACACUUAGGAAUUUUGUCCGGAAUUGCCAACCUAGCUAAACACUCACAAAGCUGACAAAGCCGAUUCAAGAAUGAAAAGCAAGACGAAGGUGGGAGAGUUGAAUGGGAUACCGGUGUUGCUGAAGGACAGUAUAAAUACCAAAGAUAUGUUGAAUUCAAUUGCUGGGUCAUACGCAUUGUUGGGGGUGGAGGUGAGUGGAGAUGCGACGGUGGUGAAGAAGUUGAGGAACGCCGGAGCAUUGAUACUGGGGAAGGCUAGUAUGAGUGAGUGGUGUUAGUUUCGUUCUUUGAAAAUUCCCCGAGGUUGGUGCACAAGAGGUGGACAAGCUAGGCGUCGUGAGCUUGCAUAUUUCCUUUCUUUCUUUAUUUCUUUCCAUAUCUUGGUUUCACUAUUUUCUCCUUUUAAAUUUGUUUCUACUCUAAAGUAGAUUCUAAAGAAUUUCGACAAAACUAUUAUUGAUCUUGUUCAAAAGAAAGUUUGCUAAAUUUCGAUCAGAAGUUGGAGUUAACGAUCGAUUUGAAAGGAUUAGAGGCGCAAGAACCCUUCUUGAGUGAUUUAGGCCAGAAGUUGAAGUAAUAAUUCAAAAAAAUUUCAAAGAAAAGAAAAAAAAAAGAAUGCCUCAGAUUCUUAGCCAAUAUUUACUCUGUGACUACUGAAUUACGUGCAGAAUCCAUAUGUUGAUUCCGGAGAUCCAUAUGGGUCAAGUAGCGGAUCUGCAAUAUCAGUGGCAUCCAACAUGGUGGCCGUCUCGCUUGGGACUGAGACCAAUGGUUCCAUCAUCUGCCCAGCUGAUCAUAACUCCGUUAUAGGGUUUAAGCCCACCGUUGGACUCACCAGUCGGGCAGGCGUCAUCCCUAUUUCACCCCGGCAAGACAGUGUUGGGUAACUGUAAGCUACCUCAUGUCUGAUAUCAUUAAUUUAUUAAAAUCUCAAAUACAUUCAUUAUGCCAUUUGUAUGGUACAUGUUUAUAAGUUAUAUUCCACGUCAAAUAGUGAAAAAAGUUUGUAUGGGUGUAUGUGUAUGAUGGGUUUUUUUAAUCUCGUAAACAUGUUUUAGAGUUGUAUGAAUUUUUUGGAUAAUAUCUAUAUGAUUGAAAAUGAAUUGUUACAAAUGUUAUUAUAGACGAUCUUACACAUGGGUGUAAGAAUUCAUUCUCUUUUUAAGCUCAUAGAUCUUAUGAAUUAUUUGAAUCCAAAAUAGACGAUAUCUAUACGAUUAAACCAACAAACAAUAUCCAUAUGGGUCUAUGAGUUUAGAGCAAAUAAUAUUUAAAUAGAUAAUAUUUACAUGAUUAGAAGUAGAUUACUACACCUACUAUAACAAUUGCUUCUUUGGCCUAAAUCAGAGGAUAUGUCGGAUAUUAUGUCAAAUGAAUUUUGUUCAAUAGUUAGUAAGACAUUUCUCUACUGUAGGCCCAUAUGCAGUGUUGAUGUCUCGCGUCCCAGGGAUCCACGCUGCUGCCAAGUGGAUGCGCGCUUUCAACCAAAAAUGAGUUUUGACUCAAUCGAUCCUACAAAAGAUGUCCGGUGGUUUUGUUAGUCAUGGCUUCAGAGAUCAAGCUAUUGUCAUUUUUCUGGGAUAUCAUACUUACCUUUUUCUUUGUGUGAAGACCCUUUUAUAUAAUGUUAGAAGCUCUGCUCCCCUCUUUAAUGGUGGGAAGACUUUUUGGCUUGUCAUGAUGUCCUCAAGGUGGUGACACAGUCAUCAUCACCUUGCAGGCGGCUGCCAAAGCUCGUGAGAGGUGACUUGCCAUCACCCCUGUCUUUUCGCUCUGCAGGCGACGGAACGUGGGUUGUGACAGGCUGUCUGGGAUGACUCAACAAGGCUUGCUCCUUGCAGUCAAUGAUUCGGACAAUAUAUCCGGAUAGGAUAGAGCAUCACCCGGGUAUGAUAUUUGAGAGUGCCAUAUGCCCCCCCCCCCCUAGGGGACCCGGAUAGGGGUGCGCGCCACGUAUCCUCUUGGGGGGUACAAAUAGAGUUGAUCUGGACAGCGGUGCGUGCCACGUGUCGUCGGGGGGGUCCCUACAUGCAGGACUGUGUCGGAUGCGGUUUAUGUGCUGGAUGCUAUAGUAGGUUUCGACCCUAGAGAUAGCCAGGCAAUAGAAGAAGCAUCAAAGUUCAUACCGAAUGGUGGCUACAAACAAUUUUUCAACAAAGAUGGGCUUACUGGAAAGAGAUUGGGUGUUGUGAGGAAUCCAUUUUCUUACUUUUACAAUGAAUCCACUGCUAUUCUAGCCUUUGAGGCUCAUCUGAACACAUUAAGGUAGAAGAUACAUAUGCUUUGUUCCAUAUAUAAACAAAGUCUGAUCUCAUGUAAUAAACAUACAUUGAUUUGGCAUCCAGUGAUCACGAGAAUUUUCUCUUGGAAAUUGCAGGCAAAGGGGUGCAAUUUUAGUGGACAAUCUGGAAAAAGAAAAUAUUGAUAUCAUCAUGGACCCGAAUGAAUGUGGUGAAUCAACGGCCUUGUUGGCUGAGUUGAAGCUCAACAUAAAUGGGUAUCUAAGAGAGCUCACCAGCUCUCCAGUGAGGUCCUUAGCAGACAUUAUUGCCUUCAACUUGAACAGCUCUGAUCUAGUAAAGACACCUGAAAAAUGGAUUAUUGUGUUAUUCCAAGUUAUGAAGGUUAUAAAUUAAUGCAUUAUAUAAGCUUUGUGUCAUUGCAAGAGAAGACUGAUGAAUAUGGACAGGAAGUCUUUAUGGCAUCAGAGAUGACAAAUGGGAUUGGGGAGGAAGAGAGGACGACAAUGGAGAUGCUGGCAAUUCUGUCACGUGACGGCUUUGAGAAACUGAUGAAGGAGAAUGAGCUUGAUGCGACUGUGACACUGGGUCCGGGCAUGGCCCCUGUGCUGACCAUUGGAGGUUACCCAGGAAUUACUGUUCGAGCUGGGUAUGAUGAGGAUGGAAUGCCCUUUGGCAUAUGUUUUGGAGGACUAAGGGGGAUGGAGCCGAAGCUUAUCGAAGUUGCUUACGGUUUCGAACAACCUACAAUGAUUCGGAGGCCUCCUGCUUAGCUCCAAAUGAUCAUUUAGCCAUAAAUUAGGUCUUUCUCAAGUAAUGUCUGGUGGCCUAAUGAAGGGUAUUUUGUUUCCGAUGAUAAUAAUAGAGGAAUGGUUCGUAUAUGUUGUUAAUUCUAGUGAUAAUUGAUGUUAACAUGCUCGUGAUUAUAAAAAGUGUUUCUAAUUAUUUUUUGAAAUUCUGAUCAAAUGGGUUUUGAUUGAACUUUUUAAUUAAUUAUGAGUAUUCUUUUUUACAAUUUAUUUCUUGAUUGAUCUCAGAAACACCAGGCCUGUGUGUCCAAAAAUGACGUUUGCAUUAGCACAAGUAGACGUGAGUCUGUGACCAGGCCUCUCUGUACAAAAAUAAGACUGCAAACACUUGAGCUCAGCACAAACAGCUGAUUAAGAAAGCAGACAAAGCAGAGAGAAGCAAUGGUGUCUUCAAAUUUUGCCAUGCUUUCAUUACUUCUCAUCAGCUUCAGAUCCUUUUGUUUUUAAAAACAAUAUAGAGGUUGUUCUCUGAAUCUUGUGUCUUUUUUUUUUUUCAAUCUUGUUUUAAAAAUUUAUAAUUUCAAAACAAUUGCCAAACAUGUAAAAAAAAAUAAAUUAAAAGUUGUUUUUUAUAUUUUUAAAACUGUUUUUAAAAAUUCCAACAAACAUGUUAUUAAUCUUACAUAAUUGUUUCAAUUUAAAAUUGUAUUUAUAUUGUUUAAUCUUUUUAAUUACUAUAUACUGUUUUGAAAAUCAUAUUGGAUUUUCUGGUUUGGUUCUCUCUAUUAAAUCAGAUAUUUGAACCAACCCCAAAGGCAUUGAACCGAUGGUUAGAAUGGUGAACUGUUGGACCGGGUGAUUCCAUAUGAAUUGAACAGUUCAACUCCUCUGCUCUUCCUUUCAUUAAAUGAGCCUAAUUUAAAACCCACCUCCUCUCAGACUUUUAAGAAAAAAACACCUAGCCGUCUUCCAUUUAAUGAUAUUCGAUAAAAACUCAACCCGAUUACCCCUUAAUGUGCCAUACCUUGAUUUAGACAUGACUUAUUGAGUUAGCAAUCCACGUCUCAUGUGGGAUUCAUGACUUGAAGUAUAAGAAAAAUGAAUGAAUUAAAACUCACCUAAAGGAUUUAAUAUUUAGUAAAAUCCCAACCCAAACACCUCUUAACGUGUCAUACCUUAAUUCACGUGUUGUAGACAUGACUUGUUGAGUUAGAAAUCCACAUCCCAUGUGACCUACAACCGAGCAAAACACCCGCUAAGGCUGCAUGCACUUUAUCACUUACAAUGCAAAUAAAAAAAUGUAUAUGUUUAUAAAAUAUUUAUAGUAUUAAAAAAAUAAUAUAAUAUUUUCUAAAAUUAGUUAAAAUUAAAUAAUUAAUUUUUUUUCAUUUUGAAUAUAUUGACAUUUAAAUAUUAUACAUAUUUCAUUUAAUAAAAUUCAAAAUAUUAAUACAUUUAUACUUAUUUUUUAUAAUAUCAAAGAUAAAAAAUUAAUAUAUUGAUUAUAUAUAUAUAUAUAUAUUUUAAUUUUUAAUUUUUUUUAUUUUAAAUAAUAUAAAUUAUAUUUUUAUGACGUCAUUAGUUCGACUACCGAUUCGAUUACUGAACCGUGAACAAUAACUUUUUCGGUUUAAUGACCAUUAUAUUAAAAAACAUUGGAUACACACUAUAUAUGAUAUAUUUUUUUCAUUAAUAUUUGAAUAUUUAAUGAUAACAAUUUGAAGGAUUUUUAUGCUUGAUGAAAAAAAAAAACACAUGUAAUAAUAAGAAUGAUAAUAAGUUGAGUCAAAUAAUAAUAAAUUUUAAAUAGCGGGAAGAUAAAAUAUAUGUGAAAAGAAUUUAUUUUAUAAAGAUAGUUCAAUAAUUUGACUAUAGGAGGAAACAUCGACAAAGAUUUCCCACCCCACUAUAAUGAAAAUAAGAGAAAUAAAAUAUGUGAAUGAUAAAGUCCAAAAAAAAAAAAAUUCAAUUUGAAUGUUAAUGUUACACAAAUAAUAGUAAAGAUUGUAUGGUUUUGUGGUAUUAAAUAAAUGGAUGUUACAUUUGAAUAAUAAAAAUAAUUAGGAAAGUUAUAAAAUCGAGGAAAGAUAAAAAUAAAUGAUAUAGUAGGGGUAUUUUGACAUUUUGUUCUUCAGGAAGCUACUAGAUUAGCUCCAAUGGGUGUGCACAGAGGCUAUGUUAAGCUUCUUCCAUAUGGUUUUGCCGGGAUAAUGGAAAAAUCAGGGGAGAAUAGUUGUGGGGAUUUGAGUUUUAUCAAGAAUAUUGGUGGGUUUGAUUUUGGGGAAGGUAUUAGAUUUGAGCCAUCAAAGCUUAUUCCGAAGUUUCAGAGACAGGCUGAUGAGAUGAAUCUCUUCUGCUUCAAGGCUACAACACCGUUUUGGAUGCAGAAAGCCCCGGCUUGCUUCGGUCAGUAUUUUUACUUUUCUUUUUCUGGGUUUUUUUUUUUUUUUUCUCUUUCCCUAAUUCGCUUAUUGCCUGUUGCAUGCAUCUUACAAUCCUUAAUACUGUGAAUUGAAAAAGUCUUCGCUCUUCUUCGAUCAAUUAAAAUCUCCCAUUUAUUAAACGUGGACUUGAUAAAUCCAAUAUUGUUUCUCCUAUAGGUUGAUACUUUCUAGUCUGAAAAAUUUGCACUUCUCAUGGACACAAUGGCAAUGGCAAUGGCGUUUAAGAUGCUUUCUCUUUUGCUCCUCUGCGGAUGCUUCUUUUCCAACUCCUUUGUCAUCGAAGAAGCCAACAUCAAGGACAUCCAAUGGACAUUCUCUCAAAACAAGCUCGUGUCCAGACAGCUCGUUGACUUCUACUUGCACCAGAUCGAGGCCCUGAAUCCAGAGCUUUGCAACGUCAUAGAGGUGAACCCAGAUGCACGAGAGCAAACGGACAAGGCCAAUGCAGAGAUUAAAAGCAAUAAGGAGUUGGGGGAGCUGCAUGGGGUACUUGUGUGUUGAGAUAUUAGGAAUGCUUUCCUUAUAUCAUUCUUUCCUUAUAUCAUUUAGUGUUGAGAUAUUAGGAAUGUUUAGAUAUUAGGAAAGUUGAGAUAUUAUGAAUAUUGAGAUAUUAGGAAUAUUGAGAUACUAGGAAUAUUGAGAUAUUAGGAAAGUUGAGAUAUUAGGAUAUUAGUUGUUAUUUCCUUAUAUCAUUCUUUCCUUGUAUCAUUCUUUCUCAUUCUUAGAAUGGUGAUUACCCUCUAUAUAUACUCUGUACAUGAACGAAUGAAAGUAUGAAUGAAAAAAACUACCAUUUAUCAAUUUGAAGAUGGUAUCAGAGCCAUGGAAUUGAAAUCCUGGAUAUUUUGUCACUAUGGUAGUCCGACAGCGAUCAACCAUCCUAAGACAAGCCCUAAUAUUGAUAAGUCAACCUUCAAAUGCACUCACUUCAAUAAGACUGGUCCCACCAGUCUGGAUAUCCCACAAUUUUAAAGCAACGACUCUUGGUAUGACCAGGAAAACAAUAAGGAACCGAGGGUUUGAACCAUGGACCUUUAGAUCAUGUUUAGGCUAUCAACACUUUGUUAUUAAUUAUAAUAAUCGUGAUCAACAGAAGAAGGAUCCCAAGAAAACCUUGACUGCAACUAUUGCCGAAAUAAAAACAGAGGCUAAUGUUGCUGAGAAAGCCUCUGCAUUGGUAGCCGCUACUGAUCAUGGUGGUAAGUUUUUAAAUACUUUUACACCUGUUAUUAAUAGUGCAUGGAUAAUUGAUUCUGGUGCUACAGAUCAUAUGACUUUUGAUUCUAGACAGGUUUCACCCCUUAGACCUUCCUCACAAAAAAUUAUUUCCACAGCCAAUGGUAACACAACCCCAGUCAUUGGGGAAGGAUCCUUAACUCUUACUGAUACUUUGAAUUUGGAUUCUGUUUUAGUUGUUCCAUCUUUAGAUUACAAUCUUUUGUCAGUUUCUCAAAUCACUACAACCUUAUCUUGUAUUGUCAUUUUUUGGCCUGAAUUUGUGUGAUUAAGGACAUCCAAACAAGACAGACGAUUGAUUGUGGUAUUAAACGGGGAAAACUCUAUUACUUGGACUUGCAAUCAAAGGAUUCAAAUAAGUUGCAACAAGCCUUGAUGGCAGAUGGAUCUGAGGGGGAGAAGAAAAAGUUUGAAAUUUGGUUGUGGCAUCGACGUCUGGGACAUGCUUCCUUUGGUUAUUUAAAAAAAUUGUUUCCUAGUUUGUUUGCAAAGAGUGAUAUUUCUGGUUUCCGUUAUGAUAUUUGUGAAUUGGCUAAAAGCCAUCGUGCUUCGUUUUCGUUAAUUUUGAAUAAAAGUCCGUUUCCUUUUAUGGUUAUACAUUCUAAUGUUUGGGACCCAUCCAAAGUCCCAACUUUGAGUGGCUCACGUUGGUUUGUUACUUUUAUUGAUGAUUGUACCAGAAUGAGAUGGUUAUGCUUGAUGAAGACCAAAGAUGAAGUGAACUUGUUGUUUAAAAAUUUUCAUAAAAUGAUUGAAACUCAGUACAAUGCAAAGGUUCGGGUUCUGCGUAGUGAUAAUGGUGGAGAAUAUCAAAGUUCUGAUCUUCAAAAGUAUUUGGAAGGACAUGACAUCAUUCAUCAGACUACUUGUUCCAAUACACCCCAGAAAAAUGGAGUCGCUGAACGAAAAAAUCGACACUUGUUAGAGGUUGUUCGUGUUUCCUUGAUAGCAGCAAAAACACCGAUAUCUUAUUGGGAAGAAGCAAUCACAUCUACCGCAUACUUGAUCAAUCGGGUACCUUCUAACUCAAUUAACUUUCAAACACCUCUCCAAGCUCUUACUAAUGUCGUAGUUGCCCCAACCGUCCCAAAUCUACCUCCUCGUGUUUUUGGUUGCGUGGCAUUUGUGCAUCUACACAAGCACCAACGCACCAAGUUAACUUCCCAUGCAUUGCAAUGUGUGUUUGUUGGAUAUGCAUUGCACAAAAAGGGAUAUCGAUGUUACCAUCCUCCAACUCGACAAAUGUAUAUUACAAUGGAUGUGGUGUUUCAUGAAGAUUCAAUGUAUUUUUCAUCUGAGUCUGAACUUCAGGGGGAGUACCAUAAGGAAAUUUAGAUUCUCGAUUAUGAUUAUCAUAUCUCUGAGGAAGAUGAAUCUGGACAACCUGGACAAUCUGAACUAGUGAACCAGGAAGUGGGUGAGUUGGAUAUGGGUGGUCAACAAUUUGGGUCUGAAGAUGUCUUCACUAAAAUACCAAACCAAUCGUCAUCUGUUGAGGGUGUUCUUAAUUUGGAACCUGAUCCUUUCAUGAAACAGUUACCACAUCGUCAUAAUAGAGGUAUUCCUAAACCCACAUAUGAACCUGAAUUGUCUACUAUAGUCGAAUAUCCCAUGAGCAACUAUGUGUCUACCCAUCGUUUGUCUGAAUCAAAUAAGCCAUUUGUAAAUCAAUUAUCUACUGUAUCUAUUCCUAACAGUGUGCAGGAAGCCUUAGCUGAUCCAAGGUGGAAAGCAGCCAUGAAUGAAGAGAUGAAAUCAUUGCAGAAGAAUGAAACAUGGGAACUCGUAGAAUGUCUACCAGGAAAGAAGCCAGUUGGGUGUCGUUGGAUCUAUACUGUGAAGUACAAGGUAGAUGGUAGUAUUGAACGAUUUAAAGCAAGACUGGUAGCAAAAGGGUACAUUUAAACUUAUGGAAUUGACUAUACAGAGACAUUUGCACCUGUAGCUAAGAUCAACACAAUUCGAGUAUUAUUGUCUUUAGCUGCAAACCUAGAUUGGCCAUUACAACAAUUCGAUGUGAAAAAUGCCUUUCUGCAUGGCGAGUUAUCUGAAGAAGUAUAUAUGGAUCUUCCACCAGGAUGCAUGGUGUCAGAAAAGCAAUGUCAGAAGGUGUGCAAAUUGAAGAAGUCAUUAUAUGGGUUGAAGCAAUCCCCGAGAGCAUGGUUUGGAAGGUUCACNNNNNNNNNNNNNNNNNNNNNNNNNNNNNNNNNNNNNNNNNNNNNNNNNNNNNNNNNNNNNNNNNNNNNNNNNNNNNNNNNNNNNNNNNNNNNNNNNNNNGUCAGAGUAUAAAAGUAUAUACUGAUGCUGAUUGGGCUGGUGUAGUGGAUGAUAGGCGAUCUACAUCUGGUUACUUUACCUUUGUAGGUGGUAAUCUUGUGACAUGAAAAAGUAAGAAGCAGAAUGUUGUCGCUCGUUCAAGUGCAGAAGCGGAAUUUAGAGGUAUGACUCUAGGACUUUGUGAGGCAUUAUGGCUAAGACUCCUCUUACAGGAUUUAGGUUACCUAUCUAAGCAACCAAUCCGAUUUUUUUGUGACAAUAAAGCCGCAUGUGACAUUGCUCAUAAUCCAGUACAACAUGAUCGUACAAAGCAUGUCGAGGUGGAUAGAUUCUUCAUUAAGGAAAAAUUGGAUGAUAAGAUUGUGAAAUUGCCUAAGAUUCGAUCAGAAGAUCAAUUGGCCGAUAACCUUACCAAAGUUGUCUCAAGUCAAGUGUUCUCAAAAUUUUUAGACAAGUUGGGUAUGUGUGACAUCUAUGCACCAACUUGAGGGGGAGUGUUGAGAUAUUAGAAAUGUUUAGAUAUUAGGAAAGUUGAGAUAUUAUGAAUAUUGAGAUAUUAGGAAUAUUGAGAUACUAGGAAUAUUGAGAUAUUAGGAAAAUUGAGAUAUUAGGAAAGUUGAGAUAUUAGGAUAUUAGUUGUUAUUUCCUUAUAUCAUUCUUUCCUUGUAUCAUUCUUUCUCAUUCUUAGAAUGGUGAUUACCCUCUAUAUAUACUCUGUACAUGAACGAAUGAAAGUAUGAAUGAAAAAAACUACCAUUUAUCAAUCUGAAGACUGUGUUGUUGAAGGACAGUAUAAAUACUAAAGAUAAGUUGAAUACAACUGUAGGGUCAUAUGCGUUGUUGGGGGCGAAGGUGGGUGGAGACGCGGCGGUGGUGGAGAGAUUGAGGAAGGCAGGGGCGGUGAUACUGGGAAAGGCUAGUAUGAGUGAAUGGUAUCAGUUUCGUUCUUUGAAAACUCGAAACGGCUGGUGUCCAAGGAGUGGACAGGGUGUGGUGAGCUUAAUUGCUUUCCUUCUUCCUAUACUUGGUUUCGUUAUUUUGAAGAUUAGGUCUAAAUUUUGUGACUUGUGAGACAUGCAGAAUCCAUAUGUACCAUCGGGAGAUCCAUGCGAGUCAAACAGCGGAUCUGCAAUAUCUGUAGCGGCCAACAUGGUGGCUGUCUCGCUUGGGACUGAGACUGAUGGUUCCAUCAUCUGCCCAGCCGAUGUGAACUCCGUUGUUGGGUUUAAACCCACUAUUGGACUCACCAGUCGGGUAGGUUGUGGACCCUCACCCGAUCCACCGGACCGACGUGACUCGCUUUUAAAAGAAAAGAAAGAAAUGAAAAAGUUGGUGUUUUCCAGUUUUGAAAAACCCGCCCCCGAUGAGGAACGGUGUUGUUUGGAGUCGCCACUUACUUUUUAUUUUUGUUUUUAAAAUGGGGAAAAUUAAGUAAGAACAAAAACCCCUAAUGACCCCAAUAUGGAAAAAGCGGUCUACGAAACUAGAUUCUGGGUCCGGGGAUCAGGUUACCCGUUGGGAAGGUACCUCAUGCGAGGUAGCACCCCUCUAGGCCCGAAACUCGGUCUCUACUAAUGAAUUGGGUAUGUGGGAGCAUAUGGGUCAAAGGUCAAAUGAAACUCUAGGCUAAAUAGAUGUCAUGAAUCACACAAUCCUAAUUGGUAUUUGGCAUGCAUAUGAAUUCAACCAAACAAAACAAUGGAUGCGUACCUGUGGUCCCUAGCCAAGCGUUGGAUAAAAGGUCAGCCAAACACAGAUAAACACAUAACAAACAUUCAAGAUUAAGCACCAUGCAUGCAUAUGAAUUCAACAACCAAAGCCAACGAUGUGUACCUGUGGUCCCUAGCCAAGCGCUGCAGCAGAGGGUGAGUCAGUCACGUAACAUGUAUUCAAAAUCAAGCAUCAAAACUUGUGCCAAAAAGGAAGAUAGCUGGUUGAAAUGAGGUAAGGGACUCCCCAAAUGUCAUACAAAUCGAACUAGACUCAUCUAGACCACACCACCCAUAACUUCAAAAUUGCCCAUACUAACUGAAAUCAAACACUGACUUAAACCUUCAAGAUGGCUCACAAGUGCCCUAUAGCAAAUGGGUUUGAGCCCCCAUGGAUAAGGGCUCGAAAAAUGCCAAAAUCGAGGGCUACCUAAAGUCCUCCAGCAGAACAGGUUGAACUGGUACAACUAUUGAGAAGAAUUCCCAAAUUUUUCUAGAAAACUCCUAAAUGAGUGAGGAUUCAAACAAAAGAAACAACACUCAAUCCCGAGCCCGGACGAGUGAGAACCAGAUAAAGAAAGACAGGUGUUCCUCAUGGCUGACAGAGGCAGCCAGCUAUGGUGCUGAACCGGUUGAACCGGUUCCCAACUAGUUCAGCCGGUUGAUAAAAAAUCCCAAAUUCGGUCAGAAAGUUCCUAAGUGAUUAAGGAAGCGAACAAAAGAAACGGUUCUCAAUUCCGAGCCCGGAUGAGUGAGAACCAGACAAAGAAAGACAAGUGUUCCUUAUGGCUGAUAGAGGCUGCCAGCUAUGGUGCUGAACCGGUUGAACCGGUUGGUAAAAAAUCCCAAAUUUGGUCAGAAAGUUCCUAAGUGAUUAAGGAAGCAAACAAAAGAAACGGUUCUCAAUUCCGAGCCCGGAUGAGUGAGAACCAGACAAAGAAAGGCAAGUGUUCCUCAUGGCUGAUAGAGGCUGCCAGCUAUGGUGCUGAAUCGGUUGAAUUGGUUCCAAACUGGUUUAGCCUGUUGGUAAAAAAUCCCAAAUUCGGUCAGAAAGUUCCUAAGUGAUUAAGGAGGCAAAAAAGACGGUUCUCAAUUCCGAGCCCGGAUGAGUGAGAACCGGACAAAGAAAGGCAGGUGUUCUUCAUGGCUGACAGAGGCAGCCAGCUAUGGUGCUGAACCGGUUCCCAACCGGUUCAGCCGGUUGGUAAAAAAAAUCCCAAAUUCGGUCAUAAAGUUCCUAAGUGAUUUAGAAAGCAAACAAAAGAAAUGGUUCUCAAUUUCGAGCCCGGAUGAGUGAGAACCAAACAUAGCAAGGUCAGAUGUUCCUCGUGACUGACAGAGUCAACCAACCAUGGUGCGAAAUUGAAAAUGAUGAAUGAAUUAAACUUGAGCCUAAACGUGAUUCUAACACAUCAAGAAAACAAUCAUCCUCAACAGUAAUCCUCAACCAUUCAUAACCAAUCAACAACAAACAUGUGUGACCUUUAUUAUCCACACCCAAGCAAUAUAAUCUUCACAUCAAAGGAAAUAAAAGAGGAUGAGAAAGAAGAAAAAGCAUACGAAGACGAUGAAGAUGACCUGUAGGUAAAAAAAAUUCAGCAUACUUACCUCAGAAUCUCCGCCAAAUAUGAUCCAUGUACGCUGAUGAUGACUUCCAGAAACCGAGACGUUGUAGCUUUCCUCCACGCUCUCAACUCAGAAGAUGCUCCCCACCCUCUGUUCUUCUCACCAACAAAAUAUCCUCUCUCUCAAAAAUGCCAAAAGGUAUUUUGCUCUCCUAUCCUCUCACCUUUUAUACUCAUACCCCUCUCAGCAUUUGAGCCUCCUGGGUUCCUUUCCCUUCAGCACCGAAAUCCCUUUCAUCAGCAUGGGAACCACACCCCUCAUUACUCCUCUUAAACUUACAAGACCAGCUCACUCCUUCAGUUUUCAGCUUACUUCACCACCAAGAAUCCAUAUGGAUUCGUGGUGGGCUGCAAGGAACCCAAACCAAGGCCUAAAAUGGACCCAAAACAUUUCCCAAAACCGAUCUGAAGCUUACGGGCCUGAGCCAUGUAGGAUUUGGGCCUCAAAAUUACUAGAAUUAGUGUUUUACCUCAGUUUACUCAAUGAACCGGCCGAACCGGAUGCCAACUGGUCGAACCGAUGGAAAAAAAUUCUGAAAAUUUGACAGAAUGUUCCUAGUAGAGUAAGGAAUUCAUUAAAAAAAAACGGUGCGUGAUUCCAAGUUCGGAAGAGGGAGAUAUGAUAAAAACAAUUACCAAAAAUCAGUGUUCUACACCGGCUGACUCGAUGAACCGGCUGAACCGGCUGCCAACCAGACGACCGGUUGCAAAAAAUUUUGAAAAUUUUACAGAAUGUUUUUGGAAGAAUAGGGAAUCCAUAAAAAGAAACGGUUCUUGAUUCCGAGUUUGGAUGAGGGAGAUACGAUCAAAACAAGCCCGAGUGCUCCGAACCUCAACAUGCCCCUAUAAACCCCAACUAAGCUAAAACAUCGGGAUGACCCCACUUCCUUCCUAUAGCGUGAUGUGAACGACUAGGAAAAUGGCCAUGGUGACCCUCCAAAAUGAACCACAUAUACACCACAAUGGACCACAAACAAACCCACACGAGGCUCGGACACCGACUAAGCCCAAAAGGGGCCCUAGUGGUGCCAUAUGCGAACGAUGGGUGGAUGUGACACCCGAAGGAUAAAUGCCAGUGUCGAGGGACAAAAUUGAGGGUCUACACAGGUGUCAUCCCAAUUUCACCCCGACAAGACAGUGUCGGGUACUAUAAGUUACAUAGCUUUGAAAUUGAUUAUUGAAUCUCUAACACAAACAUUAUGCUAUUAGGAAACUCUAUGUUUAUACAGGCCUAUAAAUUAUGAAAGUAGAGCUUGUUCUAUAUAUAGCGUUGAUCAGAUGUUUCUCUACCACAGACCUAUAUGCUGGAGUGUGCUGGACGCAGUUUAUGUGCUUGAUGCUAUAGUGGGUUUUGAUCCUAGAGACGGUGAGGCAACAAAAGAAGCAUCCAAGUUCAUACCUGUUGGUGGCUACAAACAAUUUCUCAACAAAGAUGGGAUUGCAGGAAAGAGAUUGGGUGUUGUGAGGAAUCCAUUUUCUGGAUUUUACAACCGAUCCACAGCUAUUUCAGCCUUUGAAGCUCAUCUCACCGUAUUAAGGUAGAAGAUAUAUAUGCUUUGUUAUAUAUAUAAACAUAGUCUAAACUCAUGUAAUAAACAUACCAUUGAUUUAGUGUCCUGUCAUGUGAAUUUCUUUGAGGAAUGCUGCAGGCAAAGAGGUGCAAUUUUAGUGGACAAUUUGGAAAUAGAAAAUGUUGAUAUCAUAUUGAACCCCUAUGAAAGUGGUGAAUCAACGGCCUUGUUGGCUGAGUUCAAGCUCAACAUAAAUGAAUACCUGAAAGAGCUCACCCAUUCUCCAGUGAGGUCCCUAGCAGGCAUAAUUGCCUUCAACUUGAACAACUCCGAUCUGGUAAAUACUCCCCAGAGUGGGGAAUGAGUUAUGAGAACUCAGGCAUUUGCUAAUUGGUUUUGUAGAUAUAUGAAUUAAGCCUUGUGCCAUUGCAGGAAAAGACUGAUGAAUAUGGCCAGGAAGUCUUUAUCGCAGCAGAGAUGACAAAUGGGAUUGGGAAGCAAGAGAGGAUGGCAAUGGAAAUGAUGGCAAAUCUGUCUCAGGAUGGGUUUGAGAAACUGAUGAUGGAGAAUAAGCUUGAUGCAACGGUGGCACUGGGUUCAGGCAUGGCCACUGUACUGGCCAUUGGAGGUUACCCCGGAGUUAGUGUUCCAGCUGGGUAUGAUGGAGAUGGAAUGCCCUUUGGCAUAUGUUUUGGAGGACUGAAGGGGAUGGAGCCAAAGCUUAUUGAAGUUGCUUACGGAUUUGAACAAGCCACAAAGAUUCGGAGACCUCCUACUUCCCCUAAUAACUUAUUGUGUCCUAAUGAGCCAUUGUAAGAGUUGGAUUUUGUUUUCCGCAAUAACAGUGGUUAUAUAUGUAUAAAUAAAUAAUUAAAAUUUUUGAAUAACUAUUUUUUAUCAUAACUAACAAAUAGUUAUGUUUCUAAAUUUGUUUAUUAACUUUUCAAGCAAUUCUCUUAGUUUUUCUAAGUUAUCCAAAGGUCAUCCGAAAAAUUUUAGUGAGGGUCUAUAAGUUCAUCUAUCUUUAAUAAGUCUAUAUCCUUGGACUCUUUAGUGGUAGUCACUUUUGCUCUAGAUCACUCAUGGUAGAGACCUUAAAUUUUUCUCAUCACUUUAGAGUUAGGGAUGAGUUUACCAAGAUUAAAGGUAGGAUUCAUAAAAUCCAUCAAUUUUGUAUGGAACUCUCUAAAACUCUUAUGAUCCUCCAUCCUAAUAGUCUCAAACAUAAAGCUUAACAUUUGAAGUUUGGAUACUUUAACGACAUUGGCUCUUUCAUGAGUCACUUGGAAGAUAUCCCAAACCUCCUUAGCCUACAUGUAACAAUACCAAAAAAUUCAUAUGUGCUAAUAACAUUAAAAAUGGAAUAUAUGGCUCUAACAUUAUUUUCACUAGUUUCAUUUUCACCUAUAUCUCGUUCCAAUUUAGGUUUGACAAUAUUUGUUAGUCUACCUUCUCUAUCAAAUACCUUAGGUGGAGACCAACCAAAUUCAAUAGCAUUCCAAACUUUUUGUUUGCAUUUUGAGAAAAAAUAUUGCAUGUGUACUUUCCAAUGAGAAUAAUUUCACUGGUUAAGAAUUGUGAUCUCCUAAUGAAAGCUCCUUCUUAAUAAGAUUUCAUGAUUAAGAUUCAAGAAUUGAAAAAUGAUUUUUAUAGUAAAAAUCCGUCCAUAUACCAAUUGAGGAUGAAUUGAAUGCAAUUCACAUGCAAAUGAAUUAACAUUCCCCAACCUAAAUUCGUAAGAAUAAUUAGCUCCUCAACACAUUUCUAAUUACUACUUAAUAUCAUAAUCAAAUUAAAUAAAAAAUUAUUUAAUAUUUUCAAAAAUCAAACUCAUUUAAACUCAUUUUUCACCUAUCCAACAUAUGCUCAAGUAUGAAAUUGAGAUCAAUAAACAAGAGAGAAGAAUAAGAGAGUGACGAUAACACCAAAUUUUAAUGUGAAAAAUCUCCUAAGAAAUAAAAAGUUAUGGGUCUACCAAUGAUCAUAAGUUUACACUAUGAAAAAUAACAAACUGAGCACAAUGCUUUACCUAACUCAAGUUUAUAUAUCAUUCUCGAACUACUUGAUCAGUAGCUUCCAACUUCAACUUCACACCUUCUUUUGGAACACAUUUACAAUCUAGACCAAACUUAAUCUACAUAAGAAGAAAAUGAGUUUUCAUUCAAACCUAAAUCAACAAGAACACGAUAGAUACAUGAAAUAAAUGAAUAAGCCCGUUUUUAAGAAAAUCCAAUUGAAAAACAAUAUGAAAAUCAAGAUAAAAGAAAAUUUUCUCAAGAAAACAAACACUUCCAAUUUGGAAUAAGAAAGAGAGCUCAAAUGGAGUGAAAAACGGUUGUUUUUUUUUUUCCUAAACUAGAAACAUUUGAGUUAAAUAUGAAGAGGAAACCUUGAUCGAAUGACUAAAAAAAGAUCCAACAAAAGAUAGACUAAUCUUUCUUAAAUAUUGAUCAAUCCUGGAAUAGGGUACAAAAACACUUAAUAAAAAAAUUGUUGGCUCAACUUCCUUAACCCUUUUAAAAAUCAAUAGUUCAAAAAAAAAAAAAAACAGAAAAGCAAUUGAUUCACAUUCAUCUACACUAUCAGUUAGAUACUUUGGUCUCUAAGUAUUUUUAGCAUCUUGAUCUUUACCAGGUAGACCGAUGAUUUUUCACCGUUUUCACCUAUUUUUCAUUUGAUUAAUAAUUAGUGGCCUAUAUCGUUUCACGAUGAAAUUUCAUCGAAAUUUCGUGAUAUUUUUUGAUAUUUCAAACCAUGCCCUUAUCUAAUACAUUUAUUUAUUUAUUCCAAUUUUAAAUUUUAAAUUUUUAAAAUUGUCGGUUGAUAAAUUUGUUAAAAUUCCAUCCAAAUCGUUGACAAUCUACGAACACAGCAUCCAAGUCACAGCUCCGUGCAUUCACGUGUUCUUCAUUUCUCUCUAGCUGUUCUUUUGCGCUAUUCACAAGCAUCUAGAUUUUUUUUUUUUUUUUUUUUUGCGUUGACUUCUAAUCUGGGUUCCAGUUGUGGUGGAGUGUGGGACUGGAAAAAGGGUAUUUUGAGUUUUGGAGAAGUCUCCUGUUGUUGAUCUUGAUUCGUUUGUUGGUGUUUUUUUUUUUUUUGCCUGAAGCUUUUCUGUGUUUUACUUUAAUGGUCUGUAAAUGGGUUCUCUGGAAAGCGGGGUUCCGGUGAAGAGAGACCCUCUUCUUCGCUCUUGAUCGAACUAAGGCUAGCUUUUUCAGAGACCCAUUUUGAGAUUUUCAAGGUUUCUGUUCUUCAGGAAGCUGCUAGAUUUACUCCAAUGGGUGUGCACAGUGGCGAUGUUCUGCUUCUUUGUGGUUCUAGUCCAUGUGGUUUUGCCGGGUUUGAUAAUGGAAAAAUCAGGGAUUCAUUGAAAAAUAUGGAGAAUAGUUAUGGGGAUUUGAGUAGUAUCAAAAAAUUGGUGGGUUUGAUUUUGGGGAAGGUAUUAGAUUUGAGCCGUCAAAGCUUCUUUAGAAGUUUCAGAAAGAGGCUAAUGAGAUGAAUCUCUCUUCCGCUUCAAGGUUUGCUCUGGUCAGUAUUUUUACAUUUCUUUUGCUGGUUUUUUUUUCUUUCUAAUUCGCUGAUUGCAUGUUGUUUGCAUCUUACAAUCCUUGAAUAAUCUGAAUUGAAAAAGUCUUCACGCUUCUUCAAUCAAUUAAAAUCUCCCAUUUAUUGAACGCGACUUGAUAAAUCAAAUAUUGUUUCUCCUAUAGGUUGAUUCUUUCUAGUCUGAAAAAUUUUCACUUCUCAUGGACACAAUGGUAAUGGCAAUGGCGUUUAAGAUGCUUUCUCUUUUGCUCCUCUGCGGAUUCUUCUUUUCCAACUCCUUUGUCAUCGAAGAAGCCAACAUCCAGGACAUCCAAUGGGCAUUCUCUCAAAACAAGCUCACCUCCAGACAGCUCGUUGACUUCUACCUGCACCAGAUCGAGGCCCUGAAUCCGGAGCUUCGCAGCGUGAUAGAGGUGAACCCAGAUGCACGAGAGCAAGCGGACAAGGCCGAUGCAGAAAUUAAAAGCAAGAAGGAGUUGGGGGAGUUGCAUGGCAUACCAGUGUUGCUGAAGGACAGUAUAAAUACUAAAGAUAAAUUGAAUACAACUGCUGGGUCAUAUGCAUUGUUGGGGGCGGAGGUGAGUGGAGAUGCGGCGGUGGUGGAGAGGCUGAGGAAGGCGGGGGCGGUGAUACUGGGAAAGGCUAGUAUGAGUGAGUGGUAUCAGUUUCGUUCUUUGAAAACUCGAAACGGCUGGUGUCCAAGGAGUGGACAGGGUGUGGUGAGCUUAAUUGCUUUCCUUCUUCCUAUAUUUGGUUUCGUAAUUUUGAAGAUUAAGUCUAAAUUUUGUGACUUGUGAGACAUGCAGAAUCCAUAUGUAGCAUCGGGAGAGCCAUGCGGGUCAAGCAGCGGAUCUGCAGUAUCUGUAGCGGCCAACAUGGUGGCUGUCUCGCUUGGGACGGAGACUGAUGGUUCCAUCAUCUGCCCAGCUGAUGUGAACUCCGUUGUUGGGUUUAAACCCACUGUUGGACUCACCAGUCGGACAGGUGUCAUCCCAAUUUCACCCCGACAAGACAGUGUCGGGUACUAUAAGUUACAUAGCUUUGAAAUUGAUUAUUGAAUCUCUAACAUAAGCAUUAUGCUAUUAGUAAACUCCAUGUUUAUACAGGCGUAUAAAUUAUGAAAGUAGAGCUUGUUCUAUAUAUAUCAUUGAUCAGAGGUUUCUCUACCACAGACCUAUAUGCAGGAGUGUGUUGGACGCAGUUUAUGUGCUUGAUGCUAUAGUGGGUUUUGAUCCUAGAGACGGUGAGGCAACAAAAGAAGCAUCCAAGUUCAUACCUGUUGGUGGCUACAAACAAUUUCUCAACAAAGAUGGGAUUGCAGGAAAGAGAUUGGGUGUUGUGAGGAAUCCAUUUUCUGGAUUUUACAACCGAUCCACAGCUAUUUCAGCCUUUGAGGCUCAUCUCACCGUAUUAAGGUAGAAGAUAUAUAUGCUUUGUUAUAUAUAUAAACAUAGUCUAAACUCAUGUAAUAAACAUACCAUUGAUUUAGUGUCCUGUCAUGUGAAUUUCUUUGAGGAAUGCUGCAGGCAAAGAGGUGCAAUUUUAGUGGACAAUUUGGAAAUAGAAAAUGUUGAUAUCAUAUUGAACCCCUAUGAAAGUGGUGAAUCAACGGCCUUGUUGGCUGAGUUCAAGCUCAACAUAAAUGAAUACCUGAAAGAGCUCACCCAUUCUCCAGUGAGGUCCCUAGCAGGCAUAAUUGCCUUCAACUUGAACAACUCUGAUCUGGUAAAUACAUCCCCAAGUGGGGAAUGAGUUAUGAGAACUUAGGUAUUUGCUAAUUGGUUAUGUAUAUAUAUGAACUACGCCUUGUGCCAUUGCAGGAAAAGACUGAUGAAAAUGGCCAGGAAGUCUUUAUCGCAGCAGAGAUGACAAAUGGGAUUGGGAAGCAAGAGAGGAUGGCAAUGGAGAUGAUGGCAAAUCUGUCUCGUGAUGGGUUUGAGAAGCUGAUGAUGGAGAAUGAGCUCGAUGCAACGGUGACACUGGGUUCAGGCAUGGCCACUGUACUGGCCAUUGGAGGUUACCCCGGAGUUAGUGUUCCAGCUGGGUAUGAUGGAGAUGGAAUGCCCUUUGGCAUAUGUUUUGGAGGACUGAAGGGGAUGGAGCCAAAGCUUAUUGAAGUUGCUUACGGAUUUGAACAAGCCACAAAGAUUCGGAGACCUCCCGCUUCCCCUAAGAACUUAUUGUGUCCUUAUGAGCCAUUGUAAGAGUUGGAAUUUGUUUUCUGCAAUAACAGUGUUUAAAUACGUAUAAAUAAAUAAUUAAAAAUUUUUGAAUAAUUAUUUUAUAUCAUAACUAAGAAAUAGUUACGACUAAAUUUGUUUAAUACCUUUUAAAGUAAUUCCCUUAGUUUUCCUAAGUGAUGCAAAUGUCAUUUCAAAAAUUUGGAGAGGGUUUACAAGUUCAUUUAUCUUCAAUAAAUUCACAUCUUUGGACACUUCAAUGAUGGUUACUUUUGCUCUAUUCGGAGAGACCUUAAAAUUUUUCUUAAUAUUUUAGGAUUAGGGAUGAGUUCAUCAAUAUUAAAGCUAGAAUUCACAAUAUCCAUCAAUUUUGUAUGAAACUCUUCAAAAUUCUCGUUAUCAACUAUCCUAAUAAUCUCAAACCUAAAGACUAUCAUUUGAAAUUUGGACACUUUAAUGACAUUGGUUCCUUCAUGAGUCAAUUGAAAAAUAUUUUAAGUCUCCUUAGCCAAAGUACGAGUAGCAAUCUUACAAAAUUCAUUCGUGCUAAUUGCAUUAAAAAUGGAAUACAUGGUUUUAACAUUAUUCUCAUUAGUUUCAUUUUCACCUCUAUCCUAUUCUAAUUUAGGUUUGAUAACAUUUGUUAGUCUACUUUCUCUAUCCAAUCCCUUAGAUGAAGACCAACCAAAUUCAACAACAUUUCAAACUUUUCAUUUGCAUUUUAAGAAAAAUACUGCAUUCUUACUUUCCAAUGAGAAUAAUUUUCACUAAUUAAGAAUGGUGGUCUCUCAAUAAUCAACACUCCUUAACCUAAAUUCAUAAGAACAAUUAAUUUCUCAACACAUUUCUUCAAUAUUUUCAAAGGAUAAUUAGGCCCAUUUCAACUCAUUUUUCACUCAUCCAAUAUAUAUGCCCAAGUAUGAAAUUAAGAUCAAUAAAUAUAAAUGAACAAAAGAGAAGAAUGAGAGAAAGACAAUAACACAUUUAAUGUGGAAAAUUUUCUAAGAGAUAAAAAAAGUCAAAGGUCCACCAAUGAUCAAAGCUUCCACUACGAAAAAUAACAAACUGAAUACAAACUUUUACCUAACUCAAGUCUAUCUAUUUAUUAGAGUUUGAUGACUCGAAUUCUAUUUGGUCUUAUUUGAAAAGCUCGCAGUGUGAUAUAUGUGGUAAAAAAAAAAAAAGAGAUUUUUUUGGGGAUCUUACUCGAUUUUAGAUUUAUGAGAUUUUACUUAAAUUUGAAUCAAUUCUGGAACAGGGUACAAAAACAAUUAAUAAAAAAAAAUCAUUGUUUUGACUUCCUCAAUUCUUCUUUUUUUUUCUUUUUUUUAAAUAGUUUAAGAAAAAAACACAAUUUGAAAACUCAAUUGAUUUACAUUCACCUACACCAUCAGUUACAUUCCUUGGCCUCUAAGCAUUUUUAACAUCUUAAUCUCCAUUAGGCAAGAAGCACAAGGAAAGAUUUGAUAAACUUGAGUUAGGAGAAACUUAGGAAUUUUUGUAUGGAAUUACCAAUCGAGCUAAACAUUCACACAUCUACAUCUCGAUUAACAAUUAGGUUUACUGUGAAAUAAAACAGCAUGUAGGCAAAGAGGUACAACUUUAAUAGAAAAUAUGGUAAUAGAAAAUGUUGAUGUUAUUCUUCAACUCUUAUCAAAGUGGUGAAAUAACCCUUCCUAGCUACCUCUAGGAGUAUAUGCAGUAGCAUCUUCUUUUGUAUACUAAUAAGAGAGGAAAUGGUUCAUGUUUGUUCUUCUAGCUAGUGACAAAGGCUGAAUACAUGACGCAACAGGGACAUUAUCAAACUGAAUCACACCUACCAAAACAAAGCUAAAAAUUGCUCCCGAUCACUUAAUCUUAACGGCCACUAAAUGAUUUCAAAUGAUCAAUUUUUGGAUGUACUUUUGUGGGGACGAAAAAUUUCAGGCACGACAUGUGGACUCUGCAAUUUCAAGAGGAGCUGUCAUUAAUGUGCUCCAUUAUUGAAGCUGAAUGUCUGGAUAAGAAUUUUCUUGCCACUUUCAACAGUUUUAAGGCCAUAGAUACAAUUUGUUAGUGCCAUAUCAUCCAGAAGCCCCAAGACACCAAUGUACUCAAAUUAGAUAUAUUUAUACACGCUUAUCAAGCCUACUUCCAAGUUGAAUAACUGGUGAAAUCAAGUCAAUACAAUAAUGUCCAUCCAUUCCCAUGUCUCCACACUAUUUCUCCUUCCUCUAGUCUUACUACAGUCUGGAUCCAUUGCCAUCACAGGCCAUGCAUUUUCAAUCGAAGAAGCAACUGUCCAUGACUUCCAUAUGGCUUUCGAACAAAACAAACUCACCUCAAGGCAGCUGGUUGAGUUCUACCUGGGCAAGAUUCACAAACUCAACCCAAUUCUUCGUGGGGUAAUAGAGGUGAACCCAGAUGCACUCCUCCAAGCUGAUAAGGCCGACAGGGAGAGGAAGGCUAAGUUACCUGGGUCGCUGCUGGGGCUGCACGGCAUUCCUAUUCUGCUUAAGGAUAAUAUUGCAACCAAGGACAAGAUGAACACAACAGCAGGAUCAUUUGCAUUGCUUAAAUCAGUGGUGCCAAGGGAUGCAGGCGUGGUGAGGAAGUUGAGGAAGGCUGGAGCUAUCAUACUGGGAAAGGCUAGCCUCAGCGAGUGGGCUUAUUUUCGUGCUACUGUUAUUCCUUCGGGCUGGUGUGCUAGAACUGGCCAAGGUAAGGUAAGUUAUGAUCCAAAACUCAAAUUUUCCGACGGUAGUUAGCUUACAUUUUGGUUCUCAUCCUCCCCGGUAAAGAUAUGAACAGAUAUAGGCAGAUGGAAAUUAUACCCAAUUAUUUUCAUUCAAAUCCUUAGAAGGGGAAAAGCUUUUCUGUAUGAGGAGAACUUGUGGCCUCGUUGGAAAUUUCUAUUGUUUUGCAUUCAUGUAAGAAGUUUGUGUUUGGUUUUCAGGAAAAGCAGAGUUACUCCUUGAUCUCUAUAGCAUAGUAAAAUGUAGAAAAUGGAAUUUAUUAAUUUCCAAUUUCUCAUUCCAGUCAGUGUAAGUCUCCUCGUGAACUUGAACAUACACACCAAAAAAGAUAAUAAAAAAAAAAACAUAGAAUCUGAAUACAUGAAUCUUCACUAUGAUGCUGCACGCCAAAAAAGAUAACAAGCUUAGACAUGUUUGCCAAAGGAGUGAAAAGUGUGUGGAGCAUCUGGCCGGGGUCGCCAUUAAAAGGAAAAAAAGCUUCUUUCCAUUGAGCAUUCACACUAUGGUUGUCAAAUCGGUUUCUGUCUGUCAUUAUGUCCUAUAUCAAUCAUUCACCAUCAGUGGGUGUACCAAAAGAUUCUUCCUAUCAAUCAUAUCUUUUUUUAUCUGGCCACUCAAAUGUGUGGAAAUUUUGUUUUUACCUUUUUUUUUUUUCUCCUUUUUUAUGAAAAAAAAGGACCCUUUUCAUGCCUCUAUUGAUUCUGCCCAACACUCUGUUUCGAGUUGUCAUAUUUCUCUAGCAUUCUUGUGUUUCUAAUCCUAAGUAUAUGGGAUAAGAGAUUGAACAAAAACAAGAAGCCUCAAGCUACCGUUGAUUGCGAAAGGGAAGAAGAUUAAGGAUGAAAAUAGGACUACAAUGUGUUGCAUAAACAGUUUUAUGAAUCUUAAGCCUAUGAUUUCAAUGGUGUGCAGAACCCUUAUGUUCUAUCAGCAACUCCCUGUGGCUCAAGUAGUGGAUCAGCUAUAUCAGUAGCAGCAAAUUUAGCGGCAGUGUCUCUAGGGACGGAGACUGAUGGAUCCAUCUUAUGUCCAUCCCACGUUAAUUCAGUAGUGGGCAUCAAACCAACACUUGGUCUCACCAGCCGAGCUGGCGUGGUUCCAAUCUCUCCUAGGCAGGACACUGUUGGGUAGGUGAUGCUUCAUCUUCCUAAAUCCAAAUAUGAAGCUAUCAUCUGUUGAACAACCAAAGAUAGCAGACUGCUCAAACAUAUUUGAUGCAACAGGCCCAUCUGCAGGACAGUCUCCGAUGCUGUAGAGGUACUGGAUGUCAUUGUUGGUUUUGACUACAGGGAUGAAGCAACCAGGACAUCAUCCAAGUACAUACCACAAGGUGGCUAUAAGCAAUUUCUCAAUGCAAAUGGACUCAAGGGGAAGAGAUUGGGGAUAGUGAGGAAUCCCUUCUAUAUGUUUGAGAAUGGCUCUGUCCUGCCUCAAGUUUUUGAGCAUCAUUUCCACACACUAAGGUAACAAAACCUGCUUUCUAAGUACAGUGCUUAAUGUCCUAAUUACUCUAGCUUAAGGUGCUUGACUAAAUUAACCUAUUCUUAUUACAUCAUGCUUCAAGGCAAGGAGGUGCUAUUUUGGUAGACCACCUGGAAAUAGCCAACAUUGAUGUUAUCUAUGGCUCCUCCGGAGAAGGUGCAGCAUUAGAGGCUGAGUUCAAAAUAUCCUUGAAUGCUUACCUGAAAGAGCUGGUAGCAUCCCCAGUAAGAACUUUGGCUGAUGUGAUAGCCUUCAACAACAAAUUCUCACAUUUGGUGAGUACAUUCAGGAGGGGUUUUAAUUAUUUACUUGCUGUUCUAGAUUCCGCUAGGAUUGUUAAAACCACAUUCUGAAAAGAUGACUAAUUUAAUUACUUGAGUAACUGCAGGAAAAGAUCAAGGAGUAUGGACAAGAUACCUUUCUGCAGGCCGAAGCCACAAAUGGGAUAAACAAGAAAACUUUGUUAAAAUUAGCAAGAUUGUCACGAAAUGGAUUUGAGAAGUUGAUGAAGGAGCAUAAGCUGGAUGCAUUGGUGACUCCUGGUUCAAAUGUGAGUCCUGUUCUUGCUAUUGGAGGAUUCCCUGGAAUUUCUGUUCCAGCUGGAUAUGAUAGCAAAGGAGUACCAUUUGGCAUUUGUUUUGGGGGCCUAAAGGGCUCUGAGCCAAAGCUAAUCGAGAUUGCAUAUAGCUUCGAGCAAGCAACUAAGAUUAGGAAGCCACCUUCAUUUAAACCUUGAAGGUUUAGAACAACUCCUAUCAGAGUUGUACUACAUGUAUCAGUAUCAAGAACUCUUCUCUCUAGUUGGUAAUCCUGCACUAGAAAGGAUAUUAUAAUAAAGUGCUCAAUGUUUUGAAUGAACUAAGAUGGUACAGAGGCUGGUUUUCUCCAAAUCAUCUAAAUUAUGAAGUUUCCCUCUACCAUUUACUGUUGUGAUUGGUGCCAUUACAGUGCACUACCCUCUGAAUAACCACUCAUUUAUUUGCAAUAAAACAUGCAGAAUUCAUACAUAUAUCCUAUGAUAAAUGUAGAGAUACAUGAGCAAAAAGGAUUAGAUAAAAAUGUAAAACGGGUAUCAAUACUAAGAUAAAAGUAGCUGUAAAUUUGAUUAUCCUUAAAUUGGUUUACACAACUUCUAACAGCAGCCAGCCACUGAAAUUAUUUGUAGUUACUAAUUUUAGAUGUCCUUUUAUGGGCCAAAAAGUUUCAUUAGCCUUUUAUGGGGCAAAAAAUUAGAACGUUCGUUAAAUUAACAAUGAACUUCCACUCCUACGUCUUCCAACUUUUUCUCCUUUUUUCUAGCCUUAUGACUAGCAGUAUCCAUCACCAUCACAGGCCAUGCAUUCUCAAUCAAAGAAGCAACUCUCCAUGUUUUCCAUAAGGCUUUCAAGCAAAAUAAACUCAAUUCAAGGCAGCUGGUUGAGUUCUAUAUUAGUGAAAUUCACAAAUUGAACCCAAUCCUUCAUGGGGGUAGUAGAGGUGAACCCGGACCCACUCCUCCAAGCAGAUAAUGCUGACAGAGAGCAAAAGGCUGGGUCACCCGGCUUGUUGCUUGGGAUGCAGGUGUGAUGAGGAGGUUAAGGCUUGGGCUAUAUAGUGAGGAAUCUCUUCUUUACGUUGAGUGGGGAAGUAACCCAGCCUAACCCCAACUGAUUUUGAUUAUAAAUAAAGUCUUAACUUCCUCUAGAAGUGUAUGCAGUAGCAUCUUCUUUUCAUUUAUGUUCUUCUAGUGACAAAGGUUGAAUCCAUGACGAACAAGGACAUGAAAAAACAAAAUUAUACCUAUAGAAGGAAAAGCUAAAAAAUGUUGCAGAUCAAUUAAUCAUGAGGUGGCUAAUCACAACUUCUGAAGGCCACCAAAUGACUUCUAAUGACCAAUUUUCAGGAGCGAUAAAAAGUUCAAUCAUGACAUAGAUACAAUUCGUCUAGAUGAGUAUUUGGUUUACCUCUUUCCAAAGCUUCAAGGUCACAGAUAUAAUAUGUUUAUAUCAUAUCAUCCAAAAGCCCCACGAAACUAAGGUAUGUUUGAUGACUAUUUUUAAGAAUUAAUUUUUAUUAUUUAGAAUAACAAAAAUAAGAAAACAUGUUUGAUAAUCAGAAAACAAAAGAUAUGAUGUUUUUAGAUAAUACUUUUUAAUUAUUUUUUUAGGACGAUAUUAAAAAAAUAGUUAUACAAAUAGAAAGAAUAAUUAAAAAUAAAGCUCUGUAUAUAAAAAUUAUUUUAAAAACAUAUUUACAAGUAUAAGAAACAAGUUAAGCAUAUUUUAGGUUACGUAAUUAACUUUUGUUUUACAAAAUAUCAAAAAAGGGUUUCAAAAUAUUGUUAUCAGAAGCUAUUUUUAAGAAUUAUUUUUGUGGGAUGGUGGUGACUUAGAGAAAAAAAUCUCACUUGAUGAAUUGGAACUUGGUUUGUACCAAUAAGAAAAAGGGGGGCCUUGUAAUUCAUAGAAUUGUGGAUUUAAACAAAGCCUUACUUAGGAAGUGGACCAGAUCAAUUAAUCUUAACGGCCACAAAAUGAUUUCAAAUGACCAAUUUUUGGAUGUACUUGUGUGGGGACGAAAAAUUUGAGUCACGACAUGUGGGACAUGUGGGCUAUGCAAUUUCAAGAGGAGCUAUCAUUAAUGUGCUCCAUUAUUGAAGCUAAAUGUCUGGAUAAGAAUUUUUUUGCCACUUUCAACAGUUUUAAGGCCAUAGAUACAAUUUGUUAGUGCCAUAUCAUCCGGAAGCCCCAAGACACCAAUAUACUCAACCUUAGAUAUAUUUAUACACUCUUAUCAAGCCUACUUCCAAGUUGAAUAACUGGUGAAAUCAAGUCAAUACAAUAAUGUCCAUCCAUUUCCAUGUCUCCACACUAUUUCUCCUUCCUCUAGUCUUACUACCGUCUGGAUCCAUUGCCAUCACAGGCCAUGCAUUUUCAAUCGAAGAAGCAACUGUCCAUGACUUCCAUAUGGCUUUCGAACAAAACAAACUCACCUCAAGGCAGCUGGUUGAGUUCUACCUGGGCAAGAUUCACAAACUCAACCCAAUUCUUCGUGGGGUAAUAGAGGUGAACCCAGAUGCACUCCUCCAAGCUGAUAAGGCCGACAGGGAGAGGAAGGCUAAGUUACCUGGGUCGCUGCUGGGGCUGCACGGCAUUCCUAUAUAUUCUGCUUAAGGAUAAUAUUGCAACCAAGGACAAGAUGAACACAACAGCAGGAUCAUUUGCAUUGCUUAAAUCAGUGGUGCCAAGGGAUGCAGGCGUGGUGAGGAAGUUGAGGAAGGCUGGAGCUAUCAUACUGGGAAAGGCUAGCCUCAGCGAGUGGGCUGCUUUUCGUGCUACUGCUACUCCUUCGGGCUGGUGUGCUAGAACUGGCCAAGGUAAGGUAAGUUGUGAUCCAAAACUCAAAUUUUCCGACGGUAGUUAGCUUACAUUUUGGUUCUCAUCCUCCCCGGUAAAGAUAUGAACAGAUAUAGGCAGAUGGAAAUUAUACCCAAUAAUUUUUUAAUCAAAUUCUUAGAAGGGGAAAAGCUUUUCUGUUUAAGGAGAAUUUGUGUACUCGUUGGAAAUUUCUGCUGUUUUGCAUUUAUCCUGAGAAGUUUGUGUUUGUUUGUCAGGAAAAGCAGAGUUACUCUAUGAUUUCUAUAGCAUAUUAAAUGUAGAAAGUGGAAUUUACUAAUUUCCAAUUUCUCAUUCCAGUCAGUGUAAGUCUCCUCGUGAACUUGAACAUACACGCCAAAAAAGAUCAAAAAAAAAAAAAUUAGAAUCUGAAUACAUGAAUCUGCACUAUGAUGCUGCACGCCAAAAAAGAUAACGAGUUUAGACACGUUUGCCAAAGGAGUGAAAAGUGUGUGGAGCAUCUGGCCGGAGUCGCCAUUAAAAGGAAAAAAGCUUCUUUCCAUUUAGCAUUCACACUAUGGUUGUCAAAUGGGUUUCAGUCUGUCAUUAUGUCCUACAACAAUCAUUCACCAUCAGUGGGUGUACCAAAAGAUUCUUCCUAUCAAUCAUAUCUUUUUUAUCUGCCCACUCAAAUGUGUGGAAAUUUUAUUUUUUUAAGGGUCUAUUGAUUCUGCCCAACAUUCUGUUUCGAGUUGUCAUAUUUCUCUAGCAUUCUUGUGUUUCUAAUACUAAGUAUAUGGGAUAAGAGAUUGAACAAAAACAAGAAGCCUCAAACUACCGUUGAUUGCAAAAGGGAAGAAGAUUAAGGAUGAAAAUAGGACUACAAUGUGUUGCAUAAACAGUUUUAUGAAUCUUAAGCCUACGAUUUCAUUGGUGUGCAGAACCCUUAUGUUCUAUCAGCAACUCCCUGUGGCUCAAGUAGUGGAUCAGCUAUAUCAGUAGCAGCAAAUUUAGCGGCAGUGUCUCUAGGGACGGAGACUGAUGGAUCCAUCUUAUGUCCAUCCCACAUUAAUUCAGUAGUGGGCAUCAAACCAACACUUGGUCUCACCAGCCGAGCUGGCGUGGUUCCAAUCUCUCCUAGGCAGGACACUGUUGGGUAGGUGAUGCUUCAUCUUCCUAAAUCCAAAUAUGAAACUAUCAUCUGUUGAACAACCAAAGAUAGCAGACUGCUCAAACAUAUUUGAUGCAACAGGCCCAUCUGCAGGACAGUCUCCGAUGCUGUCGAGGUACUGGAUGUCAUUGUUGGUUUUGACUACAGGGAUGAAGCAACCAGGACAGCAUCCAAGUACAUACCACAAGGUGGCUAUAAGCAAUUUCUCAAUGCAAAUGGGCUCAAGGGGAAGAGAUUGGGGAUAGUGAGGAAUCCCUUCUAUAUGUUUGGGAAUGGCUCUGUCCUCCCUCAAGUUUUUGAGCAUCAUUUCCACACACUCAGGUAACAAAACCUGCUUUCUAAGUACAGUGCUUAAUACCCUAAUGACUCUAGCUUAAGGUGCUUGACUAAAUUAACAUAUUCUUAUUACAUCAUUCCACAAAGGCAAGGAGGUGCUAUUUUGGUAGAUCACCUGGAAAUAGCCAACAUUGAUGUUAUCUAUGGCUCCUCCGGAGAAUAUGCAGCAUUAGAGGCUGAGUUCAAAACAUCCUUGAAUGCUUACCUGAAAGAGCUGGUAGCAUCCCCAGUAAGAACUUUGGCUGAUGUGAUAGCCUUCAACAACAAAUUCUCACAUUUGGUUAGUACAUUCAGGAGAGGUUUUCAUUAUUUACUUGUUGUUCUAGAUUCCGCUAGGAUUGUUAAAACCACAUUCUGAAAAGAUGACUAAUUUAAUUACUUGGGUAACUGCAGGAAAAGAUAAAGGAGUAUGGACAAGAUAUCUUUCUGCAAGCCGAAGCCACAAAUGGGAUAAACAAGAAAACUUUGUUAAAAUUAGCGAGAUUGUCACGAAAUGGGUUUGAGAAGUUGAUGAAGGAGCAUAAGCUGGAUGCAUUGGUGACACCUGGUUCAGAUGUUAGAACUAUUCUUGCUAUUGGAGGAUUCCCUGGAAUUUCUGUUCCAGCUGGAUAUGACAGCGAAGGAGUACCAUUUGGCAUUUGUUUUGGGGGCCUAAAGGGCUCUGAGCCAAAGCUGAUCGAGAUUGCAUAUAGCUUCGAGCAAGCAACUAAGAUUAGGAAGCCACCUUCAUUUAAACCUUGAAGGUUUAGAACAACUCCUAUCAGAGCUGUACUACAUAUAUCAGUAUCAAGAACUCUUCACUCUAGAUAGUAAUCCUGCACUAGAAAGGAUGUUAUAAUAAACUGCUCAAUGUUUUGAAUAAACUAAGAUGAUAUGGAUGUUGGUUUUCUCCAAAUCAUCUAAAUUAUGAAGUUUCCCUCUACCAUUUACUGUUGUGAUUGGUGUCAUUACAGUGCACUGUCCUCUGAAUAACCACUCAUUUAUCUGUAAUGAAACAUGCAGAAUUCAUACAUAUAUCCUAUGAUCAAUGUAGAGAUACAUGAGCAAAAAGGACUAGAUAAAAAUGUAAAACGGGUAUCAAAACUAAGGUAAAAGUAGAUGCAGAUUUGAUUAUUCUUAAGUUGGUUUACACAACUUUUAACAGCAGCCAGCACUGAAAUUAUUUGUAGUUGCUAAUUUCAGAUGUCCUUUUAUGGGCCAAAAAGUUUCAUUAGCCUUUUAUGGGGCAAAAAAUUAGAAUGUCCAUUAAGUUAACAAUGAACAUCCAUUCGUAAGUCUUCCGACUUUUUAUCCUUUCUUCUAACCUUAUGACUAGCAGUAUCCAUCACCAUCACAGGCCAUACAUUCUCAAUCAAAGAAGCAACUCUCCAUGUUUUCCAUAAGGCUUUCAAACAAAAUAAACUCAAUUCAAGGCAGCUGGUUGAGUUCUACAUUAGUGAAAUUCACAAACUGAACCCAAUCCUUCAUGGGGGUAGUAGAGGUGAACCCGGACGCACUCCUCCAAGCAGAUAAAGCUGACAGGGAGCAAAAGGCUAGGUCACCUGCCUUGUUGCUUGGGAUGCAGGUGUGCUGAGGAGGUUAAGGCUUGGGCUAUAUAGUGAGGAAUCUCUUCUUUACGUCGAGUGGGGAAGUAACCCAGCCUAACCCCAAUUGAUUUUGAUUAUAAAUCAAGUCUUCCUCUAGAAGUGUAUGCAGUAGCAUCUUCUUUUCAUAUAUGUUCUUCUAGUGACAAAUGUUGAAUCCAUGACGAACAAGGACAUGAAAAAACAGAAUCACACCUAUAGAAGGAAAAGCUAAAAAAUGUUGUAGAUCAAUUAAUCAUAAGGUGGCUAAUCACAACUUCUGAAGGCCACCAAAUGACUUCUAAUGACCAAUUUUCAGAUGUGCUUCGGUGGGAGCGAAAAAGUUCAAUCAUGACAUAGGUAUAAUUUGUCUAGAUGAGUAUUUGGCUUACCUCUUUCAAAAGCUUUAAGGCCACUAAUAUAAUUUGUUCAUAUCAUAUCAUCCCAAAGCCCUUAGAAACUAAGGUGUGUUUGAUGACUAUUUUUAAGAAUAAUUUUCUAUUAUUUAAAAUAACAAAAAUAGGAAAACAUGUUUGAGAAUCAGAAAACAAAAAAUAUGGUAUUUUUAGAAAAUACUUUUAAAUUAUUUUCAAUUAUUUUCACUUAUUUUUUUGGACCAUAUUAAAAAAUAAUUUUAUAAAUACGAAGAACAAUUAAAAAUAAAACUCUAUAUAUAGAAUUUAUUUUAAAAAUAUAAAAAACAAGUUAAGCAUAUUUUAUAUUACUUAAUGAACUUUUACUUCACAAAAUAUCAAAAUAUAAACCCUUUUUUAGAAUUAUUUUUCGAAAACACUUCUCACAGAAGAUCAUCGUGUACUCCAUAUAUAUACACGCACUGUCAUCCAGCCUACUUUCAAAUUGAACAACUGGUGAAAUCAAAUCAAUACACAAUGUCCAUCCAUUCCACUAUCUCCACAGUAUUUUUCCUCCUUCCAGCCUUAGUUCUAUCUGGAUCUGCUGCCAUCACAGGCCCUGAAUUCUCAAUCAAAGAAGCGACUGUCCAUGACUUCCGUAUGGCUUUCAAACAAAACAAACUCACCUCAAGGUAGAUGGUUAGGUUCUACCUGGGUGAAAUGCACAAACUCGACCCAAUUCUUCAUGGGGUAAUAGAGGUGAACCCAGAUGCACUCCUCCAAGCCGACAAGGCUGACAGGGACAGGAAGGCUAAGUUACCUGGAUCACUGCUGGGGCUACAUGGCAUUCAUAUUCUGCUUAAGGAUAAUAAUGCAACCAAGGACAAGAUGAACACAACAGCUGGGUCAUUUGCACUGCUUAAAUCAGUCGUUGUCUACGGAUGCAGGCGUGGUGAGGAAGUUGAGGAAGGUUGGGGCUAUCAUACUGGGAAAGGCUAGCCUGAGUGAGUGGGCUGGUUCACGCUUUGCUACUCCUUAUGGCUGGUGUGCCAGAGCUGGCCAAGGUCGGGUAAAUUAGGAUCCAAAACUCGAUUUUUCUGAUGGUUGUUAGCUUACAUUUUGGUUCUCGUCCUGCCCAGAAAAGUCCUGUAAACAUGAACAGAUAUAGGAGGAUGGAAAUUAUACCCAAUUAUUUUCAAUCAAAUUCUGAGAAGGGACAAAGCUUUUCUGUAUGCGUAGAACUUGUGUCCUCCUGGGAAAUUUCUGUUGUCAGGGAAGCACAUUUUCUCUUUGAUAUCUAGCACAUUAAAUUGAAGAAAAUGGAAUGUACUCAUUUCCAGUUUCUCAAUCUAGACAGAGUAAGAGUCCCCGUGAAUUUGAACACUUGAAUCUGUACUUAUGUAGCUACACGCCAAAAAGGAUGUAACAUUUUAGAAUCUGACCACGUGAGUCUGCACUAUGAUGCUGCAUGCCAAAGAAGGAAAAAAACAAAUCUUAGACGUAUUUGCCAAAGGAGAAGGUGAAAAGGAGGUGUGAAUUGAAACCCACUUUUUAGAUUAAGAAUGGACCCAGCAAGAUAGUGGAAAAUGCGUGGAGCAUUUGGUCAGGGUCACCAUUAGAGAAGCAAUAAAGCUUCCUUCCAGUGAUCAUUCACAGUAAGGUUUUCAAAUAGGUUUCAAUCUGCAAUUGAUUUGUCCUGCAUCAAUAACUCACCAUCAGUGGAAGAACCAAGCCACUCGUCAUAUGAAUCGUAUCUCUUCUUGAUCUGCCCCACUCAAAUGUGCUCACUGAUUCUGUCUAACAAUCUGUUUUACGAUAUAUGUUUCUUGCAUAACAACAUAUAACAGUUGUAUCGUGUUGCAUAAACGGUUUUAUAACUCUGAAAUAUAUGAUUUCAAUGGUGUGCAGAACCCUUAUGUUCUGUCAGAAACUCCUUGUGGCUCAAGUAGUGGAUCAGCUAUAUCAGUAGCAGCAAAUUUGGCAGCAGUGUCUCUAGGGACGGAGACUGAUGGAUCCAUCUUAUAUCCAUCCCACAUUAAUUCAGUAGUGGGCAUCAAACCAAUGUUUGUUUUUUGGCUGAAUAAAAAAAGCCAAAAUAUUUAGUUUUUUCUAUUUAACUAAAAGUAACUCAUUGAUAUCAACUAACAUAAUUAAAUUAAAUUUAUUGAUAAUAAGUUCACUUUAAUUGUAUUGAUUAAUAUCAACGAGGUACUUUUAACUUAAUAGGAAAAACCAAAUAUUUUGGUUUUUUCUAUUCAACCAAAAAACAAACACUACCACUACUGUCUCACCAACCGAGCUGGUGUGGUUCCAAUCUCUCCUAGGCAGGACACUGUUGGGUAGGUGAUGCUUCAUCUUCCUAAAUCCAAAUAUGAAACUAUCAUCUGUUGAGCAAUCAAAGAGACCAGACUGCUCCAUCUGAUUGCCAAACAGAAAAGGGAGAAAUGACGAUGAAAAGUUGGGAUCAUACAACUAUUUAAGAUUUCAAAUGAUGAUUUUCAGUAGUAAAUUCUGUAUUUCCUCUCUUCAUCCACGAGCCAAUCAAGCAUCAAUGAAUGUAACUGGAUUCUGUUGCAUACAAUUCAAGAUCUUCACAUGCUUCUGUUAAUUAGUAGGUUUUGGUAUAAAUCUGCUUGCUUUUGAAUCAUCAACAUAUGCUUCACUACUUGGUUUUUGACUGGAGAAACUUUGUAGUUUUGUUAUAUCCACUGGUAUCAGAACACAAUGGUGUUAAUUCUAGUAAGGACUCUUAACAUGUUGGAUGCAACAGGCCCAUCUGUAGGACAGUCUCCGAUGCUGUAGAGGUACUGGAUGUCAUUGUAGGUUUUGAGAAGAGGGAUGAAGCAACCAGGACAGCAUCCAAGUACAUACCACUAUAUGCAAUUUCUCAAUGCCAAUGGGCUAGCUCAAGGGGAAGAGAUUGGGGAUAGUAAGGAAUCCCUUCUAUAUGUUUGAGAAUGGCUGUGUCCUGACUAAAGUUUUUGAGCAUCAUUUCCACACACUAAGGUACUAAAACCUGCUUUCUAAGUACAGUGCUUAAUGGCCUAAUGACUCUAGAUUAAGGAGCUGGCCCUAAUUUAACCUAUUGUUAUUACAUCAUGCUACAGGGCAAGGAGGUGCUAUUUUGGUAGACCACCUGGAAAUAGCCAACAUUGAUGUUAUAUUUGGCUCCUCCAGAGAAGAAGCAACAUUAGAGGCGGAGUUCAAAAUAUCCUUGAAUGCUUACCUGAAAGAGCUGGUAGCAUCCCCAGUAAGAACUUUGGCUGAUGUGAUCGCCUUCAACAACAAAUUCUCACAUUUGGUAAAUACAAUCAGAAGGGGUUUUCAUAAUUUAUUUGAUGUUCUAGAUUCAAAUAAAGAUUGUCAAAAUCACAUUCUGGAAAGAUGACCAAUUUUCUUGGGCAACUUCAGGAGAAAAUCAAAGAAUAUGGACAAGACAGCUUUCUGCGAGCCGAAGCCACAAAAGGAAUAAGCAAGAAAACUUUGUUAAAAUUAGCAAGAUUGUCAAGAAAUGGAUUCAAGAAGUUGAUGAAUGAGCAUAAGCUGGAUGCAUUGGUGACUCCUGGUGCAGAUGUUUUGGAGGAUUCCCCGGAAUUACUGUUCCAGCUGGAUAUGAUAGCGAAGGAGUGCCAUUUGGCAUUUGUUUAAUUUGGGGGCCUAAAGGGCUCUGAGCCAAAGCUGAUCGAGAUUGCAUAUAGCUUCGAGCAAGCAACUAAGAUUAGGAAGCCGCCUUCAUUUAAACCUUGAAGGGCUCCUUGCAGAGUUCUACUCCAUGUAUCAGGAUCAAGAACUCUUCUCUCUAGCUGGCGAUCGUGCACUAGCAAGGAUGUUAGUAUAAACUUUUUAAGGUUUUGAAUAAACUAAGAUGAUAUGGAGGCUGGUUUCCUGGAAAUCAUCUAAAUUAUGAAGUUCCCCUCUACCAUUUACUGGUGUGUUUGGUACCAUUAGAGUGCACUGCCCUCUGGCUAACCACUCAUUUGUCUGCACUGAAUCAUGCAGAGUUCAUACAUGUAUCCUAUGAUCAAUGUAUAGAAACAUGAGCAACAAGGACACGAUCAAAAUGGAAAAACACGUAUAUCACACAAGUUUGUUUUUUCACAUAUCCUAGAUUUCAAUUUCAUCUUUCAAACAAAAUCUUUCCAAUAUUCUACACAAAUAUUUCUCUUUCAUUCAUAUAAAUGAUAUAAUCAACAAAUAACUACUAAAUUUUUUUCUAGCAUUAUUUCCACUAAUAAUCAACAACAAAAUUCACAUAAUCACCCAUAAGUUAAAACAUAAAACAUAAGUAGAUGCAAAAUAUCAUGGAAAUAAGUGGGUAUUGCUUACAAAAGUAAUACUCGCUGAUUUUUGGAACAAACCACCCUCCUAAAAUCCAAAAAUUCACCCAUUAAAUUCAAAAUCCGACUCCAUAGCUAUGUUUACCUCGACAAAGUAAGCACGAAAAUAUGAGAAAUGGCAAAAGGCAUUUAUGUCCAAAAUAGGUGUUUUUCAAGUAAAAAUAUGAGAAAUGUUAAAUUCACAAAUUUAGAUAUUAUUUCAUCCUUUUAACUAAUUAAUUAUUUUUUCAUUUUUCCUCUUCGUUUAUUCUUUUCCUUCUUUCUUUUUUAUAUUUCCAAUCUCUACAAUUAAAUCUCUACAUUACUUAUCCAAUUUAUUUUAAUCUCAAAUCCACAUGUAUAAUUUUCUGAUUUCUCUCAAAUGAAUUUUAUUUUAUUUUAUUUAUAUUUUUAUCUUUCAUUUAUUAUUCACAAAUUAAAUUUAGAUCCUAAAUAAAUAUAUCUUACAAUUUUACUAGAUUAAUUAAAUUUCAUAUUUGCCAAUGUAAUCUUCUAUUUUUCAAAUAUUUCAACCUUACCCAAUUAUCCACCGACCAUUUAUUAUUUAAUCAUUUAAUUUAUAACCAAUAAAUUCUUAACCCUAGUAACUAAUGUACUCAACCUUAUAUAUAUAUACGCACACCCUCUCAUCCAGCCUACAUCCAAAUUGAAUAACUGGUGAAAUCAGGUCAAUACAACAAUGUCCAUCCAUUCCCAUAUCUUCACACUAUUUCUCCUUCUUCUUGCCUUACUACUAUCUGCAUCCAUACCCAUCACAGGCCAUGAAUUCUCAAUCAAAGAAGCAACUGUCCACGACUUUCGCAUGGCUUUCCAACAAAACAAACUCACCUCACGGAAGCUUGUUAGGUUCUACCUGGGUGAAAUUCACAAACUCAACCCAAUUCUUCGUGGGGUGAUAGAGGUGAACCCAGAUGCACUCCUCCAAGCAGAUAAGGCUGACAAAGAGAAGAAGGCUAAGUCACUUCGGUCGCUGGAGGGGCUGCAUGGCAUUCCUAUUCUGCUUAAGGAUAAUAUUGCAACCAAGGACAAGAUGAACACAACAGCUGGGUCAUUUGCACUGCUUAAAUCGGUGGUGCCAAGGGAUGCAGGCGUGGUGAGGAAGUUGAGGAAGGCUGGGGCUAUCAUACUGGGAAAGGCUAGCCUGAGUGAGUGGACUGGUUUGCGCUUUGUUUUUCCUUAUGGCUGGUGUGCCAGAACUGGCCAAGGUCGGGUAAGUUAGGAUCCAAAACUCGAUUUUUCUGAUGGUUUUAAGCUUACAUUUUGGUUCUCAUCCUCCCCAGAAAAGUCCAGCACACAUGAACAGAUAUAGCUGGAUGGAAAUUAUUUUCAAUUAUUUCAAUCAAAUUCUCAGAAGGGGAAAAGAUUUUCUGUCUGAGUAGAACUUGUGUCCUCCUGGGAAAUUUCUAUUGCUUUGCAUUUAUGUUUGUGUUUGGUUGUCAGGGAAAGCAGGCUAACUCUUUGAUCUCUAGCAUAUUAAAAUGUAGAAAAUGGAAUUUGUUAAUUUCCAGUUUCUCAUUCUAGUCAGAGUCAGUCCCCUCUUGAACUUUAACUCUUGAAUCUGUACUUAUUCUGCUACAUGCCAAAAAAUAUGAAAAAUUUUGGAAUCUGAACACGUGAGUCUGCACUAUGAUGCUUUAUGCCAAAAGGGAAAAAAACAAAUCGUAGACAUGUUUGCCAAAGGAGAAGGUGAAAAGGAGGUGUGGAUUGAAACCCACUUUCCAGUGAGCAUUCACACUGGUUUUUAAAUAGGUUUCAAUCGCAUAAACAGUUUUAUAACUCUGAAGUAUAUGGCUUCAAUGAUGUGCAGAACCCUUAUGUUCUGUCAGCAACUCCUUGUGGGUCAAGUAGUGGAUCAGCUAUAUCAGUAGCAGCAAAUUUAGCAGCAGUUUCAUUAGGGACGGAAACUAUGGGAUCCAUCUUAUGUCCAUCCCAUUUUAAUUCAGUAGUGGGCAUCAAACCAACAGUAGGUCUCACCAGCCGAGCUGGGGUGGUUCCAAUCUCUCCCAGGCAGGACACUGUUGGGUAGGUGAUGUUUCAUCUUCCUAAAUACAAAUUUGAAACCCCCAUCUGUUGGGCAGACUGCUCAAACAAUUUGAUGCAACAGGCCCAUCUGCAGGACAGUCUCCGACGCUGUAGAGGUACUGGAUGUCAUUGUAGGUUUUGACAAGAGGGAUAAAGCAACCAGGACAGCAUCCAAGUACAUACCAAGGGGUGGCUACAAGCAAUUUCUCAAUGCAAAUGGGCUCAAGGGGAAGAGAUUAGGAAUAGUGAGGAAUCCUCCCUAUAUGUUUGAGAAUGUCUCUGUCCAGCCUCAAGUUUUUGAGCAUCAUUUCCACACACUAAGGUAACAAACUAUCUAAGUACAGUGCUUAAUGCCCUAAUGAUUCUUACAACCUAAACUAACCUAUUGUCAUUUCAUCAUGCUACAAGGCAAGGAGGUGCGGUUUUGGUAGACCACCUGAAAAUAGCAAACAUCGAUGUUUUCUUUGGCUCCACCGGAGUAGAAGCACUAGAGGCUGAGUUAAAAAUAUCCUUGAAUGCUUACCUGAAAGAGCUGGUAGCAUCCCCAGUAAGAACUUUGGCUGAUGUGAUAGCCUUCAACAACAAAUUCUCACAUUUAGUAAGUAUAAUCGGAAGGGGUUUUUUUGUUUUCAUCAUUUAGGCUCUGUUUAGGAAGCGUUUCCGAAAACAGUUCUAAAUUUAAACAAUUUUUUAAAUCGUUAUUUAAUGUUUUGUAAAGCAAAAAUUUAUUUGGUAACCUAAAAUGGUUUUUAAAUAUGUUUUAGAAAUUACUUUAUAUUUAAUGAUUCUCUGUAUUUGUAUAAUUACAUUUUAAAACAGCUCAUAAAAAUAGGUGAAAAAACUAAAAAUAUUUAAAAGAUACUAUCUGAAAACACUUUGUUUUCUUACUAUUAAAAGUAUUUUUUUUAUUUUUUCAUUGUAAAGAGUAGAAAAUUGUUUUCAAAAAUAGUUAUCAAAUAAAGCCUUAGGGCCUAUUUGGUUUCUGUUUUUUAAAAUUGUUCUGAAAAACAGUUUUUGAGAACAGUUUUUUGUGUUUUCGGAAAAAAAAAAUUGUAUUUGGAAACUGAAUUUUGGAAAAUAGUUUUUGUUCUAAAAAAAAACCAUGUUUCAUUGAGUCAAUAAAAAAAUUUAGAAUAAAUAAAACAAAAAACAUAUUUGAAAAUUAUUUUUUUAAUUAAUAAGGUGUUUUCUUUCAUUAAUUUGAUAUUAUAAAUAUAUCAAUAAAUUUCAUAUGUAUAAUUCAUUUAAAUUUUUAAAAAAAUAUUUAAUUUUGAAAUUUUUACACUAGUUAUAAUUUUAUUAAACAAAUUAUGAAUUUAUAACCAUAUGUAAGUAUAUUAAUUUCAAUAAUUUAAAGAAAAAGAAAGGGUUUGCGGGUGGGGGUAUGGUGGUUGAAUAGAGUUCACCUUUAUAAAAACACAAAAAUCAUCUAAGAAAAUACAAAAAGAAGGAAAACAAAACACGAAAAACAAUCUAUUUUUGAAUAGUGAAAAAUAUCUUUUUAUUAUUCUAAAAAAAAUGGUUUUUAAGAACACGGAAAACACAAAAAAUAAAAACACUCCCCCUUCCCCAAAUAAGUUUUUUGUGUUUUUUAUUUUUAAGAACAUAAAACAAUUUUUGAAAAGAUACCCUUAUUUUCUAUUCUAGAUUCAUUCGAGAUUUUUAAAAUCACAUUCGGAAAAGAUGACCAAGUCAAUUACUUGGGUAACUGCAGGAAAAGGUCAAGGAGUAUGGACAAGAUCUGUUUCUGCAAGCCCAAGCCACAAAAGGAAUAAACAAGAAAACUUUGUUAAAAUUAGCAAGAUUUUCAAGGAAUGGAUUCGAGAAGUUGAUGAAGAAGCAUAAGCUGGACGCAAUGGUAGCUCCUACUGCAGAUAUUAUUCAUGUUCUCGCCAUUGGAGGAUUCCCAGGAAUUGAUGUUCCAGCUGGAUAUGAUGGAAAAGGAGUACCAUUUGGCAUUUGUUUUGGGGGCCUAAAGGGCUCUGAGCCAAAGCUGAUCGAGAUUGCAUAUAGCUUCGAGCAGGCAACUAAGAUUAGGAAGCCACCUUCAUUUAAACCUUGAAGGUUUAGAACAAGUCCUAGCAGAGUUCUACUCCAAGUAUCAGCAUCAAGAACUCUUCUCUCUAGCUGGUAAUCCUGCACUAGCAAGGAUGUUUAUAAUAAAUAAUAAACUGCUUAAGGUUUUGAAUGACAAAUGAUAUGGAGGCUGGUUCCUCUCUUUCACUGUCUGGUGUGCUUUAUGCAAACAUGCAGCAUUCAUACGUACAUCUUAGUGAUCAAUGUAGAGAUAUAUGAGCAACAAAGACCCAAUAAAAAUGGAAAUAUUUAUAUCAAAACAAAUGUAAAAAAUUUUCUGUAGAUUGAUUAUCCUUAAGAUGGUUUACACAACUAAAUGCAGCCGCUGAAAUUAUUUCCAAUUACUAAUUUUAGGUGAGCUUUUAGAGGGGCAAAAAAUUUAAUUACAGUGCUGCAUACCCCAAAUGCAAUUUCAAGUAUAUUCAAUUGUUGAGGCUGAAGGUAAGGAGAAACAUAGUCCUAACUAGUAUGAGCAAGCAGGCUGGUUUUCAGUUUAGUGUUCUUCUGGUUUGUGCCCCACAGCAAGCCAAGGUUUGAGUAUGUAAGAUCCAAAUGAGAAUGAGAAUGAGUAUGAGCAAGGUUUGGGUGUACGUGGAAAGGUGGUACUACUAAAAAUAUACUUCUUGUUCAAAUGAGAAUGAGAAGGAAUUAGAGAAAGAAACUGGAAAUGGACGGCAGAGGAGGUGAAGUACUGAUCAUACACCAUUUCUUUAUGUAUCUCUGCUGGUUAGCUUCAGUUGGAAUAUUCCUAAGGCAGAAGUCCAUCUCGGAACAAGUCAAACAAGAGAUAUAAUACUUGGGCGCUUUUGCUUCUUUCCAUGAAUUAUAUCUUUGUAUUUUGCAAUGAAUCCAGUGUUUAUACUUCUUAUCACUUGCAGCCAACAAUAAUUUUCAUAGCAAGUGGCAAAACCCUUCCCCAACUACUAUUUGUUUAUUUCCAAAUUCAGUACAAUGCCAAAGCUCACAGUACUAUUUAUUAUUAAUCCAUGUCCAAAGUGAAUUACUGGUGAAUCUAACUCAGUUCCCCAGUACUACAGCUAUGUCUACCCAUUCCCAUUUCUUGAUACUUCUGCUAGCUUUGCUGUCUCUUGGAUCGUACACCAUCAGAGGCCAAGGCCAUGGAUUCUAUAUAAAAGAAGCAAGUGUGGAUGAUCUUCACACUGCUUUCCUUCAAAACAAGCUCACCUCAAGACAACUGGUUGAGUUUUACCUUGGCGAGAUCUUUAGACUGAGUCCACUUCUUCAUGGGGUAAUAGAGGUGAACCCGGAUGCUCUCUACCAAGCUGAUAAGGCAGACAGGGAGCGGAAGGCUAAGUCCCCUGUGUCGCGGUCUGUUCUUCAUGGUAUUCCUAUUUUGCUCAAGGAUAACAUUGGAACCAAGGAUAAGCUAAACACGACUGCAGGGUCAUUUGCACUGCUAAAAUCAGUGGUACCUCGAGAUGCAGGUGUGGUGAUGAAGUUGAGGAAGGCUGGGGCUAUCAUACUGGGAAAGGCUAGCCUGAGUGAGUGGGCUAAUUUUCGGUCCCUAAAUGCACCACCUGGUUGGAGUGCCAGAGGUGGCCAAGGCCUGGUGAGUUAGUAUCCUAAUCCAUGUAUAUGGUAAAUAUGUAGGUAAUAUUUAGGUUGGCUCCAAUGAUUUGCAUGAAUAAUUUAUGAAAUUAAAGGUUAGUGCUGCAAUCCUUUCAGAACCCUUAUGUUCUAUCAGCAACGCCUUGUGGCUCUAGCAGUGGUUCAGCUAUAUCAGUAGCAGCAAAUUUGGUAGCAGUGUCACUGGGGACCGAAACCGAUGGUUCCAUCCUAUGUCCAGCCAGUUUUAAUUCAGUAGUGGGCAUCAAACCAACCGUUGGUCUUACUAGCCGAGCUGGGGUUGUUCCCGUCUCUCCUAGACAGGACACCAUUGGGUAAGCGAUACAACUUUCAUUACUAAAUUACUCUAUGGCAUCCAAUUCAAUACUAUCAAAUAAUUGUAUGUUCACUUGCAAGGUUCCUGCUACAAAUUUGCUUGAUGUUGGAUAUGGAACAGGCCUAUCUGUAGGACAGUGUUGGAUGCGGUUCAGGUACUGGAUGCCAUUGUAGGUUUCGACUACAACGAUGCUGAAGCAACCAGAGAAGCAUCAAAGUACAUACCAUAUGGUGGGUAUAAGCAAUUUCUCAAGCCAUAUGGGCUCAAAGGGAAGAGACUGGGAAUAGUGAGGAAUCCUUUCUUCACUACUGGCAGUGGAGCUGCCCUUACUCAAGCUUUUGAGCACCAUUUCUACACAUUAAGGUAACCAAACAAGCUUCAAAAUACCACUCUUAGCAACCUUAAUGCUUCAAACUCAAUGGGCAUAACCUAACAACUGUGAUCAUAUCUGCAAAAUAAGGCAAGAAGGAGCAGUUUUGGUAGAUGAUUUGGAAAUAGCCAAUAUCAAUGUUAUCUUAAAUGCCACUUCAAGUGGAGAAGCAACAGCAUUGCUGGCUGAGUUCAAGCUAUCAUUGAAUUCCUAUCUAAAAGAUCUGGUGGCAUCUCCAGUCCGAUCUCUGGCAGAUGUCAUAGCCUUCAACCAGAAAUUCUCAGAUUUGGUAAGUACAGACAUCCAUUCGUCUUGAUUCAAAUAAGAUUGCUGAAUCAGAGUUUUAAAGAUGACUGAUGACUUACUUUUAUCACAUUACAGGAAAUGAUCAAGGAGUUUGGACAAGACAUCUUUCUGGCAGCCCAGGCCACAAAUGGAAUUGGUGACGUAGAGAAGAAAGCUUUGUCGAAUUUAGCAAGACUGACUAGGGAUGGAUUCGAGAAAUUGAUGAUAGAGAAUAAGCUAGAUGCAUUGGUGACUCCUGGUUCAGAUGUUGCUCCAGUUCUUGCCAUAGGGGGGUUCCCAGGAAUUAGUGUCCCUGCUGGAUAUGAUUACAAAGGGGUGCCCUUUGGCAUUUGUUUUGGGGGCCUAAAGGGCUCAGAGCCAAAGCUGAUCGAGAUCGCAUAUGGCUUUGAGCAAGCUACUAAGAUUAGGAAGCCUCCUUCAUUUAAACCUUGAAGGUUUAACAGAGUUCCCUUUGUAGUUUCACUGCUUGUUCCAACAUCAAGAGAUCAUCAAAUAAGAUCAAAGACUCUUUGAAGAUUGCUGGUAUUUUGGAAUGGAAUACAGAGAAAAUACUGGAGAAGAAACUCAUAGCCAAGGAAGAUCUUCAGCUGUAAGAUUUAAAUCUGCAUUUAGACAGCUCUAUUCCUGCAAAUUAAUAUACAUUAACUCCUGUUUUGGAGCACUAAUGAAACCGGAAAAGAAACCACACUAAUAGUCAGAAAGUGGGCAUAACUUCUGGCCAAACUAAGACUAAUUGCUGCCAUGGAUGCAUAUAAAUUAAGAAACAAACAUGGAACCCUGAAAAAAGAAAAAUCAAGAAAUACAGACUCGGUUUAGUACUUAUAUUUUUGGUUUAGUACUGGUGAGUUUCGUGGCAGCUCCAUAAGCAUUGUUUUGGAGGUUCCCAGUUGUCAUUUACAAGGUUUCUGUUCAUUGAAUUAUACCUCCAUUUCUACACAAUAAGGUAAUAAAACAAGCUCACCCAUUGUGCUCUUAACAACUUAGGUUUCAGACCUCAGAUGGCCAUGUCCUAAUAUAUGAAAAUUUUCUGCAAAAAAGGCAAGUAGGUGAAGUUUUUGGUAGACCAUUUAGAAAUAUCCGACAUCUACGCUUAUCUUAAAUGUUAAUUCAAGUGGAGAAGCAACAGUAUUGCUGGCUGAGCUCAAAUUAUCAAUGAUUCUACAAGUGGAGAAGCAACAUCUACAUUUACCCGAAAAACCACCCACAACAGGGAACAAGGCUUUUGAUUUUACAACCUGAAGUUAUCAGUUAUCACCAAGUGACUAUAAUCCAAAAUGGAGCAAAUUUCCUGGUUUUGUCGUGUUCUAAAAUCAACUCAUGAGGUUCUCCGUCUUGACAUGGAAAUGAAGGUUGGGGUUUGAGUAUUUGUUUCAGUCUCUUGAUUCAACGUCUCACAGAAAAGUAGGCAUUAGAGCCUGAUAAAGGGACUCAUUUUCUCAGAGAGGCAGAGAGAGAAUAGAUGAUAAAUACUGAUAUGCAACAACUCAAAAUAUAAGUAACCAAAGAGAGAAAGGACUAAAUACACUCUUUCAAGUUAUCUGUACAAAUUUUCCUUUCCAUAGAACAUUUUUAGGCAAUAUCAAGAUGAUAUCUCUCCUAAAUGUUCACCCACAUGACAGUUCAUCAGCCUGCCUAAUGUGCUCUAAGAAUAAGGGACAAUCCAUUUGGCACAUGAACCAUUCUGCCUGCUCUGGUGGCUUUCACAGCCAUCUCUGGCUCCCAACCUGUAGUUUUAUAGACUGACAAGAACUCGCCUGAGAUCAUCACUCAUUUACCAAAGGAGCAAAGCAUUACAGGGGCCUGUGGCCUUGAUGCCUACAAAAACCCUCUCAGCCACUUCUCUAUGGAGAUGAAGGCCUAGGAUUCUUCAAGGAAAGGAACAUGAAAAACAUGAAAUCAAUGUUGCUUUGCCUCUGGGCUUUUACUCUGUUUUCAGCCAUAGGUCUGGUGCAUUGCCAAUUCCACAGCACCACAGAAAUCCCUCUACGCCAAACACAGGAAAAGACCAGCCUCCACUUCUUCCUCCACCACUCCUUCAAAAGCAGUAAACCCAGUUCAGUCAUUGUUGCAGGGGCAAACAGCAGCACAGGCAAUAAUGGCCUGCUGUCACCAUUCGGCACAGUGCAUGUGCUUGAUGAGCCCUUGACAGAAGGCCCAGAACCCACAUCAAAAGUAAUUGGAAAUGCCCAUGGUCUUCUAGUAUUGUCAGGUCUAAAGGAAUUGUCCCUUGCUGUGUAAUUGGAUUUUGGGAUUACUACUGGGGAGUUUGAUGGGAGUUCCAUUGUGGUGGCUUCAAUGUUUCCGGUGGCGGCAGACUUUGCUGAGCUUGCAGCGGUUGGUGGAAGAGAAAAGUUUAGGAUGGCCAGUGGGUUUGUAGAGCUUAAAAGGUAUUACUUCAAUGAGACUACAGGUGAGGCCAUUGGAGAGUAGUCCAGUACUCUCUUCUACUGAUCAGCUCAGAUGUUAAUGAAUUGUUUUUUAAAAAUGUUUCCUAAAAUCACCGUCAUAAAACUAUUAUUAAGCCUUGCUUUCUUGUUAACAAACUCAGCUCCAAGGAAUGAAAAUAAAAAGCUUAUUUUUAUUUAUUUAUAGUUAUAACUAGAUCCAAUUUUUACAAAUAUUGUUGAAAUUUAUUAUAUAAAUUUACAUUAAUUCUUGAGUAAUUACCUAAUGUUGUAAUAAAAAUAAAAUUUGAUAAAAGUUUCAAUUUUUUAUAAAUUUAUUUUGAAAAAUAUAAUUUUUAUUCCUACACCAACCAAACAAGACAACUAAAUAUUGUUAAACUAUCAAAUUUCUUAAAAAUUUAAACUUAUAAGAUUUAGUUUUAUAUAUAUCAUUUUUUUUAACACCCUCCCUCACACAUAGUCUCAUGCCCGUACAUAGAGAAAUACACAAGAGGAACACAUGAAGUCCUGCCAAAAAGAAUUUGGAUUCAUAAUAUAUAUAUAUAUAUAUAUCCAAUACUUUGUUUGGUUGGAGUUCAUUUAUUCGAUUACCUUUUCAAAAAUUGCAUGUUUGUAAGUCCAAAAAUGGCUAUUUGCAAUUAUUUACCUUCGGGCUUGCGCAUCUUUCCACAUGAGUAUGGGUCCAUGCUAUUAAAAGAAUGUCAACCAAAAUCUUGCAAAUUUAAGUUUUUAGGGAAUCAAUAAUUUAGUAAAUAUAAAUCAUUGAAAAGGAGUAAAGAAGAAAUAAGAAUUAAAAAAAAAAAAAAAAUCAAACAUGAGAACAUCGUGAAAGUCAAUUUUAUAAAAAAAUUAGAUUUCAAAAUAAUUAAUAUAUAUAUUAAUGAAUUGCAUAGUACCUUUGAUUCUUAAAAAGAAUGAGGGAAAAUAUGAAAUUUUAUACUUAAUAUUAAUCAUAUAAAGAUUAAACAAUUUAAGAAUAUAUAAAUUUUAAAUAAUUUUAGUUAUAUUUAGGUUAUGUUUGUGUUUUGGAUUUAAUUUUAAAUAGAAUUUAAAACUAAAUAACGUUUAAUAAUAUUAAGCAUUAUUUUAUUUUUUUAAUAUUUUAUUUCUAAGUAAAAAAAAUUAGUAUGUAUGUUUUAGCAUUAUAAAAAGUCAAUAUUUUUAUUUUUUAUAUAUAUUCGUUUAAAAAUUUUAAAAAAUAAAUAAUAAGUUAAAAAAAAAAAAAAAAAACUCUAAACCCUAAAAGUAAAUUACUUUUUUGCUUGUAACGGAAUGGGAUGUUUUCUCCCUUUAAACACUUCCUUGUUUGCAUUUUAACCAAAUCCAUUAAAAAGACAACUCCAACUAUUCCAAUUCGUCUCCUGGUUUGCAUCAUUGCAUGUUACCAAAGCCAUUGAAAAGGCAACUCCAACCAUUCCUCCCCUGCAAAAAAGGAGCCACUUUCCCUAUUCAAAAAAUGGACCAAAGGUUGUUCACCAACAGGGUUGGUACAGCUCUUGAAUGCAUGAUGAUCUUUCCGAUUAGGUAACCACCCUUGAAAAUCUAGGACAUGUGCUACAGACAAAACCCCUAUAAAACCCUCCCUCCACAGCCCUCCUUUCUGCUCUGAACUUCACAAAGAAAUGGCAAAGCUAGCUCUGGCUCUGCUGCUCAUCUCCAUGGCCAUGGCCAUGCCAUGGGCUCAACCCCAAGACCUCAAGUGGGCCAAGAGGCUCGACUCCGGCGGCCAACCCACCACCAAUCUCCAGUUCUACUUCCACGACACACUCAGCGGCAAAACCCCAACUGCAGUUCGCGUGGCUCAGGCCUCACAAACUGACAAGUCUCCAACUCUCUUUGGAGCCUUGUUAAUGGCGGACGACCCCCUCACAGAAGGACCCGACCUGAGUUCCAAACUCGUGGGUCGCGCCCAGGGGCUGUACGGGUCGGCGAGUCAGGAGGGGUUUGGUCUGAUAAUGGCUCUGAGUUAUGGGUUCUGCGAUGGAAUCUACAAUGGCAGCUCCAUUAGCGUUCUUGGGUUGAACCAGGCUCUGAACCCGGUCCGGGAGCUGCCGGUGGUGGGCGGAACCGGGGUCUUCCGGAUGGCUCGUGGAUUUGCGGAGGCGAGGACUCACUGGUUUGAUCCUGCCACGGGUGACGCUAUCGUUGCCUACAAUGUGACCGUAUUUCAUUAUUGAUGAUUAAUUAUUAAAUUUGUAUUUGUAUUAAUUUCCAUUUUUAUGAUUUUCUAUCGUGUCGGUGUGUCAACGUUAUAUUAAUUAUUACACUAAGUUGAAUUAAAGGUUGUAAGCUUUAUGAUUUUUAUUUUCUUUCCUUUUCUCACACUUUCUUGGGAUUCUUGUACACCUUUUCUAGGUCCAGGAAAAGGGUCCAAGAAUAGUUGGCAUGUCAAAAAGUGAACAACUUUUUGUGGGCUUUUGGUGAUUGAUUGGGACAUAUUUGUUUUUCGUGGGCUUGUGGGGUUUAUGUAUACCUGAUUAUAAUUCUAGGGUUUGAGAUAACUUCUAGCUUAUGUGGAGAAUCACAAGUUCAAUACUUAGUCAUUAACCAAUAAUUCUUUGGAAUUGAUUUUAUUGUGUUUGGAUUCCACUUAAAAUCUUUCAUUUGUAUUUCCAACUCUUUUUCAAAUCUAUUUUUUUUUAUUAGGUGAUUUAGUAAAAUGAAAGUAAAUAUUUUCUUUUCAUAUAUUUUUUAACUUUAAUUUUUUUAAUUUUAAUUUUUAGGAUUUCUUAUUUUAUUGCUCUUUCAACUUGAUUCUCACAAUAAAAAAAAUUAUCAAUUAAUUUUAUUAAUCUAAUAAAUAAAAAAUUAUUUUUCAAUUUGUGAAAAAGUAUAUAUAUUUUAAAAUAUUUUAAAUGGAUAAUUAAAUUAGCAAUUCAAAACUCACCUUUUUUUUAUUAUUUUAUUUUAUUUUUCGAUUCACAACUUUUUUUUUUUUUUUUACCACUGCACCCCCACCCCGGCAAGACCCCGCGACCCCACUGGAACCCCCACCCCACGCAGGAAAACACAAACCCCCCUCCUUGCCCCCACCCCGUGCUGGAAACCCUCCUCCCUCGGCAAGACCCCCGCGACCCCGCUGGAACCCCCCACCUCGCGCCAGAAAACACAAACCAUCUCCCCCCUGUCCCCACCCCAUGCUGGAAAACUCCCCCCUCUCCCAGCGACCCCGCUAGAACCUCCCAUGCUGAAAAAGCUAUUCCCUUUUGCCCGUCCUUCUCCAUUCUUCCAGAUUUUUUUUUUAAAAUUAUUUUUACCUCAUAUCACUAUUAUUUAUUUUAUUUUAUAUUCAUUAUUUUUUACUUCAUAAUGUUUAAAACUUAUAAUUUUAAUUUUAAUUUUAAAUUUGAAACUAAUUUUUUAAUUUUUAAAUAAUAUAUAAAUUAUUAUUUUUAUUUUUAUAAGUAUUUUAAAUUUAAAUAAUUUAUAUAUUUAUGACGAUUAUCCAACCAAAUUUCGGUUCAAUAAUUGGCCUGAGUCUGAAAAAUAUUACAUUUUUCUUAAAUUUGUCAAAAAUAGAAAGAUGAUAAGAAUUAAUUUAUAUGUACGAGCUCAUAAAAGCAGCGUCUCGAAACCGGCCCAACCCAUGAGUAAAUUAUUGGAGGACUUUUGCUACGAAUUUUUAUUUCUCACCGGUUCCCAGCCCACAAGUCUCAUUAUUGAUUCAUUAUUGGAGUUGAUUCAGUACGUACUUGGAUGAAAAUUUCUCAAAUUUCGGUGUGAAUAAGGUUGAAUUUUAAUUGGAUGCUCAUGGUGGGAUGCUAUUGGUUGAAAAUUUUCCAUCCAUGACAUUUAUGAAAAUCUUCUUUUUUUUAAAAAAAAAAACGAUGUUUUGUUAAUAGAAAUUAUUCUUCUUUUCCAUUCUUAACAUUUUUUAUCUUAAAUAAAAUUAUCAUUUUAAAAUGAAAUUAUAGUAUUCGUGCGAGUUUUUCGUGGGAUUGAGAUGAAUAUAAUCGAAUUUAGAUCAAAUUCACAUCAACUUACAUAAUCUAUUUAAUAAAUAGAUAGUUUUUUUGUUAACUUACGUGACUUAUUUAAUAAUUUAACUCAUUUUAAAUUUAUUUUUAAAUAACAAUAUCAACUAAACUAUAAACAGAUUUGAUUGAGAUAUCAAUGAUAUUGGUUUAUACAAUAUCUAACUUAAUUUACUAUUUAUUUAAUAAUUAGAUAGUAUUUGAAUUUAUAUUUUUAAUAUGAUUAUUAUUUAUGUCGAACUUGAAUUAAUCUAUUUAGUAGAAUAUUGAGAUUUUAACCAAACGUGCAAAUAACUUACCCACGGAAAUUGUCACUCCUAUUUUAGACUACUCUUGAAGGGAUCAAAUAAGAUUAGUCUUAAACUUUAAUGUGAAUGCCCUUUUUCAUUGGUUUAAUUUAAAUGUUCAAUUGAUUGUUACACUCUCUUCAAAUACACCAAUAAAACCAUUCAUCCAUUCAAGUCUAAUAUCUUUUCAUCUAAAAUCAUUUUUAAAAACUAUUUUUUAGAAACAAUUUUAAAAAAUGUUCUCAGUGAUCUCCAACUUCAUCAAAGUGUCUUCAAAUUGUGAAAAUCUUUAAAACCUAAGAUGAAAAAACUACUCAGGCCCUCAAUCAAUGUUAUUGGAGUCAAGCCAAAACAUAAAUCACAAGGAGACCGGGAUCAUAACAAGACUUCAGCCAUCUCAUGAUCCAACUCACACCAAGACCCACAUGCCACAAGGUUCAAAUUAAAUCAAGGUCCAAAUUGCAGUAGAGCCCAAAUCAAAAUUAAAAUAAUUCAAAGUCAUCAAGCUUUUUAACCUCUUGAUUAUCAAGAGGUUAUAUAAAAUAAAUAAAAAAAUUAUGACCACAUUAUUUUUUUUUUUUCAAAUUGAUAAAAAUCUCUAUUUCUCUUCAAGAUGGGUUUGAGCAAAAAUUUGUGUCUACAAUCAUUUCUCCCAAUCUUAUUUUGGUAUGGAUAUUUCAGAAGAUUCUCCAUUUUGUAAGAGAGAAUCACAUGCCAUUCUAAUUCCGGGAACUCAUUAUUUUCCCGACUUCACUUUCGAAUCAUGAUCACGUAUGCAUUACUGUGUAUUGGGAAAAUGGAAAAGCUGCACGCAAGUGGGUAAUUGAUUACCCACCUGCAGCUCAAAACUUACUCACCUGCAACGCAAAAGUAAUCGACCAUUUUUCUCAAAAGAGAUGGGCCAAUGCCACUAUUUUCAACCCUCCUUUUCUCCUUUCCUCCCCUAUAAAACCCACCAUCAACUCCCCCAUUUUCCUCACAGACAACCAGAAUAUCAAUCAGAUGGAGAAGCUACCUCUUUUCCUAAUCCUUUUCUCACUAGCCAUAUCCAUGGCCAUGGCCGACAGCAAUGAAGUUGAUGAAUGGUUUGGUAACCUCCAGCAUGCAAAGGAGAGGACCACCCGUCUCCACUUCUACUUCCACGACACAACCUCAGGCAAGAACCCGAGCGCAAGGCGCGUAGCUCAAGCCCCUUCAACUAACAAAUCCCCCACCUUCUUCGGCCUCAUAAACAUGAUGGACGACCCACUCACGGAAGGGCCCGAGGCGACUUCCAAGCUAGUGGGUCGUGGGCAGGGGCUGUAUGCCUCAUCUGGGUUGGAUGAGUUGAGCCUCCUUAUGGCCUGGAACGUAAUCUUCAAGAGUGGGGACUACAAUGGCAGCUCUCUAACCAUUCUCGGUCGAAACCCCACUACCCAUCCCCUCCGUGAGAUGUCCAUUGUGGGUGGCACUGGUGUUUUCCGAAUGGCCCGUGGAGUAGUGACUCUCAAGACAUAUUUCUUUAAUUCUAGUGCCGGUGUAGCUGUCGUUCAAGUUGAUGUUGUGGCUAUUCACUACUGAGUACCGAGUGAAGUGCAUGGAUGGUUGUUAGUUGAUUGUUUCAAGAGUAGUCUAAAAUAGGAGAGUCUCAUGUUAUUUUGGAUGAAUCUCAUGUCUUAUUUGAAAAAAGUUCCAAAUACAAUUUAUCGUGGUUUUGAAAUUUUAAGAGUCUAAUCAGAUCAAUAACAUCUACAUAAUUAAGAAUGAAUCAUUACAAUUUUAACAUCUACAUAAUUAAGAAUGAAUCAUUACAAUUUUAACAUCGAAUCAUGCCACAAGGAACACGAAAUGACUCAAAUUCACAAAUUUGCAGUACUUGAUAAACUGAGUCUCAUUUAUUUAUGGUGGAUGAAUUGUCUUUUAUAUGUCAAAAAUCAUUUUCUUAGUCAAUAGUAACAUUAUUUUUAUCAUCUUAAUAGUCUAUUAGAACAUUCAGUUAGCACUUAUUUUAUUAUAUACUUCAAAACUUUAACAUAAUUUUUAUUAAAAACAUUACCCUAUAAUAGUUUGUGUUAUAUAUAUGAAAUUCGUGUCCUCAAGACUCCAACAUCACCAAGAAAGAAUGAGGGUAUAAACAUUAAUAAUGAGCCUAAAGUGCAAAAUAAUAAAGACAAGAUACAAGACAAUGAAAUUAGAUGUGUUAUAAAGCAAUAAAAUUUGAUUACAAAUGCAACAUCACAUUAUUAAUGAUACUUUUUGUGUAAAAAUUACACAAUAAACUAAUUAAUAUUUGUUGGAGAAUCAUACGAAUUAUUUUCCCCACAGUACGUCCUACGUGCACGCCCAUCCACAUAUGGAUCUGCCAAGCUACAUUGGAACUAUUGCUUCAAAGCUGCCACAAACUGAGGCAACUCUGGGCCACAAAUUUUUUCCUAUUCAUAAUUGUCAUUUAGUGGUUAAUAAUUGUUUGUAUGGUUUAUGAAAUCAUGUGGGUCUUUUAUUUAUUUAUUUUUUUUUUUACUCAAAUUAUGACUAAUGCCUUGAAAUUCAUAAUAAUGUUCUCAAGAGCAUAGGAGGGAUUAUUAGGGUUAUAAUAAUUCUAUUCUAAUUGAAUGAUAGCUUGUAAGCCAUCUUUGCUAGUAUUAUCUUUUGUUAUUUUUUAUAAUUAGUAUUAUUAUUAUUAUUUUUUAUUAAAAAGUAUGUCAAAUUUCUAAUAUUGUAUAAGAUAUUUUGUAUAUUAGUAUUUAUUUGUCAAAAUAAAUAUUAUUAGAAAUAUUUAUUUUAUUUUUAAACACGUCCCGUUAAGGAUAGGGUGGGAUAGGGCAGCACAUACGGACACCCAAUAACAUGGAAAAUAGGAUAUUUUAGAAUGAGCUUUAAUUAGUAUAUAGCAAAUGAUAUGAUGAAUCCUUCUAAUUGAAUUGGAUUAAGGAACUGGAUUGGUUCCCAAUUCACAUUAUUACAGCAAUUAGCAUAGAAUAGCAAAGACAAGCAGAAAAAUAUUUGGUAGGUAAAAUAGAUUACCAAUAUCAAUGGCAGCCACAGUACCCAAAAAUUGUGGACAAUAGAACAACACAUACCUACUUUUUUCCUUGGUUUUCUUCCAGCUUGAUGCUGUUGAUCAUGUGCUGCCUGCCUCCUCUGGAGAGCAUCUAAGGACUCUUCUUUUCAAGUUUCUGCACUUAUAAAAGCCCCUAUAUAGUCUCUUCAACUUCCAUAAGAAGGAGCUAGCUAGGCAUGGAGAAGAUGUAGGAAGAGUGUAAAUAAUUUUUAUUUUUAUUUCAUUUUUGGAAAGAAUCCUAUUGGGAAUUAUUUUUAUUUUAUUUUAUUAUAUUAAUCUUAUAUUUUUUGGAAGAAUCCUAUUGAGAUUGUGAUAGUGAAGUCUCAUUCUUUUUAUAAGUAAAAUCUCCUUCCACUUUGAGUCAUAUUCUGAUUACAAAUAGAGUCCCAUUGGAACUGUUUUAAUGGCCUAUAAAAGCAGGUCACCCUUCACUCUUUAUAUACGAAUAUCAAUUUUUUAGAGAGUUUUUCAAAGUCUUUUCAUACAUCUAUCUAGAGGAUUUUUUUCAAAACCCGAGUUGUACACGUCUCGCUUACAAAGUGCACCCAAGGUGAGAUCUGCCUAUUAAAUCCUAGAAGUAAACCACUGGUACCCUAGUGAACCGAAUUCGUCUUCGAGGAGGAUGGAUCUAUUUCAAGGAUAGCGUUUGUCACACCUCAGCCGAUAAGUUUUUCUUCUUAUUAAUUCUAUUCUUUGUUUGUGUCUUUUGGGUUAGUCAUUUGUUUCCAUAUCCUUAAAACCAGCAAUCUUGAAUUAGAUCCAAAUGGAAGCUUUUCUAGUUCACACCCAUCCUGACACCUCUAAAAUUGAUCCCUUCAAUGGGACAUUCUUUAAAAGAUAGCAUGAAAGGGUUUUCUCUGCAAUUGAUGUAGUGAACUUGAGACACAUUUUGACUGACCCAAAACCAGAAGAUGGUUCUCAUAUAUUACCAACCUAGGAAACUGGAAAUAAACAAGUUAGACAUGUUAUUCUGAGUGCCAUUUCUAAUGAACUUUUUGAUAUUUAUUGUCAAUUUAAAGUUGCAAACGAAAUUUGGGAUGCAAUGAAUAAAAAAUAUAUUUUGAAAUAUGCAAAAACUCAUAAAUAUGUCAUAGGGAAUUUUAGAAAUUUCCAAAUGACCGAGAAUAAAGAUGUAUCAUCUCAAAUUCAUGACUAUCACUUAUUGAUUAAUGAUUUAACUAUUGAAGACAUUAAAUUACCCAAACCUUUUGUGGUUGGUUAUUUAGUAGAGACUCUUCCAGAGUCUUGGAAAGACUACAAAAAUAACAUGAAACAUAAAAGGAAACAAAUGUCCCUAGAGGAUGUCAUAAUCCAUAUUAGGAUUGAGGAACAAAAUCGAAAUAGGGACAAUGUUGAGAAAGCUAAGAAAUUGUCUUCUAAGGCUAAUGUAGUAGAAGAAAAACCUAAACCCAAAAACAAUAGGUCCAUGAAACAAAACUUUAGGACCAAGCCCAAUGCAUCAAACAAGGUCCAGAACUCAACUAUUAAAAAACAGGGUAAUUGCUUUGUUUGUGGCAAGUCUGGACACCAUGCAGCUCAAUGUCGCCACAGGAAGAGAACUGAGAAGUCCAAUUCAAAGGAAAAUAUGGCAGAGGCAGAGGUGAUUAAUGUAGUAAUCUCUUCUGAGGUGAGCAUGGUCACCAAUAUGAAGGACUAGGUGGUAGACUCUAGAGCUACUAGGCACAUCUGUGGGAAUAGAAGUGCAUUUACUUCCUAUACCACUGUAAAGGAAGGAGAUGAACAAGUGUUCAUGGGUGAUUCUAGAUCUAUUCCAGUGAUUGGCAAAGGGAAAGUUCUCCUCAAGCUAACCUCUGGAAAAAUACUUGCCUUCAGUGAUGUUCUUCAUAUGCCAAAUAUCUGCUAGAACCUAGUUUCAGUAUCUUUGCUUAGGAAAGUAGGAAUGAGGAUUUUGUUUGAAUCUGAUAAAAUAGUUUUAACCAAGAAUGAUGCAUUUGUGAGGAAGGGCUAUUGUAAUCAAGGUUUAUUUAUGUUGAAUGUUUUUAAUAUUAUCAAUAAUAAUGCAUCUUCUUCUUCUCCUUACAUAGUUGAUUCUUGUGAUAUUUAUCAUAGUAGACUAGGACAUGUGAACUUUUCAUAUAUGAAAAAAAAAAUGGUUGAAUUGAGUUUAAUCCCUAAACUGUCCUUAGAAAACCAUGGAAAAUGUGAAUCUUGUGUAGAAUCUAAAACCACAAAGAAAUUUUGCAAAUCAGUUGAAAGAGAAUCAGGUCUACUAAGUUUAAUAUAUAGUGACUUAGGAGACAAAAAAAUACAAUGACUAGAGGUGAUAAACGAUUCUACAUAACUUUCAUAUAUGACUACUCAAUGUAUACAAGGGUAUAUCUUUUGAGAAACAAAGAUGAAACAAGAGAUACUUUCAUCAAGUACAAAAAUGAAGUAGAAAAUCAACUAAGUAAGAAAAUUAAAAGAUUUAGAACUGAUAUGGGAGGAGAGUAUGAAUCCAACCCUUUUAAUUCUUUUUGUGAAGAUCAUGGGAUCAUUCACGAAACCACUCCUCCUUAUUCCCCUGAGUGUGUUGGAGUAGCAGAAAUGACAAAUAGGACCUUAAAAGAAAUGAUGAAUGUAAUGUUGGUAAGUUCACGAGUACCCUUGAACUUGUGGGGGAAGCUAUCUUAUUCGCAAGUCAUAUUCAAAAUAGAAUACCUUACAAGAAAACUGGUAAAACUCCUUAUGAGUUAUGGAAGGGUUAUGCACCUAAUAUAGCAUACUUGAAAGUUUGGGGGUGUUUAGCUAAAGUUCUUCUCCCUGAACCUAAAAAACGAAAACUAGGUCCUAAAACCUUUGAUGUAAUGUUCAUUGGCUAUGUUGAGAAUAGUGCGACAUAUAGGUUUCUUGUUACUAAGUCAAAAAACAAUCUUGUAGAUGUCAAUACUAUAAUAGAAACAAAGAAUGCAAAUUUCUUUGAAAACAUCUUUCUUAUGAAACUAAAUGGUGAACAACAGGUUCAGAAAACAAGUAGAGACAAGUCUAUUGAACCUUCUAAAUUUGAACCUAGAAUAAGUAAAAUAAAUAGGAAAGAAACAAACCUUGGAGAUGGUUUCUACACCUUCCUAAUAUAUGAGGACCCUAGAUCCUACAAAGAAACUAUAACUUCUCCUAAUGCACCAAUCUGGAAGGAGGCCAUUAACAGUGAAAUCGAAUCAAUCAUGCAUAACCAUACAUGGAAGUUAAUAGAUUUACCUCCUAGUGCAAAUACUAUUGGUUGUAAAUGGAUCUUUAAAAGAAAGUUAAAACAAGAUGGGUUCAUAGAGAAGUAUAAAGCUCGUUUAGUUGUCAAAGACUUUAAACAAAGAAAGGAUGUAGAUUACUUUGACACCUUUGCCCUUGUGACUAGAAUUGCAUCAAUUAGAGUAUUGAUCGUUCUAGUUUUCAUUCAUAAUUUGGUGAUACACCAAAUGGAUGUCAAAACUGCAUUCUUGAAUGGGGAUUUGGAAAAGGAAAUUUAUAUGGAACAACCUAAGGGUUGUGUAGUUCUAGGGAAGGAGUAAAAGGUGUGUAAGUUGGUUAAAUCACUAUAUGGGUUAAAACAAGCUCCCAAACAGUGGCACAACAAGUUUGAUAAUGUGUUAGUAACUAAUGGAUAUUCCAUUAAUGAUGCUGAUAAGUGUAUCUAUAGCAAGUAUAAGGAUAACACAUGUAUAGUCAUUUGCCUUUAUGUUGAUGACAUGUUGAUAUUUGGAACUAAUGUUUUUAAUAAUUUUAGGAUAAAAGUGUUAUUAAGUCAUUAAGACCUCGUUUGGUAGUAAUCUUAGGAAGCGUUUUUAAUAUUUAUUAUACUUGAAAAUUUUUAUCAUUCAAGUGUUAAAAAUGAUAUAAACACUUUCUAGAAUCGCACUCUAAGUCAUUAAAUCACUUUAAGUCAUUAAAUUGAUUUACUAAACAACAUAUUAGAUUUCAUUUUCAACUCAAUAAAUACCAAAACAGUAAGUCUAUAUUUCGUUUUUGAAAUAUUUGAAGGAAAAUGUAAAGGAAAAAAAUAGAGAAAAAAAUAAAAUAAAAUGAAAUAUAUUUAAAAUCAAUAAAUAAUUUUUAUUUUUUAUUUCAUUUAUUUUAAUUCAUCCAUAUAAAUAUUAAAUAAUUUAAAUAUAUCUAAGUUUUUAACUAGUUUUAAUUACAUUUGAAUUCUUAUUUUAUUUUUUUGUAUUUUCACAUAACAAUCAAACAUAAGAAAAUAAUUUUUUUUUAGUAUUUUUUUUCUUUCGUAUUUUCAUAACCAAACAUAACCUAUUGAAAGCCAUUUUCAACUAAAAUCCCUAAUUCUAAUCAAUGUUGGAUUUGCACACUACAGCCAAGUCCCACUUGGGGUCUACUCCAUGAUGGCUCUCAAAAAUCAGCCCUACAACCUUAUUAAUGCUUUGUGAAACAAUGAUACCAACUUUUUAUUUUUAUGCAUGGGUAAGGUUCUGUGCUUGUCAUAAUCAUAGGAGAGUAUUGUACUCAGAUUUAAUGUCUAUUGUAUUGCAUUAAUUAAAUGUUUUGAUAGACUUUGCAUUGAAGGCUACUAUAGUAGAGGAUCAUCCUUUCUAUCCCCUUAUAAUUAGUAGAUGUUUCUAACUAAUUGACUAGAGAUUAGACACAUGCCCUCCUUUUCCACAUGUUUUCGUUGGUACAAGUCCAUAGAAUGCCCCGAGAUCUCAAACCAAAACAAAAUAACAACUAACCUAGCUAUGAGUCACAAGAUAAUUCAUUAUAAUAAGAUUCAAUAUUAAGAGAUUAGCAAUAUUAUGUUGUAUAUAUUCAAUUAAUUAAAGGGACAAUUAUGUUUGAAGUUAUUCAUACUUUGAAAAUUGGGUCUGCAUCCAUAAAAGAUGCAUAAUUAACAUUAAGUUUGUUGUGUCGGCAAAAACAAAAAUAAAACAAUUCACACAAAAGCAUAUGGAGUUUUAACGAGAUUCGGCCAAAGUAUGCAUUUAUGGAUAAGAGAAAAUUAUUAUAAAGAAUAUUAAAGAAGACAAACAUGUUUACAUUCAUGGAUAAGAGAAAAUUAGUUCACAUUAUAAAGAAUAUUAAAAAAGACAAAAACAAAUACAACUAUUAGGUUCCUAAAACAAGAGCCCGUUGAUUUAUUGAGUGUCUCUCAUUCUUUCUAUGGCUCAGCUGGGUUGGUUUGGCCUCCAACAUUAAUGGUAGCACUCUAGAUCUGAGCAUUAUGGCUAGGAACUCUAGCAGCUAGCAGUUAAUUAACUACUUGAUUUCAUUUUCAACUCAACAAAUACCAAAACGGUAAGAAAGCCAUUUUCAUUUUCAUCUAAACUCACCAAUUCUGAUCAAUGUAGGAAAGUUGCACACUACAACCAAGUUCCACUUGGGGUCCAGCCCAUGACGGCUCUCUUAAAUCAGCCCUAGGACCCUUGUUAUGAGCUUCUCCAAACAGCAAGAUAUUAUGUAAGAACAUACUAAAUAAUCUUAACCUUAUUAUUUAAGAUAAUCCCCUUUUGGUGAUAAAGCAGCUAUGGCAGAGAAUCAACUCAUCAAUUCCGUAGACAUCAAUCUCCAUGGGACCACCAAGAAUCAUCCCAUAAUAGUCUUGCAAGGGUGUUCGUAGAUCCACGAAAUGGGGUUCUAGGAUUUGGUUCCCGAACAUGGAAGGAGAAGGAAAGAAGAAGGCUCCAUUUCUAUAACAUCAGUCAUUGAAAUGAAGACUCUUUCAUGAAUAAAUAAACAUACAAAGAGAAUCAAAUUCAAGAAUCUUUGGUAAUAUUUGGUAGGUAAAAUAAGCUACCCGUUAUCAUUGCCAUGUGAUGCACAAUAGAACAACAAUUGCUGUUUCCCCUGUGUUUUUUCCUUGUAUUUGAAUUUGCCAUAUAAAUGUGAUGCUGUUGAUCAUGAGAGACCUGGUUAACCCAAAGACCCGAACUCAUUUCUGAGCAAGUGGACCGGGCCCAGGGGCUCUAUGCCUUGGCCGGGCUGGACCAAAUCGAAAUUCUGCUCCACUAGUGGAGACUGGAGAGUUACAAUGGCGCAAUGGACAUGCCCCGAGAGCUGCCCAUGGGCUGAUGGGCCUCGCGGGCUCAUGGGGAUUGCAACCGGAAGGCCGUAUGCGUUCAAGGGUUGAGUGCAAUGUUAUAUCCAUUCAUUAUUGAGUAGUAAUAGUGAUGGAGUCAUCUUUAUCUGGUUUUGUCCGGGUUCCUUUGGUUUAGUUGUUGUUGACUUCAUCAGAGAGAUUUGUUCGUUGUCCUUGGACCCUUCUGUUCUACUUUUGUGGACACGGAUUUUGGGGAUGUGAUUUAGAAAAAAUAUCAUUCAUUGACAACACGCCAAGCCGGAGGUCUUGUCACACAUGUGGAUAUGCUUUCCAUGACCCAACAUCACUACUUCAGAAUUUUUAAGAAAAUUAGACAUGGUCUUGAUCCAUACUUUUUCCAUAUCUAAUGAAAAGGCAUCAACUAAGUGAUGUCGAGAAUACAUCUUAAAUAAUGAAGUCCAUUUGCUUCUACCUAUAUAAUCUUAGCCCCAUUCAUUUCUACCAUCUUAUUUAUUUGUACCCUCCUUCAAUUACCUAAAUCUCGUUAAACAUAUUCAAUGACCUUUUUGCUUGAUAAGUAGCACCAUGGUAACCUUAGCAUUUUCCCACCUCUAAAAAAUGAGAGCUAAAGAAGGAGAGCGGUUUGUGAGUUGAUCUCAGAUUGAAUUGGACUAAUGGUGACCCAGUUGACUACAGGCACUCCAGGGAGCAAACCCAGAAAACAUAAAGAUCGAUGGACCAUGAAAAUCAAGAGAAACUUUCGUAAGUAUUGCAGAUAUUUACAUAGCCCAAGAGCAUCGAGCCCAAAGUUUCAUUAGCCCCUGCAGAAGUAAUCCAUGAGUACAAAUAUAGGAAAAAGGACAACCCCUUUUGAUACAUACCAGGAAUUUUGCAGUUCAUCCCAAAAGCAUAGACAAUAAGGAAACAGGAUGAUCUAAUUGAAAGUAGAAUUCAUCAUAUUCCAUCCCCUAUCAUCUCAACUGGAAACUCAUUUUUAAUGGAGCAAAAAGUUGAAUGCCAAGGCUAUCAUCAGAACCUGAAAAUAUAUUUUGAGGGGAAGAGAGCAAAGCAGUUGACAAUUUCUGCAAUGUAAAUCAAUUCCUCACCCAUAGGAGUUGAAUGAUUUAGAAGAAGACACAAUUGAACAACUAGAAAUAGAUGGUUCAGCAUUAAGCAUUAAACAUUACGCUUUUCAGAGAACAAAAAUCACAAAUUGCAGAUAUCUAACAAGGAAACUCUAAUCACUGUAAACUAAGACAUUGUGGGGAUGUGAGAAGGGGAAAACUGCAGAGCUUCAUUUCACUCACAUCUGUUGCAGACCAUAAGGAGAUAACCUUUGUAGACACUUUUUCCUAUUACCGCAAAGCUGUUGCAGCACCAUAUAUAACCUAUUUUUCAUCAUUGUCCAAACUGUCCUUGUUGAGAAUAACCAAGUAGCUUCCGGAGUAGAGGAACCAGACCAAUUAAAGCUAUUUGAAGCUGUUCUGAGCUAUUCAAGCGUAUGCUGACCUGCCCCGCUCCCCUAUUAUUCAAAUUGACACGACCAAUCAUGUUUGUAAACCUGCCAAUAGGGAUCUGGGACUGUAUGUUGCAUCCAAUAGCAAGAUCUCCAUGCCAAUCCAUGAUGGAGAGCCCAAGAGUUGAUAGCGAACGACCCAGAGGAUGAUCUUUAUCUCUUAGGGUGGCCUCCAAGCUACCACCAUAAGCAACAUCACCACGGCCAGUCAUGGCACCACCAGUCAUAACCAGCCGGAUCCGUUUGUUAACAAUCAAUUUGUCUUCAAGUUUUAAUCCAGCUGUUAUGGCAUCACCCAGGGCAGUAAUAGAAAGACCAGCUGUUGCCUUAUUUUUCCUAAAGUUACAAAAUCUUGUCUCACUGCGCAGAGUAUAUGCCAUGUCCUUUCCAACCGUCUGCAUAUCAAAACCUACAGAAGUUGCUUUUCCUUCCCCAUGCUUAACUGAACUGGCUAUUUCCAUUUGGAGAUUGGCAUCCUUUUUAUCCUUUGUAACCUGGCCUGAAAAAGAAACAGGUAUCUUGUCCUUAAUAGCAAACACUCUUUCCACAUUUAUGCCUUCAUAACCAACGUCGUGAUCCCAACCAUGAGUUUCCAGAACAGGCCUCACAAGCCACUGGUUGGAUGAAUCAAGAUAUCGAUAACGGUGAGUUGGAUUAUCAGAAUCAAAAGAAGCAGGCAAGGCCCAAUCUGGCAUGGGAACUGGCACAGAUGCAGCACCACCACUUUCUUCUUCUGCGUUCUCGCUGUAGUCACUUGGUAAAUCCUUAGAAGAAGCUGCCAUUUUCUUCAUCAUCUUCCGUCGCUCUUUCUCUUCUUUCAACUGUUUCUUCAUAAAAAGUUUUUCCCUAUAUUCCAGCUCAUCAUAAUAAGCCUUCUUCUGAGCUCUAGUAAGCUUUGACAGCUGGGCUUUUGUCAAUCGUCUAAAUGGUGGCAAUUCGUCAUAUUCUGAUUCAUCAUCUGAAUCAGACGAGUCAUCCAAAUCCUCAUCUAAAGUGUCCUCAUCACCAACCUGCUCCUCUGGCAGUCUUACCUGUGGUCUUGAUUGGAGAAGAGAUGAGAGAAGGAAGGGUAAAGGAGGUGAUCUUGAUCGUGUUGUAAAAGGCUUUCCAGGUGGACUAUCUUGCAACUUUAGAAGCGUGUUUGCUUCAGCCAAAAUCUUUGACGCAAAGGAGAGCAAUAACAAAUGAGGCUUCCAAAUCUGACCAUUUGGUAAAACUCUCUGCCCGGCCCUAUUUGUUCUGCAUGCAGAGUGGUUCUCUACCAAGGACACAGGGUUCAUGAGCCGCAUAUCCCCAGCUGCCUGACGAAUUGCUUGCUGGACAACAUGAGACCUCUGAGUGACAAACAUAUCAUAACUUGAAGCAGUACCGUUUGGGCCAUCAGGUGGAGCAGAUGCUGCAUGAGUAAGAACCACAAUUGCAUUGAACCAUAUUGAUGGUCCAAAUAUUUCAGUUAUUGUGCGCAACAGCGGCAUGUCACCAAAAUCCCUGCUCUGCAUGUCCAACCUAUCAAGAUACAGAACAAUAUCUGGAGGGGUUUUCUUGAUAAACCUUUUAACAGAGUGGAGGAUCUUCUCAUUCUGGCGUUGGUCUGACCAGGAUGGUAGAAGGCCCGGAGUGUCAAUGACCCUUACCUUAAUUCCCUGAACUGUUCCCACAACAUCCUGAACCUUCUUUGUACCCACCUGAAAAGCAUCAGUACUAAACUUCACUUCAUCAAAUAUUGAGUUGAUAGUUGCACUUUUACCCACUCCUGUCUUUCCAAGAACCAUGAUUGUGCAAGAGAAAUCGAGGGGCUCUUGCCCUGCUGCCUCAAGCUGCUCAGCCAUGGCACUAGCACGGUCAAAGCUGAAGGCACCAACACGGCCCCCAUUCCUCCCUCGUAGCUGUUCAGCCAAUCCAAGUCUGUACAAGACUUGAGCCACGACAACGUUAUGGGGAGUCUGCCCAAGCCUAUGAGCAAGCCGCAAAAACUUCACCCGUAUCAUCUGGAGUUUUUCACGGGUCUCAUCAUUUUCCUCAGCCUCCCCAUUUCCAGCAUCUUCAAUGAGUUGAGCUUGUACCUGGGAUGUGGUUCCAUUCACUCGAGGCUGCUGCACCACACGCGAAGCAGGUUCCAACAGCGGGGCAGCACGCCCAAGGCCAGCAGGAUGAGCAGGAGGAGGACCAGGAUUUGAAGAUCUUCCAGAUGAUGAAGCAACCUGUUCUGCGGGACGAAUUUCUCGUUCCCUAUUCCCUUGAAUUUUUUGAUCCUCCUUCUCCAUGUUUGGUUCUUUUGUCUCCUGCUCCUCAAACACAACAUAUUUGUUUUUAACUUCAGCUACAUUUUCCACAGCACGCUCCGGCUGAGGACUUAUAUUAUCGGCUGCUGCCAAUUCAGAUGUGACACCUUGCUUUGUCUCACUCUUCUCAAUAGUAGAAUCUUCUAUGGCACAUUGCUCCAUCUCACUCUUUUCAAUAGCAGAAUCUUCUACAGAAGGUGACCUUCCUGUCCCUGAAGCGGAAACCCCUUCAUCCACAGGAGUGUACAUAUUAGCUGAAAUGACUUUUGGUUCAGCACUUUCACCGUGAUGCUCUGAUUCCCACCUCACAGGACUCUCUUCCGGCUCCCUACUCUGGCUAUCUUGAUGUUCUGUAACUAAGUUAGCCAAAGUUUCCCCCUGUUCCUCACCCUUAUCCUCUCCAUGCCUUGAACCAAGGCUAACCCUCAAUUCCACAUUGUUAUCAUCUUGAUGAUCCGCAUCCAAGCUAGUCAAACUAUCAUUUGCUUCUUGAUACUUACCAUCCACAUAUUCAGCAUUAGAUGAAGCACCUUUUAGCUCUCCACUCUCCUCAUUUUUACAUUCCAUGUCUAAGACAGGUUGAUCUUCCUUCUGGUUUUCCCCCUUAGAGACGCCAGAUGAAGUGUUUUUUGGCUCCCCGCUCUCACCAUCUUGAUGUUCAGUAUUCAAGGUGCUCGUCUUCAAGUCCUCACUUUUAUUAUCUUCAUGCAGAAACCCUCCAUUGGCUUCAUGCUCAUGAUCAGAAUCAAUGCCAUUUUUACCCACCUUAUUGGAUUCUCCAUUUUCAGAGUUUUCAUAAGCCGGCCUUGCCUCCAAAUUCAAAUCAUCUGAAUCCUUGUUUUCAGACUUCUCAAGUACCACACUAAACACCUCAUCCACCUUAUUCCCAUCCUUCAAAAGGUCCAUCCCUCCAUCCAUACCUGCAUCAGACACCUCCUUCCCCUUAUCUUCUUCACUAUCCACCAACCCAGUCAAAUCAUCUGUCACCACUUCCUUGGAAAUACUUUCCUGAUCAAUGUUGUUUACCUUCCCAACCCCAUCAACACCCUCCCUAUCCACUAAACCUUCCACUUCCGCUUCAACACCUCCCGCCACAGCCUGCUCACUAUUCCUAACUUCACCAGAAACCCCAAUUGCCUCUUCAAACGUCUCCCCCUCAUGCCCUACAUUCAAAUUCCCGUCAAUCCCCACUGACUCUGAAUCAUCAAUUACUUUACCAUCCCCAUCUUCAUCUACAACAACAUUUCCCGAUUCCAAUUUCAUUGGAUGAUCCACCGCCUCCUCAAAAAUCUCAUCCCCUUCCGAAUCCUUCGACUCAUCCGACCCAGACACUACACCCUCUCCGACUCUCUCCUCAAAAACCCUAUCAUCCACGCCCUUCAUCUCCCCCAAAUGGCUUAUAUCAAUAGCUUCCACCCCAUUUUCCAUCACAAAAUCCUCGAAUACCGCUUCAAAACCCUAGAACCAAUCACACCCAACAAAAACCCUAGUCAAGAAAAACCACUAAUAACCAUCAAAAUCAAAAUCAAAGUAAAACCCACCUUCUAAAAUCACAAAACAAGUGAACCCAGAAAUGGAUCCUUAUACUACAUACAAACAUGCACAAAAAAUUCAGAUCUUCACUAUGUUCUCUAUACUUCGUCUUAGGGUUUUACAGAAAGUGAAAAAGAAAAACCAAAGCAAUAACUAAUAAUUAAGUAAACAAACAACAAGCAGAAAAAGCGUACCUGGUUUUGUGGACGCUAGAGAGAGAAAGAGAGGAGGAGAGAGAGAGUUGUCAAGCAGUAGAAUGAGGAUCUUCUUCGCUUACCAGGAGAUGAAAUGCAGAUAAGGGAGAAUGGGCGGCUGAGAGUCGUAGGGGGUUCUGAUCGGACGGCGUAGAAGGAUGUAAUGGUUUCAUCAUGGAAAACGCCAAUCAUGGUGACGUCGAAUGAAGGGAAAAAAGGUCACCUGUUUUAACAAGGUGUCACGUGCAGAGAUUAAGGAGGGUGAAUAGACCGUUGAUGUGAUUUGGUGGGUUUUCAGCAACGGUGAAGAUCCGUGCUGUCACGUGACAGAAGAUCACGGGACAAAUCUAGAGCGUUGGUUUUAAUAAUUUUAAAUUUAUAAUUAUGAUAAUAUUGAAAAUAAAUAAGAAAAAUUAUAUUAUUUUAUGAAAUUAAUAGAUUUUCGAUGUUUAAAAUUACCAUUUAAACCUCAACUAAUUUUUAAGCUGUAUUUAAUUCCUAAAAAGGAAAACUAAAGAAAAAUAAAAAAAUAAAAAUAUAGAUUUAAAAUUAAUAAAUUAUAUUUUAUAAUAUUUUAAACACAUUACAUUUAUUUUAAUCAUCUUAUAUUAAAAUUAAAUAAUUUAAAGUUUUUUUAUUUUUUUUAAAAACAAAUCACAUUUAUUUCCUAAUUUAUUAUAUUUUAUAAAUAAAUAAAAAUUCAUAUCGAAAAUGAUAUCAUCCAAAAAUAAUUUCCCAUUCUUUUUAUUACUUAAAAGCUAUAUUAUGAACACACUUAAGCAAUGUUUGCUUUUUUAAUCACAAUAUUAAAAUAAUUCUUAAUUUUGUUAAUAUUUGAAUAGAAAAUCACUUUAAAAUAUCAUUUAAACAUAAAUUUGCGACAAACUAUCUAAAAUUAAGACUUAAUUUAGAAAAUAAAUUGUGGAAAAACAUUUGACCCACACCAAUACAUACAAAGUGUUAUCCAAAAUCAACAUGAAUAAGAAAUUAGAGUAAAAAAAAAAAUUAAAAAUACUUUCACAAAAUCAUAAAUUAUUUUCAUUCAACCCCAUAGAGCAAGAGGAAUAUUCUUGAAUGGCAAAGAAAACAAACAUAUAUAGCAAGCAAAGGAGAAGUUUGAGUAAACAUUACUAAAUGGGAUGGAUGGGCCACUUCUUUGGACUUUCAUGGGUGUGAUAGAUCUACUUUCUUUUUCUUUUUCUUUUUCUUUUUUCUUUUUUCUUUUUUCUUUUUCAUUUUAUUUAUUUAUUUAUUUAUUUAUUUAUUUAUUUUCCUCUUCCUUUUAAGGUAUAACCUACUCCUAUAGGAGACACUUCCCCUUCAAUAUUAGGUAGAUCUCCACACUUUCAAUGUGCAUGAAAGUUAGCUAGGGUAUGAGAAGUAGAGCUUCCCCAUGGGGCUUCACUUCCCUCCAUUUAUAUGUAAUGUCACUUAUUUGUGGUCCUCUCUUGUCACCACAUAUAAGGUUGAGUUGGGUAGGACUUAUUAAUAUCAUAUAGUAUCUUAAUGUAUUGGUUUUUUUUUUUUUUUUACAUAGUUAUGAAUUUAUUUUAAAAAAUACGAUACUUCACAUUCAUGUUAAAAAUGUCUUUAAAAAAAAUCGUCUCAAUACAAAUUCAUAAAUCCACACUCAUACUAAAAUCUCACUUUGAAAAGACAACUAUCUUAAUUAAGGUGGCGUUUAUUUUUUUUUAUUUAAUUCUAAAUAUAACUUAAAAUUGGUGGUGUUUAUUUUUUCUACUUAAUUUUAAAUUAAAUUUAAAACUAAAUAGUGUUACAUAUUAGAUUGCAUAUUUUUAUAAUAUUUUAUUUUUAUUAAGGAUUGAAAAAUAAAGAAAAAUCAAUAUAUUACUUUUUCUAUUUAAAGAAAACUAAAUAUUUUAACUUUUUCUAUUCGGUCAACAAUUUAUAAUAAAUCAUAAAAAAAAAAUUAGAAAAACAAACAACCUAAAAUCUAAAAAUAAAUUACUUUCAGCAAAAAACUAAAAAUAAAUAAGUAUCUACUUAAUAAUGUUAAUUCUAAAUAGAAUUUAAUACUUAACAUUCAUAUUAAGUAUUAAGUAUUAGGUUAUUUGUUUUUAUAAUAUUUUAUUUUUAUUAAAUAUUAAAUAAAUAAAUAAAGUCAACAUGUUUCUUUUUCUAUUUAAAAAAAGUAAAAUAUUUUAACUUUUUCUAUUCAGUCAAAACUUUAGAAUUAGUCAUAAAAAAACAGAAAAAUAAACAACCUACAAUUUAAAAGUAAAUUGUUUUUAAUAAAAAAAGACUAAAAAAAUAAAUACCCUCUAAGAAAAGAAUAAAAAAUGAAAGACAAGAUAUCUAUUAAUAAAAAAAAUGUAAGAUUAUAUUUUUGAAAAAUGAGAUUUCUGCAAGUAAAAUUAUAAUUUUUUUUAAUGAUUUUAAAAAGGAUCAUAUUUUUAAAAAUAAUAUUAUUUAAAUCAAAGUCCCUUAAUUUAUUUAUUGGUAUGCUCAUCCCAUCAAGAUGGUAGUACCCUUUUUGGUAUUAUAAAUUGGGCAUAGAAGUGGGAGGAUGAGAGCUAGAUUCAAUGAAUGAGGUUUUGAGUGAUUAAUUCUAUGUUCUCAUAGUUUUUAAUUUGAAUGAAUUUAAAAAGUUGUGGGAACAUGGAAAGAAGUUGAAGGGUGUGGAAUUUGAGAAGAUUGUGUGUUGGAAAAGUUGGAAGAUAUGAAAAUUUUCAAAAGUUUGCUUAUUGAAGAAAUUGAAAUUUUUUUGGAGUAAUUCCAUGUAGAAAAGUCCAAAGAAAAGGACUUUGAUGAUUUCUAGACUUUAAUUUUUUUUAAUUUUGAUCUAAUAAUUGGCACUUAAAUUUCAUAUAACACUUAUAAUUUAUUAUUAAAACAUUUAAUUUUCAAUUUUAUCAAGCAGUGUCUUAUUAAAUACAAUAAAAGGUAUUUUGUACUUUUUGAUUUUUUUUAUCAACCUUUGCAAGUGUAGUCAACAAUAAGAUGAAUAAAGAAGACAAGAUUAGUGUCAAUGCGAAUAAAUAGUCCCUUUAAUUUCACAACAAUAAAUGUCUAAAUUAAUAUUAUUAAAAAUUAAAAAAUAAAGCAUUAAUUUCAAAUUAAAAGUUUAAUUGAUUUCAUUCUAAAAAAAUAAAAUUUAUUGAAAAAUGGAUUUUUUUUUCCUUAAAAGAUAAGGACAUAAAAAAUAGAAAAAAUAAAAAAACCAACAACAACAGCAACAUUUCUAGAGUAGCUUUCCAUGUAAUAAAAUAAGGUCGAGAGCAUUCCAAUAUAUAAAAGAUAGAUUUGGGAUGAAGAUAAACAAAUUAAGGACGAAUUUAAGGUUUUUUUUUUUAAACUUGAGUUAGGGUAAGUGGGUUUGAGUAUUGGUUUAUACGGCUCCACCUUGUGCUAAUUAUGUAUAUUACUUAAAUUAUUUUUUUCAUUUUUUCCUUCGUGACACAUAAAAAAAAAAAAUCUAUUUUUUAAAAAAAUAAAUUAUAAAAAUUUUAAUAUUUAUGCAUUUAUUAUAUAUACAUAUAUAGCUAUAAAUUAUUUGCCCUAUCCCAUUCUCACUCAAUUUAAAUUUUUAAUUGGGAUGAGAAUGAAAAUAGACUUUCAUAAAAGGAACAAAGUUGGGAUGAGUGUGAUUAGUCUUAAACCAACCUUUUUGUCAUCCAUAAACAAAUUAAAACAAAAUAUCAAGAAUAUUAACGAUUUUAUUACUAAGUGUAUAGACUCAAAAAGAUUAUAUCAUUCCAUAUGUCAAAAUCCAAGUAAUUUUCACAUCUCUACCCAUCAAAUAAAGUGUAAUUUAAGAAGAUGGUGAAUUUUUUAACAAGACUUAAAAUAUCAAAGUGAAAACUUUAGAAAGAGUAUUUAUUAAUCAUUGUUCUUGUAAGCUAAAUGAUAGCAUAUUCUAUGAGGAUGACCAACACCUAACCUAAGUAAUAGAAGACUACCUUGAACCUAAUUUUUAUGAAUAAUCAAUUGUAUGGUUGUUGAGAAUAUAAAAGAUUAAAUUGAGACUUUGCAACUUAAAAACCGUAUUAGAAAGUUGAUUUAAGCCCUUAAAAGAUGACUUCAAAAUUUAGGAGGUUUUAAGGUAUCAAAAGUUCUCAAAUGAAGUUUGGAUAGUAGCAAAAGCAUUGUCAUAAUACAUGUGACCAACCUAUAGGUCAAAUCUCUUUGUAUCAUACUAAAUAUGGAAAAAAUUGUCCCAUUUCGUCAUGUGUUUGACUUUUUGUGCAUGUGAUUGAUCAUGUGGUUGAUGUCUUACAAAGAAUUGGUGUCUAGCGAUUAGUUUGACUUCAAAAAUUAUAAAUGUAACGUCUUAGACACAUUUAAUAUACAUCUAACACACAUAAAUAUUUGGUAAGUCAUUGCAAGUCUUCUUUAAGAUAUGUAGAGUGCUUUGAACCUAUAUUUUUAAAGCACCUAUACUUGAGCCUUAACUUGCCCACCUAUUCUUUGAGAGAAUUUUCUUGUAUUGUUCAUUUAUUGUAAUUGUUAUAAAGUUGUGAGAAAGGUAUGUGGGUAAUGUGGGUGACAAUCGAAGUUGUAAAAUUGAAAGUUAAGUAAUUCAAGUGUAAGAAAUAAUAAUGAGACAAUGAAAGUCCUGAUUGAGAAAACUUUUGAAAUAGUGAAAUACUUUAAGACUUCUGGAGCAACUAGAAUACAUAGACGUAUGCAAGUUAUUGAAUCAUGAUAAAAUCAUUUUUUUUACAACCAUAUAUUGAUUAUGUUAAAAUUUGCUAAAUUUUAAGAUAUUUGACUAACAAACCUAAGAUAAUCACCUAAAAGAAAUAAUGAAUUAGAUGAUGGUUUUUUUUAAAAAAAAAUUUGUCAAAAUGUAAUAUAUUUUAACAAGAAUUACAGCAUAAUGCAACGAUGAAUAAUAAAAGUAAGCAAGCAGUAAAAAGUGAAGAUUAGAGAAUGCAAAUAACGAUUCCAACAUGGUUCGACGUAAUCUCACCUACAUCCAUAACCUCAAACUUCAAUCCAAGCUUAGAAGUGCUUCACUAUGUAAAGGAUCCUCCAAACCAAAGAAUCAUUCAAUUUUUACACUUUGUUUCUAGGUAUUAAUGAACAUUUACAAUUGUGAAACCAAGAUUUGGUUAAUCUUGAUUUUGAUGAUAACAAAACAAGGUUUAGAACUAAUGAUUAUAUUUCAAGUGUAAUUAGGCAAGAUGAUUUCCAAAGUGGCAAUCACAAAGACAAAUUAUGUCAUCGAGAAAUCAUGAAGAAGAAGACCACCUAAAAAAGAAGUGUUUUUCAAGACCCAAACUUUAUAAGAUCUCUUUGUAAAGUUGUUGAUGCACUAGGAUUUUCAUGCAUUACAUUCUUUACUUAUGCACCAAAAUCAUCCAAGAGUUAUUUUGUUUUAAAUAUUUUAAAAAUUGGAUGAUUUCAUAUUUUUCAACUAAAACCUUGUGUUAAAUGUUUAUCAAACUUGUUUUAAAAGGUUUUAAGUUGAAAAAGUUGGUUGUUGAGCCAAAAAACGACUCAGCCGGUUGAACCGGAUAAGGAACUGGUCGACCGCAAGCUCAAUCGAUCGAGGUCCGAGUCAACCCCCAACUCAAUUGGUCGAGGUCCGAGUCGACCCACAACUCAACUGGUCAAGGCCCGGGUAGACCCCCAGCUCAACCGGUCGAUGGUGCAAAAAACUUUCUCUUUCUUCCAAAACGGUUGUUCAAUCAGUCAAGGUUGAACCUCAACCGGUUGAGGUCCGGUUGAGGUUCAAUGGUCACCUAUCAAGCAUUAAAUGCUGACGGCUAGUCAACCGGUUGACCCUUAGCUAUACUGGUCGAACCCCCAAACGGCUAGUUUGACUUUUAUUUUCUAUAAAAAGGCUUCAAUCUUCAUUAUUUUAUGAACUUAACCUUCCCAAACUUUUCUUGAUAUUAUUUGAGCGUUGAAAGAGUGUUUUUGAGUGCACCAUUGUUCUAAAACUUGCAUAUCCUUAGUGCACCUUUUAAUCCUAGUUUUCUUGUAUCAUUUGAGAUUAAAAUUCUUGUGUUAGGAUUUUUGUGAAAUCAUUGAUUUGUAAACCUUUGAGAGGAAGUUUCUCAAGAAUGUGGUAUCUCUUAAGAAGUGUAAAGGGUGCUUGGAGCCAAAAUUCUAAGAGGGUGAAUCAGAACCAUAAUCCAAUUGUAUUGCUUAAAAGCUUGGUUUGGAAGCCUUAAAUUAGUGGAACCUCAAGCUUGGAAUUGAAGCUAGAGGAGAGUGGACAUAGGCCGGGUUGCGCCGAACCAUUAUAAACUCUUGUGUUUGCAUUAUCUCUUCCCUACUAUUUAAUUUAUAUGCAAUUGUCGUUAUAUUAGUUAUUAUAUACUUGCAUAUAAAUUGUCUCUUACUUUCGCAUAGUUUAAAUUUGCAAAAAGAGACCAUCACCCUAUUCACCCCCCCCCCCCCCCCUCUAGGGUGAUUACUAUAGAUUGGAUUAGCCUAAAUUUUCUAACAACAACCAUACAAUUAUUCUUUUAACACUUAAAAGUUAAAAUCACUUUCUCACAUAUAUAUUAUAAUGAAUUUGGAAUCAAAAGAACAUAAGAACUAGCUUGACACUAAUAAGUAAAAUAGUAACGAUAGUUGAUCUCAAAAAGAAAUAAAUGAGAUUUACAAGUUAAAGAGUAAUUGCAUUCAAAGUUUAUUAAAGACUCAAGGUUUGAUCAAUGUAAUGAUAUGCUAGAGGUAAUCUAUUUAUAAAUGAGGUUCAAGGGUAUUUUAUAUGAGAUUUUUAUACAAUAUAGCUAUUAGGAACAUAUUGUCUAUGAACCAAUCAACAAAUCGAUCAACGACCUAACUAGUUGUUGAAUAUUAAUUACAUUAUAUGUGGCUAUUGAGACUCAACUUGCUCAACCUCUUAAUUCAUAUAUCAGCCACUUGCUUAGUUAAUAGGUCAUUCGCUAGAGACCGCCAAAAUUAAAUUAUUUUAAUAAUCAAUCAAGGUGAACCAAUUAAUCAGUCAAUCUCCCAAUGACCAAUCGAUUGCUUAAUCAUUGAUUUCAGCUUUUUCUUGAUUAAUUCAAACUGAUUUUCUUCUCAUGUUAAAUCCGAAUUUAUUUUGUUAUCAACAAAUUUUAGAUUUAACCAAACUGACACUAAUAUAUUUAACAAAAUUUAUUAAUAUCAUUUAUUAACUUUUAAUUAAAAAGUUUUCUGGAUUUUGAGACGAUGUCUUAUUAAUUGUUUUUUUAGAACCCAUUAAAAUGAUUUUUCUAUUUUUUAAAAGUGAUUUGCAAAUUUUUUCAAACACAUUUUAUUUUUUUCUCCUUUCUUAAGCUCCUUCUAUGCUGUAAAUUUUUCCUAAAUAUUGUUAUUGUACAGCGGUUAAGAUUUAAAAUCGCCUAUAUGCUGUCGUGGCACAAUGUAAUUGGCUAUCAAGUUAGGCUUUACAAGGGAGUACGGUGCACCCAAAUUCGGUCACAGCCAUUAAACCAUAGGCAGGCCCGCGCCGCCAUUCAUCACCGCCGGCGAUGACUGCCGCUGCUGACUCCACCGCCAUUGUUCACGGUGCCGACGAACCAUCAUAGAUGAAGACACAAAACCCCAUGGUUCGCUUCUGCAAUGCCCUCUCUCUCCUCUCCAAAUCUCAAUUUCUCACCGUUCCGUACAAAUCCCAGGAAGCCCAGACGCCGUCCCUGUCUCGUAGAAGCCAUCGUCAAGCUCUGCAAGAAAAACAAGCUAAACGAAGCCGUUUCGUCUCUGGAAAACCUCGCACGGCGAGGCCUGCGCCUCGAUUCUCGAACACUUGCGUCCCUCUUGCAACACUGCGCGGAUUCCAGGGCUCUCAGAGAAGGCAAAAGGGUCCACCUCCAUUUGAAGCUUACGGGUCUGAAGAGGCCCGGUACAUUUUUAUCUAAUCAUUUAAUUAAUAUGUAUGCGAAAUGUGGCAAAGAGGUUGAAGCUCGUAAAGUGUUUGAUAAAAUGUCUGCUAGAAAUCUGUAUUCUUGGAACAAUAUGCUUUCUGGGUAUGCUAAAUUGGGAAUGAUAAAGCCAGCUAGGAAGUUGUUUGACAAAAUGCCUGAGAAGGAUGUUGUGUCAUGGAAUACUAUGGUAAUCGCCCAUGCUCAGUGUGGUUAUUGGGAUGAAGCAUUGAGGUUUUACAGUGAGUUUCGGCAGUUGGGUAUUCAGUGUAACGGGUUUAGUUUCGCUGGCGUCUUGACUGUUUGUGUAAAGUUGAAGGAAGUAGGGCUUACUAGGCAGGUUCAUGGGCAGAUUCUGGUAGCUGGGUUUUUGUCUAAUGUUGUGCUUUCAAGCUCAGUUCUCGAUGCUUAUGUGAAAUGCGGGUUGAUGGGUGAUGCGAGGAAGUUGUUUGAUGAGAUGUCUGCUAGAGACGUUCUUGCAUGGACUACCAUGGUUUCAGGAUAUGCCAAAUGGGGUGAUAUGAAAUCAGCUAAUGAAUUAUUUGUUGAGAUGCCUGAGAAGAAUCCAGUCUCAUGGACUGCUUUGAUUUCUGGGUAUGCCAGAAAUGGUAUGGGGCACAAGGCCCUUGAAUUGUUCACAAAGAUGAUGCUGUUUCAUGUUAGACCUGAUCAAUUCACGUUCAGUAGUUGCCUUUGUGCUUGUGCUAGUAUAGCUUCACUUAAGCAUGGUAAACAAAUUCAUGCCUAUUUGUUACGAAUUAAUUUCCAACCUAAUACCAUAGUUGUUAGCGCACUCAUCGACAUGUACUCAAAAUGUGGAAGCUUGGGAAUUGGAAGGAAGGUUUUUGAUCUUAUGGGUAAUAAGCUAGAUGUUGUAUUGUGGAACACGAUUAUAUCUGCUUUGGCACAGCAUGGUUGUGGAGAAGAGGCAAUACAGAUGCUUGAUGACAUGGUAAGAUCAGGAGCAAAGCCAGAUAAAAUUACCUUUGUCGUCAUUCUUAAUGCAUGUAGUCAUUCAGGCCUUGUGCAGCAAGGGCUUAAUUUCUUUGAGUCCAUGUCUUGUGAUUAUGGCAUUGUUCCCAGUCAGGAACAUUAUGCAUGCUUAAUUGAUCUGUUGGGUCGAGCUGGAUGUUUUGAGGAGGUAAUGGACCAGCUUGAGAAGAUGCCUUAUAAGCCUGAUGAUCGUGUUUGGAAUGCCUUACUAGGUGUUUGUAGGAUUCAUGGACAUAUAGAGUUGGGAAGAAAAGCAGCUGAACGCCUUAUUGAGUUGGAACCUCAAUCCUCCACAGCCUAUGUAUUACUUUCAAGUAUAUAUGCUGUACUUGGGAGGUGGGAGUCAGUACAGAAGGUUAGACAGCUUAUGAAUGAGAGACAGGUCAAGAAAGAGCGAGCCAUUAGUUGGCUUGAAAUUGAAAAUAAGGUGCAUAGUUUUAGUGUAUCAGAUAGUUCACACCCUCUGAAAGAACAAAUAUACUCGGUUUUGGAACAGUUAGCUGGCCAGAUGGAAGAAGAUGCUUCAUUAUUUAUCGCUCAAAGGUAAAGAUUUGUCAUUUUUUCUCCUUGCCAGGUUAUAUCAAGGGAAGCCUGAAAGAAUAAUGUCUCUAUUCAAUUUCAGCAGCUUGUAACAUUUUUCUUUCCCUUUUUUAUCAUCGUGUAUAUUCUGUAGAACCAGAUCUUCACGAUGAACAUGGAGGAUGUUUUUAAGCCACAUAUUUGAUAGAUGACUAUGGAGGAUAUUUUUCUUCCUUGAGUCAUUGUUGUUCCGCUCUGUUUCUCCAAUAAAACUGUUAAAUUGGUUCAUCAUUUUUCCAAAUUAUGGGGCAUUUAUUUGUAGUACAAGAAUUUACAGCGUCUUCUAACAGGGUGAUGCAUAUAACAUGUAAAGCUACAACUUUGGCAGGCUCAACACAAUCUAACCCAAGCCUAACUUAACCAAUGACCAAGAUGGAGCUGAAGUUUCUAGACAGAGUUGGGCUCGGAUUGAAAAAUUCUAACAGAACUUGAGUCAGGCUGGCCUUGUAUUGAGGCCUCGAACAACCUAACACAAACCAUUCUCAUGCACAGUUAAUAGUAUUAUUUGUAUGUAUAAUUUGUCGAUAUGAGGUUAUGAACAACUCCAACCAGGAUUGAGGUUGGGUUUGGCUAUGAUAAACUUGUCCAUAGCCAUUACUUUGAUAUGUUAUUGAUAAUAUGAAUGAGAAGCAUGAUUAUUUGUCUCUAUUUUCCCUAUGUGGGGCAGCUGCCUGUCUGAACUUCUCAUGAUUUUUAUCAUUCUUUUUCUUUGUAUAAUGAUUUCUACUCGUAUGACUUCACAAUUCUCUGAGCUGUCAUGCCUUGAUCUUUCCCUUGUUGCUGCAAAUUACAGUUUCAACAAAACGGUGGAAUGUCAUUACUCAAUCUCUGUCAUGAUUUUUAUAGGGUGCAAAUUCCUACAUGUAAUACACUCUAGUGUAUGCUUAGGCUUUUAUCUAUUCUUAAUGUGAAUUGCCAAGAAAAAAAGGGGAAAAAAAUUGCUUUAAGGUGGACCAGGAAAAAUUGGGAUUCAAGCUCUUUGUUCGGUUUCACACUUGUCAUGUUUUCUGAUCGGGAAUGUGACCUAAAUACAGCAGCCUGUACUGUUCAUGUGGCUUCCAGCUCAUUUACUCAUAUUAUAUCAUGGGUUCUUAUCUUCUUUAGGUUGGUUCCUCUUUUCAACCACAGAGCAGGACAUUGUUAUUAUCCAUAAUGCAUGCUGUAGAAUUGGAGUUUGUAAUCAUUUGAAGGUUUGAUCCAUAAUAUUAUAUUCAUCUUUCUUUUCUCAUGUCUUCAUUUUUUCUUUUUUAAAAUUUUCAUGAAAUGUUUAUCUUAAUUUCACUCCAUUUUUUAAUAUUUACAAAUAAUUUUAGCACUUAAUUUUAAUUUUUUUAUACAAAUUUUGACUUUCACAAUUUCUAAAUGAAUACAUUUUUUUGGUUAAUUUUCUUAUUGGUUCAUCUUAAAUUUAAUAAUUUUUGAAUAUUUUAUUUUACAAGCAAUUAUGAGCUCCAUCGGAAUAUCUUACUUGUUAGUUUAAUCAAAUACUUCGAUGGUAUUUUUUUUUUGGCUGAGUAAAUUUUUUCUAUUCAGUUAAAAGUAACUUAUUAACGUCGUCCAAUACAGCUAAAAUGAACUUGUUAUUAAUAGAGUAAUAUAUUUUUACCAAAGUAGGAUAACGAUCAUUCAUCCAUGCACAAAGAUCCCCACCUCAUGUAUAUUUUUGUUCAAAAAAAUUUAGAUUCAACUGUAUUCUUCCAAACACACUCACUAUUAAAAGAAAUAUUGUUAUUUGGGGAUGGUGUUUGAUUUUUCAAACGUGAUCAAAUCGAGAAUUUUGAGAACAAAGGCUCUCUAGCACCCCGGCACAUGUGUUAUCAAAGUCACCAAAUUCUAUGUGCCCUACCAACUAAAAGUUAAGAGGCUUUUGCCGAAUAACAAACAAAAAAAAUUCACACAAGGUUAAAUUUUACCCAUCCACGGCAAAGGAAAAUCUUCCCAAGACUUUGGUUAGCCUCACCCACAUUUUAUCAAGUAUGGCCUGAAGGCCAAUAAUAAUGGAAAUUUCCUUAAAUUAUGGGCAUGAUUAGGAGAUUGGACCCACCUUGGUGGUUGAGCCACCAUUAAAAGGUCAUAAUGCUGCAUAGGCCACAUCCAGAGGGUGACACCAGGUAAUAGCAGGUGGCAGCUUCUUCUUGGGUCCUUGGAGGUUUGAAAAGCCUCUUUUAAGCCUGGUGGCCUUGGCAUACCUCUCUGUACAAAUAUCUGGGAAGGAAAAGAAAAAAAAAACAGAGAAACCAAAAAAACAAAAACCCAACUACCCAGACAGCUUUGGACAGCCACACAAGUGGACCUGCCAAAGAGAACAAUCGAUUAUAACUCUCCACCAAUAAUUCUACCCAGGCGGCCCACCAGAUAGAAGACAAACAAGGAAAUCCAAUCUAAAAACUAAUUAAUUGAAGAUAAUUGAGAAGAAAAUGAAGAGAAGGGGUAACAAUUUUUCAACAGUUUUCCAACAAUCCAAAAAAGUCUAACCUCCAUUACAAUGCCAUAUAUUAAAAGCAAUAUAUGUUCUCUGCAAAGCCCACUCCAGAAACAAGAACAAGAAGAAGAAAAAAGAGGAAGAAUUGAGAAUACUUCUCCUUCUCAAUUCUUCUUCCCCUUCUUCUCAAUUCUUCCUCUUCUUCUCUGAUUCCAACAAUGGGUUCUCAGGCUUCUAAGCAGUUGGCACGACGGAAGGCACUCUCCACUCAGAAGAAAACUCUCUGUGAGCUCAAUCAAACCUGUGGUGAUGUGUUCCCAGGUUCAGACUACCAUCCUCCUGAUCGGAAGAAUUGGAUGUCUGGCCUUGGCCCUGAGAAAGUUCACAUAAACAAGAUUGUAUGGCCAGGGACCCAUGAUUCUGCAACCAACAAGAUUGGAAUCCCACUCGUCAGCCGGCCCUUUGCUCAAUGCCAAUCCUUGUCCAUCUAUCACCAGCUUGUAAGAGGCACCAGAGUUCUUGACAUCCGGGUCCAGGAGGAUCGCCGGGUCUGCCAUGGAAUCCUUGUGACAUAUAGUAUUGAUAGUGUCAUCAAAGACAUCAAGAAGUUCUUGGCUGAGACCCAGUCAGAGAUUAUUAUCCUGGAGAUCCGCACUGAGUUUGGACACCAAGACCCACCUGAAUUCGAGAAGUACUUGGAGGAUCAGCUUGGCGAGUUUCUAAUCCACCAGGAUGAUCGUGUGUUCGGAAAGACAAUUGCAGAACUGUUGCCAAAGAGAAUUAUCUGUGUAUGGAAGCCAAGGAAGUCACCUCAACCGAAGGCAGGAGGGCCAUUAUGGAAUGCAGGGCACCUGAAAGAUAACUGGAUCGACACAGAUUUACCGUCCACAAAAUUUGAUAGCAACAUAAAGCAUUUGAGCGAGCAAGCACCUGUUACAUCCAGGAAAUUCUUUUACAGGGUCGAGAAUACAGUUACUCCACAGGCAGAUAACCCAGUCUUGUGUGUCAAACCUGUGACAAGGCGGAUCCAUGGAUAUGCUAGGCUUUUCAUAGCUAAAUGUGUCUCUCAAGGUUGUGCUGAUCGGCUGCAGAUCUUCUCAACAGAUUUUAUUGAUGAGGAUUUCGUUGAUGCAUGUGUUGGGUUGACAUAUGCAAGAAUAGAAGGGAAGGCCUGAAGAUAUUGCAGUGCUGUGUUUUUCUUCGCCUUGUUCAUUUUCUAGAAUCUCCCCUGUAGAAAGCAGUUUCCUUCCUUUCUGUUUUCAGCAGUUGUUCUGUGAAUUUGUUUGCUGUUGCACAAAUUUGUUCGCUUGCAAGAUAGGAUGUGUAGAGAUUCAUCAUAUGUAUUAAAGGGUGAGAGCACGUUUGUUUUGAAUAAAUCUUGUGUUAAUCUCUGCGUUCUUUUCUCAAUUUCAACGCUUUUCACAGGUUCCAUUACUGUUACAAAUUUCACUGCUCAGUGGAGAUUGGAAGAGCAGUAAACAAUAUCAAUUGUCUGCAUGUUACAAAUUAAAAAAAAAAAAUAGAAGAGAUCAGUACAUGAGAGAAGCAGCAGAUGAUAUAUUUUGGGAAUAAAUGUAUACAGUACCGGAUGGAAGAGCAAGAGAAGGCUCCUAUUCUCCAAACUUCAAGGGCAAUGCCCAACAGCAGGCAUGAAAUCUGAGGCAAUCAAAAUACCUGUGAAUUCAGGAAAGAUUCAAAACUUAUUGAUAUAAAUGAGAUUAGUUCUGCUAAAUGAUCCAUAAAAUUUUGUUAGUCCACAGGGCUAUGAAUCAAGUAUGCUGCCAGCUAGGAGAAGGCACCAUGCUUUCUAUCUAUAUUAUCAUAUAAACUUAGGCAUAUGUUCUUUGAGGCCUAAGUUUCAGAGUUCAUUCCAAAAUCAAGCUGAAAAGAGGAGCAAAAAGGAAGGGAAAGAGAAUACUUUUUUGUCCAAAAAUUUUUAAAAAAAAAAUCAGUAAGAUAUCGCCGAUAGAGUUUUCACAUUCCAACUUAUUAAAACUGAAUUCAAUCAAGUCCAUUUCAUGAUAGCCACAUGUUAUUAAUGGACCACAACACCUGUGAAUACAUGAAACACAGAUAAUAUGCAACCCCACCAUGUGAUUGCAAAGUUUCGAGAAAACACAGUUCCUGUAUCCUCAGGCACGUAUAGGACUCAAAAUUGGACACACUAUAUAAUAAGCUUGUAUUGGCAACCCUCCAAGCCUUGUUGGGACCAUGAUGCAUCACAUUUUCAUUGGCUGGUACAUUUCAUCCCUAUCUUAAAGCUUGUACUGCCCCAAAUCGACAAUCUAAAUUGACUAAGGCCCUAUCGGAGACCAUGAUAGAGCAAGCCACAAUUCCAAAAUAGGAAACUGAAAUGAGGUCUGAGAAAAUCUGAUUUUAGAAUCCACCCAAUGAGCUGGAACAUCUGCUGAUCUUUUGUAGAGGCGAGCUUGGAAUGGCAUAACAAAGCUAGGCUGGCAAUAAUAUCCCAUAUUGAUGGUGCAAUCUUCCUUAGAAGCUGUUGCUCUUGACUGAUGAAAUGUGGAUAGAAGAGUCACCCUCCUAGCAUAAUCUAUCAAGGGAAAGAGAAAUUGAGCAAGCUCGCAAGCUUCAGACUUGUGUUCCCAGAUAAGAGUACGACAAAUCUAAGAAGCCUUUUCUCUACAAAACUUAUUUUUUAGUACUUCCUCUAGUUGUUGGAAUAUUGACCAAAAAACUCCUGCAUCAAAAAUAGUCCACAACUUAAUAAAAUUGCUCUGAGGAAUAGUACGAAUAGAUGCAAAUACAAGAUUUUAAUAAUGUUGGCUCUGGCAGUAAAUACAGGAUCUUUGCCAUAUUUACGAAUAUAGCAUUUUAAAUAGGUAUUAUGACAUAACAAAUUUCUCAAUGUUCUAGGGAUUCCUGUUGAUAAUGAUUUUCAUUAAACCCCAACCAGACAAGAUAUAGUCAUUGAGAAUCUAGAAUUAGGUUUAAAGGCAUAUUUCUAGAGUUAACAUUCGGAGUUGAAAACUAAGAAGAAAACACACACACACACUAUAGAGCUGUCUGUUACAAUAGCUUUUUAUCGAACCAGUUAUCAAAAAUUCUUUAUUUGUCUAGAAUGGUAAAGAAUAUACAGUUUAAGUAGGAAAUGGUAAAUAGGCAGAUCAGAACCUGAGCCUGGGCUUUCUCUAUCUUUUAAUGAUCCUCUCACCAAAAGCGUCCCAGGAAUUUGCUGAAAAACCUAAAGAACAAAAAGGGGAACAGAUGAUACAAUCAAUGUAAGUUUUAGGUUUCUAACAAUAGAAGGCAUUGUAUUCAAGCCAACAAGGAGGUAUACCAAAAUGCGGAAGCAUAGUUCUUCAAACGAAGGGGGGAAACUUGAACCAUCGCAAAUCUCUUGCAUAUACUGGUAAUUGUUGAGUUCAUUGUAACCUUGCACUUCAGUCUUCAGGAUUGCAUUACAGUGAUCAUUUGAUAUAGCAACCUGUUAAAAUGAGAUUGUACUCCAUUAAGCACACAACAAUAUGACAAAACUGUAAUCUAUUGACAGUGAAAAUAUCUUACAUCAACUGUAAACGAGGAAGCAUUGGAUUUACAGGAUGCACCGAUAGUGCAGAAAAAGGACUCAACUGAUUGUAGCACAUUUAUGGCACUAAAUUGGCGUUGAAGACCCUUCAGAAGCAGAGGUUAGAGUGAGAAAUUGCAUAUUGGCAGGACCAAGCAUAGCAAAUGAAGGGUGUGAAGAUAUAAAAUGAUGCAAUAGAAGCCUGUGAUGGACUGGUGAUUUAUCUUACCAAUAGUCCCAACAUAAAACAUCCACCUAGAUGCAGAUCUUGAAAUCGUAAAAAAUGAGAUGUUAAAAAAAUGUGACCUGAUUGGUGAAUCUAAGAGAAGAUGAUAUUCAAACCUCAAGCAUGAAAGACUGAUUGUUCUUCUUGGCUACAUGAGGCAAUAUCAACUUCCUGGCAGAAGGCACAAAAGACCAAGCAAUCCCCCAACGACAUGUUUGGCCUUGGACAAAUUCAGUUGUCUUAACUAUGGUCACUCCAACAUUCCGAAGCUUUGAUACAAGGAUCUUCAGGUUUGUUUUCUUCCCAACCAUCGAAGUGUACCACCUACAACCAAUUUGUAAUACAUAAGGGCUAAUUUCAUGGAAUCGAACAUUGAAAUGUGAGAUAUAGUGAAAACAUGGUGUAGAAAGGAUAGGAAAGAUUGUGUCAACAUUACACUAAAACAUGUGCAGGAAGGAUAAGAUAGAAAAGAUUACUUCAACAUUACACAAAAACAUGUGUAGAAAAGGAUCAUACCGAAAAGAUUGCUUCAAAAUCACACUAUCGUCAAUGAUACGUGUUAUAAAAGCCUUCUCUCCUCCAGGGCAAACCAUCUCCUCUGGGGUCCCCCCACAUGAAGUUUUUGGGUUAAGUCCUGCUUCCUCCAUGGUCUCAAAAAAUGGAGGAUUACACAUACAGAAGUCAAGAUUCUCACCAUCCUUCAGGAUGCCAAGGAGCACAGGAGGCCCAUGAUAACUUUUAUUUGAACCCAAAUCUGCAUCAAGUGAACAUGAGGGCAAAGGCUCUGUGUCCCCCGCAUUAAUUCCACUUAAAUCUUUUUCACCUUCAACAAUGAAUGACUCACCAAUAUGCAACCCCUCCCCAGAAGGGGUGCUGCCAUCACUUUCAACCUUUCUAAUUUCAAUUAAUUCUGAAAUAUGCGGAUUACUUUUAACAUUCUUCUCUGCCCACUCCAGCGCUACAUCUGUCACAUCUGCAACCAAGAUUGCAACAUUGAAUACCUAAUUUUUAUGCAAGAAAUGAACAAAUUGGUAAGACCUGUGUAUAUGAGAACUAAGACUGAAACUAAAAGUGCUACCUGUCCCAACAAAGCUCCAUCCCAAAAGAGAUGCACCAAGAAGUGGGUAAAUGCAAUUGGCUCCAGUUCCAAUGUCAAAACCCCUCACAUUAUUUCCAUCAGUGCUUGUCUUAGGAAUAAUGUCAGAAGACAGAAGAUCUUCAAUCCAAUGGAUAUAGUUUGAUCUGUUUGGAACUGUAGGGCAAAGCUGCCCAUCAGGAAUCCACCUGCACAACUCAUAUUUUCACUAAAUCAACCACAAACACAUAUCCCAUUAACACAUAAGCCUGAACUUUGGAAAUUUCUAUGACAAAAAGCUUGGCGAAUAAUAAAGACCUAAUCUUCAUAUCACAAAACUGAAAAAUCAUGCCCUCCUCUUAAUGAGAUUACACAUCUCUUCAAAGCCAAAUAUUCUAAAUUUCAAACUGAAAUUGUCAACCCUAUGAUAUUUUCAAUAUAAACGUUUAAAAAAAUUAAAUAAAAUGAAAGAACAUUUAAUGUAAGGGAAGCCCAUCAGAAGACAAGACACACUAAAUAAGGCAUGCCCUCUCAAGAAUUUUAGAUACUUUACCUUAUCAAGUAAACACUAGUGGUAAUGCGUUCUUCACUCUGUUUGUUUCAUUGGACAAGACUUUCAGGGAAUAUUUCACCCAUCAAAAAGACUAAUACCAAGUGCGUAUAAAUGCCUUACUUCAGUAUUGAACUGAGGAGACAUUAAAUUUCCCAUUAUCAUUAAAUUGGAAAAACCAUCAAGAUAACCGAAACCUCAAAAAAGUCCUUGUUUUUUUUUUUCAGGAAACCACCAUUAUCGAUUGAAACAAACAACUAAGAGAUCGAUUUGAAAGUUUCCUGCAAAAGUUUUCUAAUGAUGGAACACACACUCCAAACAAUUAGCCAUUUGAUAAUUUAUGGUACUAUAUGUGAAAAUUAGGAAAAACAAAUUAUAACCCUAAAAUCAGAUCUUUCGGCAUUGAGUAAGUGAACCUAGUACUAACAUGAAACCCCAACAUCGAAAACUUUUCAUUUCCCUUCCUCAGUUUUCUCAGAAACCAAACAGGUUAAGAAUUACAACUUUACGAAAAUUUAUGAUUGAAAAACAAGAUUUAAAAAACCCUAGAAAUGAGGAAAACAAAUCAAAACCCUACUACCCUAAAACCUUAACAAGCUGAGGGAAAUUACCAAUUUAGGCCAUGGUCGUGGAGGAGAAGCACUCGGGUCAGCUCUCGGGUGGCGUUGAAAUCGGUCCAAUCGAUUGUGGGUCGACCAGCGCGGUUCAAGAAAACGAAGGGCUUGAAGGAUGGGUAGAGGGAAGCCAAGAGGGCGAAAUCGGGCGGGUUUUCGGAGUACUUGUUUCUGGGAUGUAUCGACGGCCGCUCCACUCUCCUCCUCUUCUUGCCACCCAUCUCUGAUUCGAACCGUAACAAACCGAAAAUCGGAAAUUCCGGACGAUACUCAGCGGGAAAUUUUCAAAUUUUUCGGCCGGUUCGCACCCAAUAUUUGAAAUUUUCAGGUUGUUCUGGAGAAGUAACGUAAGAAAAACCAGAGGUUAUUGAAAAUUAUCGCAUAGAAAUUAUAUUCAAGCCCAAGCCCAAGAAUAGCCCUGGGCCCAAAAAAUUCUUCGAGCUUGGUUCUACUUCUGCCUUUGGGGUUGAAUUGGGCCGAGUUUUUCGGCUUUUGGGCUCAAAAUAGCUUCCCAAAUUAAGUUGGAUUUUUCCACUUGUUCUAUUUGAAAAGUACUCUGGUCUAAUUAUCUAUGUGUUUGGCAAUGUUUAUCAUUCUUUAAAAAUGAUUUUUAAAAACAGUUUUUAAUUAUUUUCAAAAACAAAAUUAUAUUUCAAAACUCAAAAUAUGGAAAACAAUUUUCUUCAAACUACUCUCCAUCUUUUCAAUUAUUUGUCAGGACGUUGUACAAAAUUUGAAAACAUCUCAAUUUUAUUCAUAAAAGUAAUUCAUUAGAAGAAAACUAUUUUCUAUUAAAAAAAAAAAGUCAAACAUGCUCUCUAAUUUGAAAAACAUUAUUUUUCAAGAAUUUGUUAUAUUGAGAAUUAUAGGAUUGGACUUUUACCAUCUCAUUUGAAAUGUCAAUUAUGAUAGACCAAACUUUUUAUGGCAUAAAACAUUACACUUGGCAGCCCUGUUCUAAAAUGUUAUGUUUUUAGUUUGAAUUCCUUGUCAAAAAAACAAGAAAUUCUUGUAAAAAAAAAAAAAAAAGGUAUUAUUUCAAUGUUUUAUCCAUAUAAGAAAUCAAGAAAAAAGUGACCCCAUAUUUGAAAUAAAAUCUGCUUUUGUAUCCCUCCAUUUGCAGAUAAGACUGACAGGUUUUUACAAUAGUUGAUGUGGAUCCUAGUCAUAUCAGAUAAAUAUUCUAUAAAAGAAAAAAAAAUUCCCAUUUACACAAUGGGAUCUCCAUUGAUUUGGUAUGUCCCACCAUGGUCUUAACUUCCAUAACUAAAAGUCCCAAAAGUUAAAAAUAAAAAUAAAAAUAAAUAAUUAAUUAAAACAGGCAUUAAAAAAAAUUUAUGCAGGUGUCACCACUAAAGGAUCAUGUUUUUAACUCCAAUUUGUUUUUCCUACAUUAAAUUGGUUUCCUUUUCUCUUUCUCAAUCAUACCAUGUUGUUCUAUUUAUCCUAUAUAUUUAUUUUUUUUGAGUAUUUUUGCUAUUAAAAUUAAAUCAAUUUUAUUACACUGUCAUACGGAAGAGAUGACGUAAGAAAAUAUCAAAGACUUGUCAACCUUAUCCCAAUCCCACCAAAAAGAUAAAAAUUAAAUGGAUAUCGAAAAUCUUUCCUACUUAUUUUAACCCGUUGAAAUAAAUAUGAUUUAUAAAUAAAUAAAUAUUAUAUAUUUUAUAAUUCUUUUUUAAAAUGUGUUUUUUUAUUUAUAUAGAUUAAUAAAAUAAAAUAAAUUUUUUAUUUAGAGGAAAUUUGUAUAUUACAUUGGGUUAAUUACAAAAUUCAAAAUAUUGAAUGAAUCUAAUUUUGAAUGUUUUCUUGAGGAGAAUCAUUGGUAUUGUCACCACCAUCAAUGUCAUUUUCUGCUUUACACAUAGCUGCUUUCUUUUGUCUUCUUAUCCAACCUUUUCGAAUGACACAGCUGCAGUAGAUAUGUCAAUGGUGACCAGUGAAUUAACUUCAUAGAAAUCCAUGGAACCAUGGAUGAUCAUUCAGAGAGAUUCGUAAAGUUGGGGAGGUGGGUCCAUGGCCAGAAGUGUAAGAGCCUAUCCACAUGAAGUCAUGAGUUGUGUGGUGACUCAGCAGAGUACAGCAUCCAAUGGAUAAGCAUUUGGAAUCCCUUGCUAGUUUCAUUAUCCCCUGGUUUUUUCUCUCUCCCUAUAUAUAGGCAUGGCCUCAAGCACCCACCGUCACUUCCCCAUUCUCUGUGAUUUCAUCCACCCAUUGCCCAUUUCUUGGUUCUUCAUAAGAUUUUGUCCACCUCUACAUUCAGCUCCGGUAACUGAACUGAUCAUACUACUGAUAAUUUUUGUGGGGCUAUUCAUGGCUUCGUCUUCAUCGCUUUAUGAGGUUCUUGGGAUUCCGGUGAGCGCCUCCGGGAACGAGAUAAAGGCGGCGUACCGGAGGCUGGCGAGAGUGUGCCAUCCGGAUGUUGUAGCGAUGAACCAGAAGGAGACUUCAGCUAACGAGUUUAUGAAGAUACAUGCAGCCUACUCCACCUUGUCGGACCCUGAUAAGCGAGCAAAUUAUGACCAGGAUCUUUUCAGGCGGCGCCGGCCGGUGAUGGCCACCGCCAUGAGAACCGGCGGUUCCUCUUUUUCGGGCUUUUCUCGCCGGACUUGGGAGACUGACCAGUGCUGGUAGCAGCACACGGCUAUUUUUUGUCUUAAUCAUUUGUUUGUUUUAUCACCAUGUUCAUAGUAGAAGUGAUGGAGCAGAUAAAAGAAGGAAAUUCAAAAAUUUGAAAACCUUUUUGUCAUAAGGUUGAAUUUUCUUGGUUCAGGGUAAAAUUUUAUUAUUACCCUUUCUAAAAAUGUUAUUUUUCAUGUUCACGUGUGUGUAUGCAUGCAUGUCUAAUUGUUUCUUUUUCUUUGUCUUGUCGCUUUUAUAAUAUGCUUUGUAAAUUAAUUAUAUGUCCGAAAUUUAAGUAGCACUUGAUUAAUCAGAGUGGUUACAAUACUCGAUAAAUUUUAUAAAAAUUUUGAGUGCGUUUGACAGUAAUUUUUAUAGGUGUUUGUAGUCUUUUUUAUAUUUAAAAAAUAAAAAUUUUUAAAUAUUAAAAAAAUUAAAAACAUUUUUCAAAAUCACUACCAAACGCUCCUGGUACUAUCUCAUUCUAUGAUUUCCAUUUCCUUUGUUCUUUAAUCUAUUGUCCAUAAAAAAUAAAGAGUGGUUACAAUGACUAGCAAUCACACUAUCACAGCUUGUGGAUAAGGCUGGUCACAUGGCAAUGUUUGAAAACCUUAAAGAGGGUGUUACUUUAAUGGGAUGAACUGGCUUUUUAUAAAUCAAACAAAACAACUAACGGUCUCACUCUCGGGCUAGAGUAACCACCAAUAACUAAUAGUCUCCCUACUUUGUGUGAACCUCAAAGAUAACAAAGAACCAAAAAAAUCUUCUCAAAAUUUUGUCCUUUAGCCACCAACUACUAGUCUCCCUCAUAUUAUAUGACAAGUGUUGUAAUAUGUGACUCUUAUUGAGUGAAAGAUAUAUGAAGAUAAAAUGGGCAAAUACUUGUGCGGAGCGGAGCGAAUGAUUAAUAUAAAUACCCUUUUAUGUAACCCUAAUUUGAGUAUCAUGAAAGUCUUCUUCCUUAUUCCCGUAUAUAUAGACAAUCUAUCAAACCAAGUUAAAUCUGUAUGUUUCUGUUUUUGUUUUUCUUUAAUUUUUUGUCAGGAAUCGUUGCAUGAAAAUCAACAAAAAGGAAUACACCGAUCCUUUUAAACUAUUGCUCAAUGGUAAAGUAACAAUUUUAUUGGCAUACAUCUAACCAUCUUUGAACUUUAUGGUGGUGAUUAAUUAAAGGCGUCAAGUUCAAGUUUUUAGUAAUAAUUUUAUUGAUAUAAAUAUGGUGAUCUUUAUAUGAUUUUAGGUCGUGACAGAGAUUCGUGUUUCAAUCAUGUUCAUGGUCAUAUGGAUUGUUUCGUCUUUGUUAGUUAAAAACUCACAACACAUCAAUCCAUCAACCUAAAACCUUGCUUUUAAGUAAAUUCAAAAAGACGGUAUAAAGAUAAAGGGUCCAAAUUCAGUGGUUUGGAGUUUUAGGUGGAGGUUAGCAUAUGGGUUUGUCUUCACCAAAAGUGAACCCAAUACUCAAAAUUUUCAAAUUAAGAUGAUUACCCAAAGGGAAAGCACUUGGUUUUAACAAAAUUAAGCACUUUUGGAUGCUUGUUAUCCAAUUUUCAUUGAUUUAUUGCAACAAAACAUGUGGGAGACUCAUGAUUUGGGUCAUUUCAAUGGUCCUUAGGUAUGUGAUUUGUACGCCAAUUGAGCUUCACUCCACCUAGAGGUGGUUGUAUGCCUUUUUUUUUUAUCAUCACACAGAAUGAUUGGUUUCUGUUUGUCAAAAUCAAGCCCAUUGUUCAGAUGCCAAAACCCGACCCAAGCCCGACAUGAAAAUUUGGGUUUUGGCCCAUCUUAAUGAAAGCUUCAACCCAAGUUCAAAACAAGCCCAGCCCACUUUCCAUAUCAUAAACAUUACAAUCUAGAAGUAUGGGCUAAUUGGAGGAUCCUCAUCCAACUAAGGCCUUCUGUGUCUCUGUGUGCCUAUCAAAGACUUUCUCUUGGCUUUUUCACUUUGUCAUCUUUAAGAGCAAACCAAACUAGAAAAAUGAGUACUCCCUUUCUAGUGAACCAAACAAAAAAUAAGGUUCCACCAUUGAAAGUCUAUUAAAAGAACAGUGUGGCUUCUUAUGAAAAAGUUUGUGUUAUGUUUGGUUUGUUAGAAAAGUUUAUACUAUGUUUGGUUGUUAGGAAGUAUUAAAAAAAGAAAAAAAAUGUUAAAAAGGAAUUAUUUUCUUAUAUUUAGAUACCAUUAAAAAAAAUACUAAAAAAUGAAGAGUGAAAUCAUAAAAGAUUUUCCUCCCUAUUUUUCUUGGGAAAAUUUUGAGAAAAAAAUCAUUCUUCAAUAAUCCAAAUAAAAAAAUUAUAAUUUUUUCUUUUACUUUUUUUUUUCUUUCUAUUUUCUUUUACUAAAUUUUUUUGAGCCUAAAUGAUAACAGGGAAUAUUUUAAUUGGGUUUUCACAUUAGCUUAUGGAGUUGAUAAAUAAUAAUGAUGAUACAAAAAGGUGAUACAAGUAACAAUUUUCUUGAUUUAGUGAUACGUGAGGGAAAUUUGACUUAGAUAUGUUGCAUUGGAUUCUAAUAUUGUUCUUUGGAAAAAAGACUAUUGGUAAAAAAAAAAAAAAAAAAAAAAAACAUAUAUAUAUAAAAUUUCUACAUGUAUGGAUGCCAUAUUUUUUUUUUUUUAAUAAAAAAACUUGUAAAUAAAUAAUUGAAUAAUUUUAUAUUUUGUAAACUUAUGAACUAUAAAAUUUCAUAUAAAAUAUAUUUUUUUAAAUGAUAUCAUAUUUUUAUAGAAACUUUUAAAUAAUAAAUGAAUGGUUUUUUAUUUUAUAAAUUUAUAAAAUUAUACAUUUUCACAUAAAAGAAUUUUAAAUUUUUUAUGCAUUUUAAAAAUAAAAAAAAAUAUGAAUAAUUUUAUUAUUUUUUAUAUAUUUUUAAAAUUACAAAUUUUUACAUAAAAGAAUUUUUAACAUAAAUUCUAAAUUUUUAUCAAGAAAAGUUGCUUUAAAUCACAUUAAAAGAGUUUUUUUUCUUUUUCUUUUUUUAGGCUAUAUUAUAAGAUAUAUGUAUCAUAAAAUAUCAUCUCCUAUAUAGUAUAAUAUCUUUGUAUAUUACAUUUUAUGAAAAUGAUAUCUUAAGGCAUUAUAUUCAAUGGAUUAUGUUAUACCAUGCUAAUAUUUAAUUUAUAGAAGGAACAAAAAAUGAAAUAGAAAAUAUAUUACAUUUCAAUAUUUCAUAUUUUUAAAAUAAAAUAAUAUUGUAUUCUAAUGUUUAUUAUUAAAAAUAUAAAAUCUAUCUAAUAUUUAUUAUUAUUUAGAAGUUAGUCUAUUUUUAUUUUUUAUUUUUAAAUAAUAUUCAUGAUUAAAAGAUUUAAAAUUUGCAAAUAAAAAAAAAUCCCCUUAUGUUGUUAAAUAUAUAAAAUUAUUUUCUAUAUGUUAAAUGUUCAAUUUGAUAAUUAUUUUGGAUUGCUUAAUAUACAUACUUUUAAAUUUUUUAUUCCUUUUUAAAUUAAAAAUUAUUUUUUAAUCAAAAUUUGUUUUGCAAAUGGAGUAAUAUAAAUAAUUUGAAAAAUUGAUGGAAAUAAAUUUACGACGGAUAUGAUAUGUAUACACUAGAUCUCUUAAGAUUAUUAUACUCCCCAAAUAUGAAAAAAGAGGUUAGAUAAAUUAUUUCAUUAUUUAUUAUAUUAUAUAUUUAGUUGAAUAUGAAAUAUAAUAACUGAUGAGAUAACUUAUCAUCUCCUGUUAUAUAUAAAAUCAAGCAAUUCAUCCUCCAACCAGCAUGUGGUGACCCACUCUUGUUGUGACCCAUGAGCAUGUUUUAUCCAAGGCGAUAAGUUUACUUGAGAACUCUGCCACGAGUCGUCCUCCACCCAUGCACGAGGCACGAUGGCGGGUGGGGUCCUCAGGGCCUCCCAAAUUGGGGGUGGAGUGGCGGUAGAUUGUCCACGUCAUUGCAAUCCGAACACUUCAAUGGAUCAUUCAAUUGGUAGGAGCGACAUACAGUGUGUACAAAGGGCAUACCUUCAAUGUUAAUAUGGCAUUCAUGGCCCAAUCUACAAGAAGUUUGAAGGUCAUAACUCACAAGGCUUUUUGUAAUCCAAUACAAGCAGGGCUGCAAUUUGGGCCUGAACUGGAGACUUGAAGUCCAGAUCAACAGACCCAGUAAGGUUUGCCCAAGUGGGCUCACUCUUAGCCCACUGAAUUGUGCUAUUGGACGUAAUGCUCUUUAUGCUGUUUUGGUUUCUCAAGAAUAAAAAUAGAAAUUAAUAUGAAUUUAAUAAUGAGAUCCAAGUUUUGAUUUUCAAGAAAAUAAUUUUUUUAUUCCUAAUUAUCUCAACCUUCAACGAUAUAUUUGAUACGUGGAAAUAAGAAUGAAAAUAGGUCAGGAAUUAAGGUGAAUUACUAUACCAUGUAAAAGAGAGGAGUAAAAGUGUCUAUGACAACGAGAUUUGGUUUCUAUACUGAUAAACUUCUUUUCGUAUUUUCAUUCUAAAACAAUAAUCUAAAUACAUUAAUGAAUGAGAACGCAAUUGGUUUCCAUUUUCAUACUAAGUUGAAAAGAAAUAAAAUCUUCAAGAAACAAUUGGUUUUUUUUUCCCUAAAGAACAAAGGCAAAAGAAACAAAAAUUUUAGAAGAUUGCUUUUACCAUGUUUGGAGGCUUUUCGGCAAAAGUUUGGAGCAUUUCAAGCAUUUUCUUCUGGUAAGUCCUAGCCACACAAAUUCUCCCCCUUUCCAAACAAGCCAAACUAUAGUAAAGGGAGUAAAAGCAUUGGAGCUUUCUCUUUGCUUUCUAGUGAACCAAACAAAACUCUGAUCAAAACCCUAAGAACAAGAUGGAGAGAGAAAAAAACCUCGAAACUAUAGACAGUGAAAACUCAAAAAUGUUCUUGGGGACCACGAUGGUACACCCACUGACUCAUGUCUGCUCUUUCCUUUCCCUCUGAAAGUCAGAUAUUUUUGAAAAUAAAGCAAGAGAAAUAAUUAAUAUUAAUACUUAUUACAGCCUUGAAAUGGAAGGGAAAAGUAUCAUAAAGUGACGUGGUGAUGAGGAUAUUAAGACAAGGGUGUUACAAGGAAUAAUUGAAAAAAGUUGUAAACCCGGAGCUGGUCCAUACGCAUGAUGACAGGAAAAGGAGGGGUUAAGAGGUGUGUAAUCAUGGAGUCAGGUUAGAGAUAAGGCAGGAGAAAGGUGGUGAAAUGGAUCGCUUGUACCCCAUGGCAUUGAAUUCUUGUUGGAUUAUCCUAGUUUUGUCCUAUCUUCGAAUCUUCACUGCACUUUCCAUGGAUUCCUGUUGAGAAUAAAAAAAAACAAAUGAACCAAAUCCGGGAAACAGGAAAAGUUCCAUCUCCAUUUUCAAAGUUGAAUCAUUCAUCACCAUCCUCAUUUCAUCAUCCUCUUUUCUUUUACCUUCACCUAAACACACCCGUGACAAUCCCUCAGGAAAAUUCUGGUUUUCACAGUGGAUGGUCCACUUAUGCAUGAUUCAUAAUUUUUUUCCAUUUAUAAUCUAAAAUAUUUAUAAAAAUAUACCAUCUUAAUCAAUAUUCUUUACAAAAACGAAUCUUUAACGUAUAUUUUAUGUGGAUUUGAACGUGUUCAUGGUCUUCAUUUCAUGUCUUCUUUAGCCGAAUUUGACCACACUUAGUUGGAAAAAUGCUGCUAUACUCAACUCCUUGGUUUUACCUUUUUCUUUUUCGUGGGACACAUGGUGGAUGGAUUAGUUUAGAUUCCCAUCCCAAACCCCAAAACUUCAGCGUAAAAGAGGCUUAAAAUGCCAGUGGGACUAAAAACUAUGUUGGCUUGUUGUUUCCUGGCACUAGACUUUUUCAGACAAGAUGGAGGGCCAGUGUAUUUCACUCAACUAGCAUCCAAGUCUUGACCUGUCCUUUUCUUUUCUUAGGACAAUUUUUGUGGUGGUGGAGAGGUGGGGAGAUUGGGGGACCAAGGUCCUCGCAAAGCUGAAAUUACCACAUGAACUGAGGCUGACUUGUUGGUUAAUUAAAAUCUGGACCCCCCAUGUGAUAUGCAGCAUUUGAUAUGUACCUGCAGGGGCA
Molecule: long non-coding RNA, 134151 nt
Filed under: Vitis vinifera (wine grape)
Lineage: Eukaryota; Viridiplantae; Streptophyta; Magnoliopsida; Vitales; Vitaceae
Description: long non-coding RNA (VVIN_LNC000615)
Source: RNAcentral